This 94434-nucleotide long non-coding RNA is filed under the name Medicago truncatula (barrel medic). RNAcentral describes it as "long non-coding RNA (MTRU_LNC007568)". The stretch from base 12926 to 13024 matches the Rfam family "MIR2587 microRNA precursor family". Lineage: Eukaryota; Viridiplantae; Streptophyta; Magnoliopsida; Fabales; Fabaceae. The record is from RNAcentral.
UGCUAUUGUGUAACCACUCACCAUUGUAACAUUGAUAUGCGAUUUUUUAUUUUUUUUAUUUUUUAUAUAUAAUCAUUUUUAAUGUUUAUUACAAGUGAAAUGGAAGAUAAAAGUAACAAUGAAAAAACUUUGUUAAAUUUAAUUAUAUUUACAAAAAUUGAAAUCAAAAUACCCAUUGAUAUAUAUUAAAAUUCAAAAUAUUCAAAAUAAUUUUUUGACACUAGUAAAUCACUUUAGGCUUAAUUGCAAUUUUGGUGCCCUAUUUUCAUGAUUUUGCGAAAUUGGUCCCCACCAUUGUAAAAUUCAACAAUUUUGGCCCCUCUAUCAAAUAUUGUGAUAUGAUAUUUUUUAAAUGGAGUUUUAAAGAGAAUUUUGUUACAAUUUUAUCGAUGUUGAUUUUUUUUCAUCUUCAGAUCAUAUUCCACGACCUUUAAAAUUUAUCACAUCAAAUUUUUAUAGUUCAAAAAUAUGAUUUAGGGAUCAAAACUGUCAAAAUUUAAAAUAGAGUGAACAAAACUGUAUUUAAGUCAUCACUUUAUUUCAUUAAUAAUGAUCAACUACUCAAUGUAUGAUGGAAUAUCAAUAGAAAAAUUGAAGGACAGCCAGAUGAUAUAUGAAAACUAAAACAGUCCUUCAUGAAACUAUAUCGCAACUUUUUUCUUCGAAAUGUACCACAUCAGAGUUUUUAACAUAAAUAAAAAUUUUCUAAAAUACUAAAAUAAUAUUUUAUCCAUCGUCAUCUUUAAAAAAAAUUGUCUUCCAAACAUCAUACAAUAUAAACAAAUUGCUCAAUACCUUUAAUAUUUGACUUGCGUUGUGUUGUUGAGCAUUUCCCUUUAGUUUUAAUACUAGAUCAAAAGCAUUAUGGGAGAAAUCAAACAUUCAUCAUCAAUAACGUGGUAUUGUAAAAAAUUCAUCAAUGACGUGGCAAAAAAUGAUUGGAUAACCUACUCAAAGAACGGUAGGAACAUAUGUAGACGAUCAUUCCCUUCAGUUUCCCCUUGCCGAAGAAAAUCAAUUCCCAAACCAAAUAUAUAAAACAUCACAAAAUCAUAGAAGAAGAAGAAGAAGAAGAAAAAGGGUUUCUCAAUUUCCAAAAUCUGAGUGAAAAAUCAUUGCAAGAACAGAAACAAAAUGGAAUCAGAAAAUUUGGUGAAACAAGAAUUGGAGGAAUUGCAGAAACAAUUGGGGAAGAAGCAGAAAUUCGAAGACGCUGUGUCAUCUCUCAAAUCUCUGCUCCAAACCACGUAUCCAUUAGCUUCCACCUCUCUUCGAAAAUCGGUAUACUCCUUUGAUUUCAAUUCUUCAUUAAUAUUCAAAAAAAUUGUGGUUUAAUUCUAUAUAACUAGUUGCUGGUGUGUACUUGUCAAUUUAAUUUCUGGGUUUUGUUUAUUUUUCUGUGUUUGUUUAAGUUUGGUAAAAAAGAACUGAUUUUUAAUUUGUUUGGAUUGAUCUAUAGUUUAUACUGUUAUAUAAUUGGAUGUAUUAUGAAGAGUUAGCACACAUGGUUAACGAUACUUGUGGAUAUUUCCAACGUCGAGCGGCUAAUUGAGUAGCUAGCUUGGUGUGAAACUGUUUACAGUUAUGAAGCUUGGAUACAUACAUGGACUCCUGUGAUAAUUUUAGGAAAUUAUAGUAAUUGAAUGUAACAAUUGAGUCGCUGGGACGGGAUGAAACAGUUUUAUGCGUACGAAGAACUGACAGAUACAUGACGUUGGACAUUGAUAGUUUGACACCAGUAAUAAGAAAAUGGUAGUAAUUGAAAUUAAACAAUUUGUCGUGACUCAUUGGACAAAAAAAUUGUGUCAUGGUAUGUCAGGUUCAAAAACCGACACGCAGCAGCGAAGCUUCUUGGAAUAUGGAGGUGCUGAAAGUUUUUUUAUACAUAUAUAAUAAAAUGCUAAUAUACAUUAAUGAUUUAUAAGUAGUAAUGUCUUAUGUGCGGGUUUGAUCCCUGGAUUUCGUGUUUUUGCAACUCAUCUAUUUUUUCCAUAAAGUCUCCAAAUGCUAAAUAUCAUACUCAAAUCUAGUAUUUCUAUAUAAAACAGAGGUGCUAUACUGCUCAGCGCUGACCAACAUCAAUUUGAUAUCAAUUUUGCUAUAAAUAUUAUUAGGGUCUCGUUAACGAGUGCCCGCGGGGCACUCUUUAAGCAUUCUAAUUCAAGAAAUUAUCCACUAAAAAAAGUCAAUUGUUUCAAUUUCCAAUGCAUUCAAUACAAUGAUUCUCAUAAAAAUUUAAUAUUUAAAGGUCUUAAAGAGUGCCCCGGGGGCACUCAUAACAUCUCCCAUAUUAUUAUUAUUAUUAUAUGUAUGUAUGUUUAUGGCCCCUUCAUAAAUUUGUGCCAUGCUCCGCCAUUGCUAACAUGUGUCGACUACUGGACACGCUUUCAAUCCAAAGUGAUGGUGCUACAUGGGCAGUAACUUGCUGGUUAUAUCUGCUAACGCAGCCUCGGCAUGCUAUCGGAUGCCCUGUCGAUAAGUCUUGGGAUUGAGGUUUCCUCCCUUUGCUCUCAUUUUCAACAUAUAAAGGAAAUUAAACAAUUUGAUAUUGAUAUAUGUAUGUAUUUAUCUCUGUAUAUACAUGUAUGUUGUUAAGGCUAAUGAUGAGGUCAACUGAUAAGUUAGAAUAGCACUGCUGGGAAUUUUUUUAGUUUCGUUCCUGCUAAUGAUCUUUCAUUGUUAGGUCAUUCAUAAGUGCUCUUGUUAGGGGUACUUUGAAUAGGUUAAUGUUAUUGUUUGAUGGAUAAUUAAAGGCCAAUAAAUUGACUGUGGUGUUAUUGGUGGUGGCAGUUUUAUUCUGUUAUAUGCCGAGUUGCGACAGUGUUGAAGACGAGAUAUACAGCACCCGGUUUUUGGAGUGCUGGCCUGAGCCUUUUUGAGCAGGCUAUAUUGUUUGUUUCUGAACCCUCUGAAAAGGAGCACUUGAAGGCUUGCAUUGCUCAGGCCAGGGAACAUUUGCAUCUAGAAGACAACCCUUCACAAACUUCGCAACCUGCAGUAAAUCGUGAAAAUAGAGGUGAUUUUCUUUUUGAAGAGUUUUUUUUUUCUUUUUUCUUGAUGUGUAAUUUAUAGCUUUUUCAUGUUGAUGAGUUUUGGGAUAUGGAUGUUUUUAGAUAGUUUGCUUUAACCUUCCCGUGUUUAUCGCGUUGUGUUGAUUCAGGAUAUCUUUUUGAGGGGCACCUUACGGUAGAUCAAGAGCCACCACAACCUGAAUGGAUGGUGCAGGCAAAUCUCUUGAAUGAAGCUGUUCGACUAUUUGAAGCUCAACCCUCUCAGGGUUUAGCAACAAAUGACACCACGCCAGAGGAUGUUGCUAGUGUGCUUGAAAUGCUUAGAAAUAGAUUGGAAGAAGUUGUGCCCCUGGUAUUUAUCCAAAAACUUUUCAUGUAUUUUGGCCACACCUUAUUUGCUUUCAUUCUUUCUCUUAAAUAUCAACCUGGCUUUGAAUAUCUCUAGAUUCAGUUUCUGUAACUUCAAGAAGUUUGUGGCUUAAGCAUUGUUUAAAACAGUAACAAACCAGCUAUCCUAGGUUCAAUUGAGAACUUCAACAAAUUAUGUAUGCUCAACUUAGAACUUGAGCAUAUACAUAGUUGACUUCAGAAUAGCAUUUCUUGAGGUUCUAUUAAACAAACUAAGCUACUUUAGAAUGGUUCAAUAGGAUAAUUUUUCACAACUACAUGAAUCAACGCAAACAGCCUGCUUAACAACAUAGUUUCUUAUGCAUAAUGUUCCUUGUUCGGUGGCUUUAGUGGAUAUAAUUGAUAAUUUGAUUGCGAUGCACCUUUUUUUUUAAUAAGCAAAAGAUAAUGAUACAUUCUUUUAUGGGUGAUUAGAUAUAAACAACCUGCUCAGCUCACUCAUUUUGUUAACUACUAUAUCACAUUUUGCUCGUUUCAACUUGCCUUUUGAUUAAUAUAUACUCAUUUUUGUCUCAUUUAAUUGUUAAACUUUACACUGUUUAAUUAUAAGGCUGACUUUUUUUCUUCUUCUUCUUCUUCUUUUUUUUUUUUUUUUAUAAAAAUAAUUGAUUAGAUGGAGACUGGUGGUCCUGCAGCUCCAAGAGUUCCUCCUGCGAGUAAAGAAGUUGUCUCAAAACUUCCUGUCAUUACUCUCACCGAAGAGAUCCUGUCUAAGAUGGGGAAAGAUGCAGAGUGUGCCAUUUGCAGGGAAAAUUUGGUGUUAAAUGACCAAAUGCAAGAGUUACCGUGCAAGCACACAUUCCACCCUCCAUGUUUAAAGCCAUGGCUGGUAUUGUUUCGUAGUCCACUUAUUUACUGAAAGUUCUGUUUUUCCCUUUUAAAACCAAUUUUUUGCAUUUGAUACUAAAGAGACGGAAGAAAUUACAUGAUCAGAUAUGAAAUUUGUUUAAUUUUAUCCCUCAUGUGGCAGGAUGAGCACAAUUCUUGUCCUAUCUGUCGUUAUGAGCUGCAAACUGAUGAUCAUGCCUAUGAGAGCUGGAAGGAACGUGAAAAGGAAGCGGAAGAGGAGAGGAAAGGUGCUGCAAAUGCUCUUCGAGGCGGUGAAUUCAUGUAUGUUUAGACGGCUAUUCAAUGCAAUUACGAUGUAUACUAUGGUUUACCCUGAAAUAAGGGAUUAAAAAUUUCCUGGUGGUGAAUAGUUGUGUAUUCUUCAUUAUUUGAAAUUAUAUAGUUAUCUCGUCUCAUGUUUUAAGUGUGACUGCUAUUCCUUGAAAUUUAAUAUCUCGCUUUAUAGUUUUUCUGAACAAUGAUUGUCUACAAAUACAGUCCUCCAAACAAUGUUGGGAUCAUUGAUUCAUGAGUUCAAUUUUAUCCCAUAUUCUUUUCCAAACAUAUGUUGAAGAGGUUGAGCUAUAAGGAAUAUGUUGAAGAGGUUGAGCUAUAAGGAUAAUGUGUUUAUUUACUGAAAAUUGAGCAAAAGCUCUUACAAUAUGAAAAUAGAAGAUAAAUUGUAGAAAGAAAGUGAUUCCCAAAUACUCCAGAGUAAAACGCCUCACAGAAAGAGUAGAGAACACUCUCUUUCUUUGCCUAACCAUAAUGGUUUCCACAAUAACCUUGCAUACAAUUUUGGUGACAUUAAAUUUUGGGUUGAUGACUUUGUCUCUAUCUUUUUUUUUGGUGGUGGCCGAGUUUGAACCCCCGGACCUUGCAUAUAUUAUGCAUUGUCCAUACCAACUGAGCUAAGUUCACGAGAACUUUGUCUCUAUCUCUCUUCUCAUUAAAAGAAUUUAUUUUAAUUGUCAUCUAUCAUUCUCUCCUGUUAAAAUACACUAAAGUCACUACAUGUCACAAGUAUUUUCCUUACAACUCACUCACCUCACUAUUUAUACUACUGGGCAUAACAAACUUGCAACCUAACAUCCUAACCCACCCUUUAUUACAUAUAAGAGCAUCUUCAUAAAAAGUUUUUAAAUGGAUCUUGUUUGCACACGUCAUUUAUUUACAAUUUUUUAAUAAAAGAUUCAAUGACUUUAAUGGUAGUAAAUUAAAAAAUCCUUAAAUAUUUACUUUAAUAUGUACAUUUAGAAAACAAACAAAAAGAAAUUGAAGAGACUAAAAGUUACAUAAAUUUGAAAUGACGGAACCAACUUUUAUUUAUUUUCUUUCCUAUUUUAAUCCCGUUAAUUGUUAAAGAGAAAUAGGAUCCUUUAUAUAAAUGAUGGUAACUAAUAGAUAUCCAUUAGAGGUCCUUUAAUAAGAUGAAGUCCUUAUUGUAUAAAUAACUCAUAAUUGGAGAUACUUGAACCUCACCAUACUUUUUAUUACUUUCUCUUUUAAAAAAUAAUUGAUCUUUUUGCAACAAAAAUUUAUCUCCAAAUAAUAAACAUUUUCAAAUUUAAACACAACAUUAAUUACUUUUUUUUUUCUUCCAAUUGUACAUUUUAAUUAAUAUUGCUUGCAUCGCUCACAAUCUAAAUUUAAUAUCUUGUACUUUACGUUUACGAUAAAUACAUCAAGUAUCACUUUUUUAUUAAUACAUAUUUUUUUGACUGUUGCUUUUCUGACAUCCUGUCUUGGAAACAUAAGUAAAUGACCAAAAAAUCCAGCGGUAGUUAACUGCUACCGGUUUUUUAGUUAUAAAUAAGCGAUAGUUAAAAAAGCAAUUGUCUAUUUUUUUUAUAUAGGUGAAGUGGUGAACGAUGGAUCUCAAUUUUUUUAAUACUAAUAGCCCUUCUUUUCCUUAUCCCUCUUACUCGGGUCUCUAUCAAUUCGUUAGAGCAUUUGCACAUUUUAACGUACACAGUUUCAGUAGGGAAGACCAUGAGUUGUAGAUCCUAUGAUACCUAAAAAAUUAUAUGCAGAAAUCAGAAUUGCAGAUAAAGAGAAUCUCCUACUAAAUUUAAUACAGGCAGGUACUAAGAUUUACUACUACUCACUGACUCUACCCUAUACGGCUAUACCUGCACUGUAUUUAUCAUUGUACAUCAAAUUAAAAAUUUAUUAACUAAAUCUAAAAUUUGUAUUUUAUAAGACUUAUUUGUAACUUACACGAGUCUUUUUUUAUUUUAUUCUGACAGUAUAUUGCACUCUCUCUAUCCUACAAUCAAUGGUUCAUUCGUAGAAGAAAAAAUUUCUGAAAAUAACAUCAGAGGUUUUUCCCUUUUAAAUAAAUCCUACAAUAUCAAAUUAUAUUUGAAAACUACAUCAACUUUUUAUUUUCAUUGAUCAAGCCUCUAAAAGAACUUCAAAUAGAUCACACCCUUCCCAUUUUUUAUAACCUAGAUUGCAUGUUGUCAAAUAAUCGACACAUUUACGCAGUUUUGUACAUCUGUGAUUGUUGGACCAAAAUUCAACCGUUUAGAUUUUUUCAAGCUUGAUAUUUUCAUUGCAAUUUGAACAAUUCAAUCUCGAUCCAACGGUCAUAAAUAUUCGCCACUGCGUGGAUGUGUCAAAAAUUUUGACUGGAAGCAAUCUGAUUUCAAUUUCUAUUUUUUGUUGGCUAUGAAUCUAUGAUGAGCAUGACAUGCAUGGAAACCAUUUUUAAGCAUAAACACCAAAACUUUCAUUAAAACAAUCUACAAUAAUGUGGUUAAAUAUAACAAAUAAUGUGAAUCUAUAUCAAGAAAACAAUAUAUCAAACUUGUAAUGAUCAACGGUAUGUAUAACUGUUUAUUGUACUAAACAACAUUCUUCAAUUCAUCCUUUCACAAACAAGCAAUUUCAAAAUGAUUAGAUUCCACUACAAGUCUCAAACCAAGCAAUUCUAGCAGCGCUAAAAACACUGACCUCACACAACCAAGUAUUUAUCACCUCAAAAAUGAAUAUUUUUAGGUAUAAAGCAUCAACCUGAAAAAAUAGAAGUCAAUAUAUAACCCAGCUACAUUCUAGCUUGGUACUAAAAAAAUGACAAAUACAAGUUCUCACUCAGUUUAAUAUACACCAGCGCCUCUGGCUAACGAAUUGAAGGUGCCAAAACAGCCCCCAAUCGUCAUAUGAUAAAAUUGCCAGAGAGUAGAGCAUUCUCGAAAACCAAAGUCAAGAAACCUCCCAUAACAAAUCUAUUCAACAUUACCAAGUGAUGGGCAUGAAGAUCAGAGAAUUGACUUCAACUGUGAACCAGUAUGAGCCUCAGAUCCUAAUAAUACACCGUCUUUUUAACUGCUCGACCUUACCCUACUCCACCUAUUUGCAGAUCUUUGUGAACUUUGCGGCGACUCGCGAGGCUCAGAGAAUCUGUCAUUUCUGGGCUCAGAGAAUCUAUCAUUUCUGGGUGCAUAUCUUUGUGAAUUUUGAUUCCACUCACGAGGCUCUGAAUAUCUAUUGUUUCGAGUUGGUGCAGAUCUUGGUGAAUUCUGAGUCCACUCACGAGGCUCUGAGAAUCUAUCGCUUCUAGGUGCAGAUCCCAUUCCAUCAUUCCUGCCACCUCUUCUAUUAUCUCUCCUCAUAUAAUGAUUGUUAGGUCUGUUUUCCCCAUUUUCCCCAACAGUUGACUUUUUUUCUUCUUGCUCAGCUUCAUAGGCCAAUGGUUGGAUCCCCUGAAGAUCAGGUUCUGGGAUAUACCCAGCAGGUCGCUUGGAUUCAUCCAUUCUUCUAAAUGUGAUUGAUAUCCUAGCAAAAGUUUCAACAAAAGAACACAAGUCAAUAACCAUUUUUAAAAAAAAAAAAAAUUGGAAGAGGGAAAAUUAUUAUUAAUUGAAGUAACACUGACGGCCAUUUUAACACUGAACACACACGUAAAUCAAUAACUUGUCAUUGGUGUUAAAAGCCGAAAAAGGGAAUAUCAUGCUAUCAUAUCAGUAAAUACCUUUUUGUAGGAACUGCAGGUACACAAUGCUUAGCAACAUCAGCUCCAUUUCCAUUUAAAACAAGUACAGAUCUGUAGAGGGAAAAAAUGAUUAUAAGAUUUGGAAUCGUCAAUAACAAUGGAAAAUUGGUAAAUAAUUUAAUCCAAAUCGAUCCGACACCGUGUAGCAACAGUUAAAAAACUAAAAAGACAUAGUAGUAGAUAAAUCAAGAUUGAAUACUUACCCUACAGGUAGAGGAAUAGCAAACGAACCAUCAAAUUUACCAGGACCUGCAAUCCUCAGGUUUGACCCAAAAAGUAUGUCGCACUCACUUAGAAAUGAGACAGUACAAAAUGGUCGAACAAAAUCGUGAUUAUCAAUGUGUGGAGGUAUGCAGUCCCCUUCUUCAUACACAUUCACGAUACAGCUAUCUGGCACACAAGUAGUUGGAAGUACAUGCCACUUGACUAGGCGUCGAAUGAUGACCUUGAAAAGAUCAGGUAAAGGAUCUAUGGAUGCAUGGUGGAGAAUACCCGGUGGGUUACCAUCCUUAUCCUGUAACCAGAAAGUUAAUUUUAGAAGUUAUACAUCCAUUUAUGAAGCUCAUCAACCAUAAUAGUUUGCCGCAAACGAUAGCUAAGUUUAAUUCUUUCCAAAGAAAGAAAUGUGAAGACAUAACGUGAGAGAUAGACUAACCACUGCAUAAUUGUAACAGCACCCAAAUUGGAUAGUUUGGCGUCCCUUGCCCGGCAUCCACUUUCUAGGAGCUGAGUAUGUCCGGUCUGAAAAAGUUAAGAAUCAACACCCAUAUAGAGUCAGUAUAGCCAAUUAGGGGAAAAACAUUUAUAUUUUGUUUUCGGUAUCUUAUGGUGUGAAGUUUGCAUAUAAAAGUUACAGACAAAGUGCAAUGAAUUUAAAGAUGGGCCCAACCAUGCUUAUUCCAAAAUGAUAAGAUUCUUCCACUAUUUCCAAACCCGUUGGCCUCACUAAGUUUUGGGCAACGCUCAAAACUCUGGAAAUAUAUGAAAGUUACUUCUAUAUAAAUUUGGUAUCUCCAUGGCCAGUAGUCAAAGAGAAAGGGUCAGAGCAUGUGGCUGAUUGAGGCCCGUUGAAGUGUUUUUGAGCGGGACAAGGUAUUGCACACCUUUAGCAACUUCCUAACUGUUAGAAACCCAAAAAAGUAUAGCUACCUAAGUUGAUAAGUAAGUUGCUGAAGGUGUAGAGUUAGUUGAGUGUUAAAAUAAAUAACUAGUUGUCAACCAUUGUUACUCUUGAUAGCAAGCAGCUCAAGGUUAAGUAAAUUGAAGGUUUUUAUUAUGAACAAUAAGCUUGAGUAGUUAAGUUACAAGGCACUUGACUACUUUUUCAUUGCAAUCGUUAAAUUACAUAUCGAGGUACAAGUACACAUUUGGCAGCCAUCUUAACAAUUUAAAUUUCCAUCUCACAGUUAAAUUAUCAAUACAGUCUUUACAGAAAAAGAAAUCAAGACGAUUCAAAACAUGAAUCGGCACUAUAAAAAGAACCAAAGAUAGACAUUUGAUAAGUCAACAACAAUUGUAUAGCUAAAAGAAAUCUUAAAUAGAACAAAUGACACAAUGGAAUUAACUAGAUCUCGAUCAUUUAUAGGGUCAGAUACAACGGCAAUCGGGUUAAUUAGUACGCUAUAGAUCAUCAAAUUCAUGAUAUUACUUCAUAUAUACAAGUCAGUCUAUAUGCAUAGGCAUACCACAAACAUAUAAAUAAUUUUAUUAAACUUAUCAUAACUAUAUAGUACAAAAUGACAAAGGUCAUGCACAAAAACAAUUUUGGACAUCAAUUUAAGUUCAAAGCAUAGCAAUAUCAAAACAAGGAAGAAUCAUUCUAAUGUUUCAAAAAUCGGUGCAAAAUCCUAAUUGUGGUCGCUGCAUCAAAGUUUUCAAUAUUUAAUAUCUCUGCAACCAUAAUUGUGACCGCAAUCUUUUUACAAAAUACGCAACACAACUCAGAAUCAACCACAAUCUAAUGCCUUGGAUUUUUUGGUCCUAGAGGGAUCAUUAUCAUUAAUCAACAACAAAUACAUAAUAAAUUAACAACAAAAGAGGUUUUGAGAUGAAAGUCACAAACCUUUGAGCUCUCCCUUUUGCCCCAUCUCUUGUAAAGAAGCAACGUAGUUAACAAUCCUCUUCUGUUCAGCAGCACUAAAGAUACCGGUAUGCAACUCAAGACCGUCAAGAAUGUUCACCAAUUUUCCAUUAACCCUUUCAUAACAAAUAAAAUCUUUCUUACGCCUCACAUUCAUAAACCUAAUAUACUCUCUUUGUUCCCUAGGCAAAACAGCCUUAUCAGCAACAACCCUAUUUUCUCCUGAGUUGUUCCCUGAAACCACACCAACAUUGCUAUCAUUUUCAUCAUGUUCCUCUUCACCAAAUUCAUCAUCUUCUUGUGCCAUAUCAGCCCAAGACAUGCGUGGACUCGGAGCUUCCGAGAUUGAAUUUCCCUGCACACCAUCAUUCCAACUCCCAAGAGAAUGACAAUCACAGUUGUCUUCUACAUCAACCUUAAUCUCAGAAUUUUCAAUUUUGUUUGCAGACUCUGCAAAAUUCAAUGAAAAAAAAUUUAAAACUCGAAAAGAAAGAUCCAGAUUUCAGCAGCACGUAAACUCAAAGAUUAGUGGUUUCCUAUGUUAAAAUCCAAUGAAAAAAUUAGUGGUUUCCUAAUUAUAUUCAUUUCAACAACGCGAAAAAGAUCAUUAAAACUAUGUUUCUCUUGUUUGAAAGCUAGUGAAUCUAUUCACUCCCUUCUAGAUUCUACUUGAAGCUAGAAAUUGUAGCUUUUCAUUCUAGAAUUGAUUUUUACACUCAAAAUUAUCAUUCAACUAAAUGUAUCCAAACACAAAUCACUUCACCUUCAACUCAAUUUUCACCAGAAUCAAUUUUACAUAAUCAAUUCACUCAAAACCAAUUCUAAUCACCGCAUAACCAAACAUACAUGCACAUAGUUUCCUAAAUGUAUUCAUUCAAUGGUUCAACAGCAUGUAAACCCAAAGAUUUUUAAAGCCAGUGAAUCUAUUCAACCCCUUCUAGAUUCGGGAGUUCAUACCAACUAACAAUUAACUAACAACAAUGUGAAUCCGGUAACGGCAUGCCAUUUGAUAGCUUAUAGUGAUAUCAAAGUACUUAAAUCAUCCAAUUGAUAAAACUAAAUUUUUUGAUGGCCCAAUUCAAAAAAACUAAACUUUUUGAUGAUCCAAUUAAUUGAAAAAACUAAAUUUUGUGAUGGCCCAAUUGAAAGAAAAAAAAAGUUUUUAGAUGACCCAAUUGAAAACUGAUAAAUCUUUUUGAUGAAAAUUUAGGGUUUAAGUUACCUGGGGCAAUUGAGAUGGAAUUGAUGCGAUCGGAGAGAGAUUGAACACAGGUACGGCAGAGACCUUUGGAGAGAAAAGGAAGCCAAGUGGAGAGAAACUCAGAGGCGAUUUGAAGCUCGGAAGGUUGAUAAUUAAGGAGGAAUGGGUCGUUGUUUGAAGGUGGUUGAGGUCGUUCAUCCAUGGCGGUGAAGAGAGAGAGAGAGAGAGAGUUGAAACAAACGCAACUGAAACAAGACCAAGAUACUAUGCUAUGCUUCUUUGAAAUUUUUUCAGACUAUUAUUUUUCCACACUGUACCUUUUCUGCACCCUAUUAUUUUUCAAUUUUACCCUGAUCCGGAUUUUGUUUUUUGGAUGGUAUUGUUAGAAUUUUGCAGAUGUUUCCGGAUUUGAAAAUCCGGAAUAAUGUUUUAUCAGAAAUUUAAAAAAACAUAAAUAAAAAGACACAAAACAUAAAAACAACUCAUUUUAUUAAUAUAUCAACAAUACAUUACAAUAAUUUUCAAGCUUUUUAAGCUUAUUACAUAAGAUUCUAAAUCUAUUUCUAAUCUCCUAUGAAUCUAAUUCUAAUCUCCUAAGAGCCUAACCACUGGUAUGUGAUGGGACAUACCAGUAGUUUGCCUAUUGGAGGAAAACCGGAGGAGGAGGGAAGAGGAGGGUGGGAAGAAGAAAACAAUGCCCCUAAGAGAGAUGGGGGAUGCUCAAACUUACGCCCAGACAUGCCAAGCUAAGAACCACACUGACCCACGUAACCCUCAGAUAAACCGCGUUUCGUUGCAGCGUGGUUCCAUCCUCAUUGACCGUUAAUACAAACCCUGAAAGUUUUCAACGAGGCCCUUAUCUAUGAAAGGUCAACGAUGGAAAACCAUGGUUGUAGAAGGAAGAAGAGGGGGAGAGGGUGGGAGAGGAUGGUGUGAGAAAUGGUGGGGUUUGGAAGGCUAUUUAUAGAGAGUGGGUCAAAAACGGUUGGGAGGCCAUAAAUGCAGUCAAAAAAUGCGUUUUACCACGUUUUUUUACUUGACCACCGACAAAAACGUGUGGUGCAGACCACCGGUCAUGACUGAUGCAUUCCGGAAUAUAUAAUCCAGAAAGCACAUCUGUUUUCCGGAUUAAUGCGAUAAUGGUGGUGAACGAGGAAAAGUUGGCACUUCCUAUACGGCUAAGGACAUUUCAGAAUGUAAAAUCCGGAAAGAUUCAGAGCCAUUAAUGUGGGUUUGGACGGUUACAACAACCACUAACACGUUUUCAUUGACUGUAAUGACCUAGGAGUUGUUUUAGGCUAUAAAUAGACUUUUAUCUUCAACAAAUACCUUCAUUCUUCACUUCACCUCUUUUCUUACAUUUUCUUCAAAUGUUUUUUAGUUUUUUAGGGGUGUCGAUGGUGUCAUGGUCAUUGUUGACCGUUCAUAUGAACCCUGCAAUUGCAAUGCAUUGCAGCUUGUGUGAGGUUCAUAUAAUGGUCAACAAAGACAUUUGACAUCAAAGAAAGACACAGAAAAUUACAUAACAUCUGGUCCGAAUUUCUGUUUCCGGAAAUCACUAACAAUCUGAUCCGGAUUAUGUGAUCCGGACCAGGAGUAUUUUAGUAAAUUUUGCAGGGUGCGCGAGAAGGCAGCAGGGUGGGAAAAGUAAUAGUCUUUUUUUUUUGUUGUUUUUAGAAAAACUAAUAUUUAUCUUCUUUUCUUUUUCUUUUUUGUAUAAUAAAAAAAUCAAAUAUCUUAAUCUGUUUUUGAUAAGAUCUUUAUUCAAUUGUGUGUUUUUUUCACGCAAUGUUUCCGUUAGAUUUUGAAUUUAUUUAUUUUUGUAUAAAAAAUAAUAUUUCUUUUAAAAGUCAAAUUUAUGAUAAAAGACUUGAUUUGAAAUGAAUAAAAUAUUAGUAUAAAAAUAAUAAAACAUUCUAUUUUAUUUUGACCGGAAAAUAAAUUAUAUUGAUGUUAGAAUAAAGAUUUUGUUUAGUAAAUAAUAUUUUUUUAAGAAGUUUAGUAAAUAAUAUAUGUGAAAAAUAACAUUAAACUAUCCAGGAGUAUUUGAAUGAGAUGACACAAGUCUCUUCUAAUUUAAUUAAAGUUUAGAUACACGAAUUCACCUUUGAGCAUGCAACAACGUUAAAAUUCGUUAGAGAGUUGCCGCUUAUUUGAGUCCUGUAAGGCUCGAGGAUUAAUCACCACAAGGUAGAGUUGCCACCUAUUUAGGUCCUGCAAAGCUUGAGGGAUUAGUCACUGCGAUAUGCGUGGAGACGGAUAGUAUAUGUCCGUUUAUCCGUAUUUUUCAAUUGUAUUUUGUUGUAUUUAUAUUUUAUAAGUUUUAAAAAAAUUCUUAGAUUAUUAUGGGUAACGUAAAAAUGUUCAACUAAAACAAAUUGAAUUGUUAAGGGUAAUUUCGUUAACAAAAUUGUUCACCAAAAUGUAGUUAAGUGCUUGAAUAUGUAACACCCAGUUUGAUCGAAUGAGUAUUAAAAUCAAAACUUUUUUUAAACAACCAAUGUUAGUGUAUGUUUAUUGUCAAUUUGUUAGUGUUUGUUGAAGGUGUGAGUGAUUGAUAAAAGAGGUUAUAUGUUCAACUUCUAUCGUUAACAAAAAUAUCAACCAACAUUUAUUUUUGAAAAUGAAAUGAUAACUAACAUUUGUUGUUAGAGAAGCUCAAGAUAUAUCUCACAUAUAUAGCAUGUAUUUUGUUUUAUUCAUUAACCACCUGAAAUGAAUUUGAUGUGUAUUUUUGUUACAAUAAUCAUCACUUUUGCAUAACUUUUUUACAUCAUUUUUACUAUCUCAAGCAUCGCAUUUUUUAACACACAAUUUUCCAUAUACUUUUAUUGAUUGGUUAAAACUAAUAUAAGACUCACAAAAUUUCUACAAAAAUCACGAGAUUUUGCGGAAUUCAUACUUCUAUAGAAAUUUACACAAUAUGAUUUCAAACAUAUCAAAAGUCUCUAAACUCUUCAUCAAAACGUUGAAACCAAUAAGAUUUUAAAAUUUACCAAUGAAUAUUCAUUUACAAUUUUCUCGUGGUUCAAUUUAAUCAUUAACAAAAAUAUAAUAAAUAAAAACCGUCUAACAUUUUCAUAUUAACAACAAAUGGGUUCUAAGGGUGCUUGUUAAGGAUCCAAAAAUAAAAACAAUUGAUAACUUAUAUAUAUAUAUAUAUAUAUAUAUAUAUAUAUAUAUAUAUAUAAUUGUUUUUUGAUGUUCUAAUGAGUUGAAUACACAAAUUCGAAGAUAAUAUAUCUACUUUAAACUUUUUAUCAAAUGUCUUGAGAACACUUGUUAGUAUUUACCAAUAUUUUAAAGUGUUUAAAGUGAGCCGCAAACUUAAACAACAUGGAGAGACCUCAAAAUCGUGGCUAAAUCUUCAACACACAUAAACCAUCAUUUGUGCUACUUUCCAUUACCAUUACCAUAAAAAGAAAAACAGUCUCAGAGACAAAUGUACAACACAAAAAUAAUACUAUAAAUAAAUAAUUCAUUAAUAAAAAAUUAUAACUUCCUUUUUUUUUUUUUUUAGGAGAAAAGAUCAAAUAAAAUUAUUACACUUUGCACUUUGCAACACUUUCCACAACACUUCACAAUGGAAAUGGCAACUUCCUCAAAUUUCAAUUUCACAUUCUCUUCAAAGAAUACUAGGUACCUGUCUAUGUUUCAUGGAUUGAAAUAUCAACACUCAAAUUCAUUCAACAAAUGUUUCAAACUUCAAUCUUUGUCUACUAAGAUAGUUUCAGCUACUACAAACAUAGCUUCUGAUAUGUAUAUUGGAAGAAACAAUAGUAGUAACAAGAUUUACACAAACUUGAAUUCUUGUCUUGUGAUUCCACCACCUACUUCCACCAAACCUAGAGCUAUAAUCAAAUUCAUUGGUGGUGCUUUUGUUGGUGCUAUUCCUCAACUUACUUAUGGGUAUUCUCUCUUACCCCCCCCCCCCCCCCCCCCCCCCCCCCCUUUUUUUUUAAUUUUUUUUUUUUUUUUUUUUUUNNNNNNNNNNNNNNNNNNNNNNNNNNNNNNNNNNNNNUUUUUUUUUUUUUUUUUCAUUUUGUAAAUUGUAGAUAUCUUAUAGAGUUAUUGGCUAAGGAAGGUUUUGUUGUUGUGGUGGUGCCUUAUAAUGUGACAUUUGAUCAUUCCCUAGCUGCUAAACAAGUCUAUGACAAGUUUCAUUCUUCUUUGGAUACACUGCUGACAUCUGGGUUGCCUCAAGCCAAUUUGUCACCUGCUCAGCUUGGAGGCCUUCCUGUUUUCUCUGUUGGUCAUAGGUAUGCUCUUAGUUUAGUUGGCUUGUUUUGUACAUAGUACGCAGUACCGACACUUUCAAUUGAAGAUGUGUAUGAUGUCCAACAUGUGUCAGUGACACAUGUGGUUACAUUCAGCUUUUCUAUUUUCUCAAAUCAUCACUAGUUUUGAUGUGUCAAUUUCGUGUUUGAUGUCCGCGUGUAUUAGGGCAUCUGACAUGUGUCAGUGUCUGAUACGAUGCUAAUACAUGCAGUUACAUUCAACUAUUCUACUUUCUCAAAUCAUUACUGGUUUUGAUGUAUAUCAAUGUCGUGUUUGAUGUCUGUGUCAUAGCUUUAUAGUUAGUACCAAUCUUACUUGAAUUAAGGUCAGGUAAAAGUGUUUUUGUUUUCAAUUUGUAGCAAUGGUGCACUUCUUCAAGUUCUCACAGGAAGCUUAUUUUCUGAGAAACUACCCAAGGUUCGGUUUUUUUUCUGGCUGCUAGAGUACAAGACUGUAUUUAUCUAUGCACAAAAAGGGUUUUGAUAUAUAAUAUUAUAUUAAUUAAGUUGUUAUAGGCAUGUUUUAGUUUAUCGCAAUGGAAGCAUAAUGCAGAUUAUAAAAUUUUAUUUUCUUUAGUAAACCCUAUAGACUUAUAGUUAUAUCAAUUCAAGGAAUGUGAUGAAAAGGUAUGUGUAUCUUAUGGAAGGCUAAUGCUGUAAUCGCUUACAACAACAGACCAGCGACGGAGGCUGUCCCUUACUUUGAGCAGGUAUUAACAACAUUCAUACUUGUUGAAUUCUAAUACUGCAAUUUAACUAAGAGUCUUUAUCAUAGGCUACUUUAAUAGAAUGAUUGAUUUUUGUAGUUGUGGAGUGGUUAAGAUGGAUUUUUCCAACAGGCUAUAUAUACCUUGCUUGUCGCCAUAGAAAAUUUUGAUAUGAAAGUUAAAAUUUAGUUUGGAGGAUGGAAUUUCUAUGUUACCUAAAAGUAUAAAACAUUGUUUGGACACAAUUUAUUGACAUUUUGUGUUUAAACUGGAUAAUAUACGGAUUUACACAAAGUAAUUAAAGUGGUGAAUGGUGAUGGAACAAAUGUAAGCAUGCUAAACACUGGUUAUGAAUAUGUUGGAAACACACCUGAAUGUGCUUAAAUAUAGUUUUUUUAACAUAUUUCGCAUAGCUAAAGAUUCUGUAUAUCUGUGCAAAUAAAUGGGAAGCCAAUAAAUAUGCUUUAAGAAAGCUUAUGAAGAAAUGCAACAUUUAUACACGCAGAUGCAAUUAAGUUCAAUUAGUAUUAGCAUCAUCAGCAUACCAUCAACUUACUGGAAAGUUUAAGAAAAUUUUAUUAUGUCUAGAACAUUAAAUUUUGCUGCUGUUGGAAUCAAUUAUUCCCCUUUACUCUUACCGUCUAUUACAGCAUCAGAACCACUGAAAUAAAUAUGCUUCAUGACUUAAUUUCGUAUGGCCUUAUAUCAUUCAUCUUCAUACUGUAUUUCAGAUGAUAAAGCAUGUGUGUAAGUUGUUUGUGUCAAUUGUGAUUAAAAUUUUGCAUUGAUGUCCUGCAGUUAGGUCCUGCAGUCAGCCAGAUGAUGCCGAUAGUGGAAGCAAAUCCAAUUUACUCAAUAGCUAGAAAUGCACCAGGUAUCACCUUAGAUUGCAUAUUUUUUUGAAAUUCUGCACAGUUUGGCUAACUGUGUUGUAAACUAUCUCACUUCUCUAACUGCUGAAGUUUUUCAAAAGGAAGUGUUGUUGUCAUUGCUAAAUGUGUUAGGAUGCAAAAAUAUUUACUUUAUAUAAUCUCAUUCAUUCAAUAUCGCACCUGUUAGAUUUCAUAUGUAGAGAAUUUAGAAAUUGAGUUCUAAAUUCAGAAGUCCUGGUCUAAUGAUGUAACUCUGAUGUUAAAAUCAGUUAAUGCAAUAGCUCUGCCAUUGCCUCAGCGAUUCUGUUAGAACUGGUAUCUAUUGUUAGAAUAAAUUAGAGGAAGGAAACAGAUUAUAGCAGGAAGUAUACUCGCUGGGACACUGUAUCAACAGAGACAGUUAUCCUUAUUUAAGCAAUCACACAUAGAACAAUAUGAAAGUGUCAGAGAUUUGGAUCAUAUACUUUACACAAAACUGACCAAAGUCAGUUUUGGCCUUCUCGGCCUCUCCUCCUAUUAGUAAUCCUUAAUGGGAGGUCUAACACAUUUAUGGAAUUCAUUGGUUUGUUUAAUUACAAGUAUAUUUUAUCUUUUCAUUUCAUAGAUUUACUAUAAGAAUUUGUGUAUGUAAUAUCAUAUGAUGAUUAAGCUUGUCAUCUGCAACUUGUGUAGGAGAUGCAUGGAAAAUGGUCCUUGAUACUGUUGGAUCAAUUCUGCAGGAAAGCGAGAAGGAAGUUCUGAAUUCCUUAUCUAAAUUUGUUGAUCAGCUGCCUUUGGUAAUGAAUGAGGUAUGUGUUAACUGUUGAUUUUGGAGAUUGUGUGACAAUAUUUAUUUCAAUAAGUAACUAGUAUGAUGUGUUAAAUGGAAAACCUUGGAGGUCAAAUAUUGCUGUCGGUUUUUCUAUAGGCAAAUCUUAGUAAGUUAGUGGUUACAUUAGUUUCUGAGAUCAAACCUGGGACCUCCUGCUUAAAACUCCUUCAUUGUCCCUUAUCUCACCAACCGAGCUACCUUCGUAGGAUAAAUUUUGCUGUUGAUUCUUUUUAGCAGUUAAUUUUGCUUCCAUUUGAAGCUUAUAAUCCCUUAGGUUAAUCUUUAAAAGCUUAUGAUGAUCUUUGUGGCCACGGUCUAUUAUGAUCUAUGAAGCAGCGACAUAGGCACACGACACUGACACGUAGACACCGAUAAUAAUUUGAUAAAAUAGAAGUGAUUGAAUGUAACACAUGUGUCGGUAACGGAUGCCAGAGAUGCCUGCAGUCUGAAGUUUAGGUGUUACUUAGAUGAUGAUUGAAAAGUAUGAAGCCCAACAUGAGCAAGGUUGAAUAUCCACGUCUUGCAAGGAAAAUUUCACUAUGAUGCUUAAAACCCACUCUUUUUUACAAGUUAUUGGUUCUAUAUUUCUUCUUGACGUGUAUAUAUCUCUCUGUCAGGUUACACAAGGAGUCUCAGAGUUCAAACCAACACCGUCCGAAAAUCGUGAUUGCUUUAAAAGUUCGUACAAUGUCAAACACACAUUAUUGGUCUGUCUGAUACCUUAUAUCUCAUAACUUACUUUUGAAAGACAGCUAGCAUUGUUAAGAUAUGUCUGAUGUUGUCUUUCUUUUUGUCUAUUAAGGUGCAAUUCAAUUCCGACACAAUUGACGAAACAAAUAUUCUUGAAGAAACACUCAAGCCUCGUGUGGAGUCCUUUGGUGGGACAAUAGAAAAAGUAGGAUUGAGUGGUAACCACAUCACCCCAUGCAUCCAGGUAAAACUUCUCUGCACCAUCCUAUAGUUCAUUUCAUUUAGUUGAAAUUAUGUGUUGCUUCAUUUUCACUGAUUGGUGGUUACACUGAAAUCAGGAACCAAGAUGGCAAGUAGGUAAGUUGUAUACUCCAGCAGAUGCUGUUGCUCAAAGGCUUAAAUCUUUUUCUCUGAGUGAUACUAGAAUCCUUGCCAGAACCAUUAGUGACUGGUUCAAACGUUUUGAGGAUUGAAGUGCUAGGGCAUAUUUGCAUUGCGUAAAUCAUGCAAUAUAGUUUUGGCUAAUAGAAACUUACAUGUUGUAUAUGUGUGCAUUAAUGAGUCAAGAAUGUAGUAGACAAUCUUAGUGUAAGUUAACUACCAUUAUUAAGGUUAAUAAAUACUUAUUGGAUUGGAUUUUGAGAGCAACAUACACACAAUAAUCCAACACAAAUAUAUUCAUCAAUCUUGCUUUUAUUUUUCACCAUUUACUUUUGGGCUGUAUUGCAUAUAUUUACAUUCAUUACUUAUUGUCUUUGAUUUUUAUACAUUUACUAAACGUAUUUACUAGCCUUUAAUUAGGCCUAGUUAUAGUUUAGAAAAUCUGCACUCAUGGAGCUUUUCGAGGAAUUCUACAAAUCCAGCUUAAGAAGUAUAGUCAAUUCCUUAAAGAAUCCCCUCAAGAUGGAGAGUGGCCCUCGAGUGCAGAGGCUGCAAGACUCAUUUGUCGAGCAGGGACAAAAUUCGACCUUAGUGAUAUGACAGUGUCGAGUGGAAGGGCUGUCAGCCUGUCACUCAAUAAAUAAAGUUACACUAGGGAUAUAUAAUAGGUCGAUCUUCCCUAACAGCUCAUAUGAAUGGGAUGAAUAGGCAGCUUGAUGCUGAUAAUUUGCCUCCUGCAACUGUGUGUGUCCCAAGCGUUGGAUUGUUCGGCCAUUUAAGCAGUAAGUGAGCCAAGUUCAGAACAUCGCGAGACAGCUCGGUCCAUAUUUUGCAGGGGUCUUAUAGCAUUGUGAGGACCGAGAAAGACACACCUCUAGUAUACCAGCUAUCAUGUCCACGAUAGAUGCGAAAAUAUCUAAGUAGUAAGCCUAACUCAAGAUGAGUCCUUUCUUUUCCGACUUCCUCAAAACCUCCUAUAACAAGGUGGACAAGAAUUUAGAUUUAUCCACCAUCCAAAUAAUAUCAUUGUUACAUUUUCAACUCUAAGUUUUAUCCAUAACCAACUUCUAACUAACCAAAUCCACCUCAUACAUCCUCAUCAUUUAUUUCAAAAGAGUUAUAUCAAAUCUUAUUUCAAUUCAACUAUAUUGACUAAUGGAUGUAUAUCUAGAUAAGUUCCCAAAUAUGAUUAUAUGACUAAUGGAUGUAUAUCAAAUUUUUUGGGGAAAAACAAAAUUUACUAAAUUUAAAAGCAAUUUGAUAUGUUAUAUGAGACUCGUUAAUAUCAACGAUGUUCAAUAAAAAUGUGUUUGACAUCAAUCUUGAUGGGUAACAACAACAUAUCAAAUGAUUUUAGAUUUUAAUAAAAUUUCAUAGAGAUGAUAUUUAUGACGUAAUUCUUCAAUCCAACGGUGUAUUUUAUGCAAUGUAAUUAUCCAUCCCUUUGCAAGUAUAUUGAAGUUUUUUUUUUUUUUUUUAAUAUUUUAUGUAAUGUUAUGAAUUGAAGUGAGAAAAUUCUAAGUAAAUUUUGGACAGAUGAUUUGGACACUGAUCAGGCAUCUGAUAGCACAUUGGAGCCUGACACUUAUAUCGAGCAUCAAUAGGCUUUGUUAGCGGCUCAUCCUGAAGUGCACAAAUUCUUAUCACAAACUACAGACACUGUUAAAAAGGUCAAGAGAGGGAGACCUAGAAAGCCCAAGAGUUCCAAAGCACUUUCUAACACCAAAUCAAAACACAAUCGCUACAGAUCUUACUGAGAUUGGCUCUGAUACUGUGAAUACAAGAUCCAAACAUGGUGUUAUCAAAAGCAAUCCUAGAUAUGGUGAUUAGAGGAUCAGGAAAUUUUGAUACUCAUCUAUUUUGCAUAACAUAUGCUAUAUUUGAUUAGAUUUCUUUAGGGGCAUGUGCAGCUCUAUGCUUUCUUGGCAGGUUACACUUUGUUUUGUUGCUAUAGGAUAACCUUGGCUUCCUUUCUCUCUUUUGUAAACAGGUUCAGGCCUUAAUCCUGAUUUGCAUUUUAUUUUCAUUUGCAUUGAAAAAAAAAAUGAAUUGGGUAAUAUAGUAAGAGAAACUAAGUCAAAAGUGUAUUUAUUUAAGGAAAUUGUUUUUUCAAAACCAUGGGCAUUUGAAAGUCAAAUUAAAUCCCACCUAAUUUGACUCAAGUAGGAUGUAUUCAUUUAAGGAGACAAAGCUCUCACGCCAUUUUUCCUUCUUUUUUCUAUUUACGAAAUUUGAAUGCUAUAACUUGUUUAAGAAGUAGCAAGUCUUUUACCACUUAUGUGUGUUGAUUAAAUAAGAAAAGUGUUUAAUAUAAAUCGAACCAAUCAACAUUUUUAAUCUUCUUCUUUUAAAAUUAAAACUUAAUAAUUCAUAAGAUAUUUUUUGUAUUUCUUCUCACAACUAGGAUGGAUUAAAUUGAUCAUUUUUAAUUACAUUUUGAAAGAAAAUAAAAAUCUCAUUUUAUAUAGCCUUUUGCGAAUGGGACCAUGGGAAGAUAUCACCACUUGUCUUGUGAGCAAGGCAAGUUACUAGUAUGGUUCAUGCAUGGCUGCUCACAAUACUUGAAAACAAGUCAAUAAGUAAAAAAGUGGGCAAAAAAUACAUUGGUUUUUGAAAUAAGGUAAACCUUACCUUGCCUCAGUCAAAAUUUAUUUAGAGAGUUUGAACAAUUAGUAUAGAAUGGAGUUAAUGGAGUCAAAUGUAUAUGCGACAUGCUUUAAUCCUUAACAAUUAAUUUGUCUCCUGAAGUAGUAGUACUCCAUUUGUAGUACUUGUGAGUGUCCCUUACUAGCUAGGACCAUCCUACUAGAAGUGGUAGAUGCUUUUGUUUUUGGUCCAAUUCUAAUUAAACUACACCAUCCAUCUUAAAUUUGGUGGGGAAAACCAAGCCUCAUGCAUGAGGUUUUGUUGAUGAAUCCCACGAUUGUGCUUGGUAAUUAGUUGAAGAUUGAACAAGUACAACAAAUGGAGUAUGAAGUAUCAAUAUCACUAUAUAGGAGUCAAGUGUAUAUUUUUAUUUUUGGACAAUAAGGUGUAUAUCUUUACAAUCCACUAAAAAAAAGUAUGUUUAUUGUUUGAUUAUUUGAAGAAAAAUUAUAAUAAUUACCCUUAAGAUGUUCUUUAAGGAAUAAAAAAAAGAAGGUAAUUUUACAUAAAAAAAUGAUGUAUUUAUUAUUUUAUUUUAACAACAUUUGACAAAAGGUAAUGUUAACAUAUACUCUAAUUUGCCUGUUCAAAAAAAAAAAAACAUAUACUCUAAUUAAGGACACAUGUUAAAGAACGUGUCUAUUUAAUUUAGUUGGGUCUAUUUUUUUUACAUAAUAAAUGUAAUAAAACUAAUAAUAUACCGUCACAAUGGAAAAUGAAUUUGAUGCGGAUUUUUUUUUCUAUCUAUCACUAAAGUCAGAACAUUUGGUUGUCAGAUGAAAAUUAAACAAUUCAUAUUUAGACUUUGUAUUUUAGAAUUGAUUUUUGUUGAGCUCAAAAUAUGUAACAUAUAUAUGUAACGAUAAAAUAAAUUUUAGAAUUUGAAUGCCAAGAUGACAGCCUCUAAUUAAAAUUAGGAAAAUGGUAACAAAUAUCCUUAAAGCAUUGUUUAAGUAUAUAAAAGUAGUAACUUUUAUUAGAAAUUGUGUAGUUAUGACUUUUAUAUAUGUUUGACUUGUAUUUCCAUAACAAAAUUUCUUUUUGUGGAUUCCUUAAACAAUGCUCUUAGAGUACUUGUUAGCAAGACCCUUAAAAUUAUGAUAAACAGUAAACUAUCACUCUCUUUAGUUUAGUCCCUGAGUUAUAGAAAAAUGCCAAGUGUUUUAAUUCUCUUGUUUUCAGGAGAACUGAGACUCUUAUAAUCUUGAGUUCGAUUUUUAUAUAAGUCAAAAGUUUCUCCAUCUAAAAAUUGAACUUCUCUCAAACGAUUCAUCUUUUAUUCAUUCAAGUGUCCAAUCACUUUUAUAAUAAAAAUAAAUGUUCAAAGCUUUAUAAUAAAUUUAUUGGUACAUUGAACCAUACCAUAAAAAUAAUAAGCAAAAUACUAAAGAGAAGGACCGAAACGGUGCACCUGAUCUAAUUAUUUAUCUAUCACACACUUCACCUGUGUAUGUGUCUCGUAAAUCAUUGUUUUGUUUUGAAAUGAGAUUGCCUUUGAUUGGUAGCAACUUUUCAUCCCAUAACCAUAUGUUGGCCAAAGUUAAUUACAACUAACUAAUGUGACAAAAAAAUGUUAGAAAAUGACACCAAUCAAAAUCACUUAAAUGAUUUUGAUUUGUGUCAGCUCAUCAUAGUAACUCUACCCACAUUUUAUUUAUGUGUAAUGUAAUUGUCAUAUAAAAAAUGAGAUAUUUUAAGGAGAUUUUUUUUUUUUGGUGGUGGCCGGGGCUUGAACACCGGACCUUACAUAUAUUAUACAUUGUUUCUAUCAACUGAGCUAAACUCACGAGGACUUUAAGGAGAGUUAAUGGUGUUGGUUGCAUGUUAGAACAUAAAAAUAGUGGUCCCUCGUGCGCCAUGCAAACUUGCAUAGAAAGUGACCGUACAAUUUUGAUGCGGCAAGGGGUGUCAAAGGCUGCAUUUAAAUUCAUAAAUGAUAAUUUCAUCUUGUCACCAUUCCAAUUUCAUAUUGGUUGCAAUUCUUUAAACUAUCAUAUUUCUCAACAAUGUCAUCUCAAUAACGAUACAAUACACUUUGUAUAGUAUGUAAAUUUUGCAACCCCUUGUUUAACAAGCAAACAAAAUUGUUGCAAUAAUGGAAAUAAAUGCAACUUGUUUUCUUCGAAUUUAUUUUAGUAGGAGACGAGAAAUAAUCUAAUUGGUGGAGUAUUUAGCAAAGAGAGGCAAGAUUUGUAUUUUUAUACUUGAAAGCUUUGAAGACAUGGCAUGGUCUAUAACUGAGACAGAGAUAGACCACUGAUCACUCAAAAGAAUCCAUUUAAAAUAUUAUAAUAAUAAAAAUAAUACUCCAAAAAUAAAAAUAUUACAAUAAAUAAAGGAGAAUGCUAAAGAGUGUCGUAGAGACAUUGGUUAAGCAUCCAAAAUAAGUAAAUUUUCAUAAAAAAAUUGUGUAAUUAUUAUUGCAUAAAAAAUACUCCCUCCGUCCCUUAAUUAAUGAUCUAGUUGACUCUGACACACGUACCAAUGCAUAUGUUUUAUCUUUGAUAUAUUCAAUUCUCUACUAAAACAAUUUAUGAAAAUUUAAUAUUUUAAAAAUAUUGAUCGAGACGAAUCCAACAACAUCUUACAUGAUAUUAUUUAUCUUUAUGAAUUAGUAGAAAAAUAUGGUCAAAGUAUGUUAAGUCAAUAAUAUAUAUUGUCAAAUAAGUCAUCUAUGGAGAGACGGAGGUAGUAACAUCUUAUAUUUUCAAGAUAAAAUUUCUAUUUAUAUAUUCCUUAACCAAUACCUGAAGAUACCGGUCAACAACCCCCAUAAAUUAAAACCAUACGUUGGACCCAACUAUUUAUUAUAACAAUGAAGUUCAUCUAUUAAGACCAACACUUACCUUUAAAUCUUCUAUACUUUUGAACUUUGUGCCUCAAAAUUUUAGUGUAAGGGGAAAAAAACUUGUGACUCUAUAUACACCAACUUUGUUACAUACAUAACCACAUAUAAAUAUAUCAAGAAACCAAAGAAGGAUUGUGAUGGAAUUAGAACAAGACCAUGAUCUCUCUAGUGCUUACAUUCGAAGUUUGGUGAAACAAAUAACAACCACAAAACCAAAAGAAACCAUGAACCCUAUCAAAGAUUGUGUUUUUGAUGGUAGUGAUUCUCCAAGACAACAAAGUUUAAGAAAACAUGUCAAAGUUCAACACCAACAUCACAAAAAACAAGUUAGAAGAAGGCUUCAUACUAGUAGACCUUAUCAAGAAAGACUUCUAAAUAUGGCUGAGGCUAGAAAAGAAAUUGUAACUGCCUUGAAGUUUCAUAGAGCAGCUAUGAAACAAGCUAGUGAGGAAGAGCAACAACAAAAGCAUCAACAACAAGUUGAAGAAGAAUCAUUAUUAAUAGUGUCUUCUAACCAACUUUCACAUGUUUUAAGUUUUGACAUUGAGAAGGAUUUAAGUUUCAAUUCUAGGAUAAAUCCUAGGAUUUAUCCAUCAUGCAAUGACAAAUUUUCAAAUGAUUUUUCCUAUUCUUCUUUUUCUCAUCCUUCACUUUCACUUCCACACUUCCACACAUGGCCUAUUUCUCCAUCAUUUUCUCCAACCCUUUUGGAUGAAAAUUUAAAUUUUACCCUCCCAAAUCAAACUUUAGGAUUGAACCUUAGUUUACAUGAUUUCAACAAUUUAGAUGACACCCUUUUACUUAACAACAACAAUAAUGAUAAUUCUUCAUUUUGUUCUUACUCAUCUCAAACAUCAUCAUUUCCUUCACUUUCUCUACCAAAUGAUCAUGAAGUUCCUUCAAUUAAUAAAGUAUCACAUGAAGAAGGUGUGACUUUAGAGGUUGAUACCAUUGAAUCAAGGGUUACAACUAAGGUCGACGAAGGAGAAUGUCAUUCAGCCGUGGAUGAUAAACUUAUGGAAGAAAUGAGAUCAUUAGGAGAACAAUAUCAAAUGGAAUGGAAUGAUACUAUGAAUUUGGUUACAUCAACUUUGUGGUUAAAUUUCUUGAAGAAAAUGGAACAUGAUGCAUAUACAACACAAGAGGAUGAUGCAUGUCAUGUCUUUGAAUCAUGGAAUUUCCAACUUGGUUGAAUAGACAAGAAGAAAUCUGUUUAGAACAGUGGUCACAUGAUCACUUCAUAUAUCUCAACUUACCUUGGUAAGUUCAACAAAAAUUUCAUAACUUUUGAAAAUGAAAUUUUAUUUAAAAAAGUUCUUUUUGGUUGUACUUUUGUACCUAUCAAAAUAAAAGGUACAUGACAAUAUGUGCACCUUUGUUUAAAUUUUCUUGUAACAUAGCCAUAAAACUUUAAGUAAAUUUUAUCUUUUAAUUACACACUUAUUUUUUGCGAAUUAGAUUUAAGUUAUUUUGUUAAGUAGAUUUAUGUUAUUUUAUUUCUUUUUAAUACUAGAAAAUUCGAUCUAACCAAACAUCCUUAAAAAACAAAAACAAGUAUUUGGAUCCUAUCUUGCACACAACAGUCUGCCUCUUUAGUAGAAAAAUACAAGAUUGUAAAGACGAUUUACUAAUUUUGGAGAGAGAAAAAGAAUUUAGAUAGAGAUAAAUAUAUUUGAUAGGGGCACAAGAAAGAAAUGUUGCAUAUUGAAGAGAAAUAAAGACUAAAAAAGUUGAAAAUUAAGGGGUCCAACGCAAGUGGUUGAUGUCCAAUGCAUCUCAAUGUUUUAGAUUUUAAAGUAUUAAAUUUUAUUUCUACUCAUAAAAAAAAAUAAAAAUUGAGAAAUUAGUACAGCAUACAAUCCAUGUUAACUAAAAAAAUCUAUAUACAUUAUUUUCUUCUAUUUGGAGUCAUAUGGAUCCAUUCUGUGUUACUAAUACUAAAAGUUAGAUGGUAAUGUUAAAUAUAGAUUCUUUUUAUUUUGUUCACUUUCCAUUUACUUCUUGAGUCUCUAAGUAUGCGUGUUUCUCCUCUGAAAAAAAGUAUGUGUCUCUUUCAAUUUGGGAAUGGCAGAAAUGGGAAAUUGGCUUAUUGGAUUGAUGAUUAAUAAGUGGUAAAUCAAUUGAUAAAACUUUUCAAGUUGAAUAAACCAGGACUCGAAUAACAUGGGUGCAUUUCAGCCAUGUGCAAAAAAAAAAUAUAAUGUGUCGUGGAGAUGAGUAUAUUGUGUUGGAUGUGUCGCAAGACCGUAUGAUAUAGGAUUAGAAAUAAAAAUAUUAGGGGGUGGGGUUGGGGGGUAUAUGUAUAGUAGAAAAAAAAAAUAGUGAAAAAUGUACUUAGAUGGUUUGUAGAGAGAACACAUAGUAAUAAGAAGGGUAUAUCAUAUGGAGAUAAGCCGAUCACUAGAGACGGAAAGAGAUUUAGAAAAACUAUAAAAAGAAACUAUUAAAAAAGAUAUAUUAAUAAGUUGAAUCAAAAUGUGAUUUAUUAUAAAACAUUAUGAUGUAAUCUGACCCAUGCAGCUGGCCCACUUAGUGGAAUAAGAAUUUGUUGUUGUGUAAAUUCAAAAUCAUGUAGAAAAGAAAAUUAAUAAUCAAUUAGUCUCUUGUUUGAAAAGUCCAAAAUUUUAUGGUAGAAGUUCUUGUGAUGUUAUAAAAAGGGUCUUGUUAACAUCCUCCUUAUAAAAAAAACUAGGAAAACUAGCAACAUUAGGGGAGGAUAUGUGAGACCGAAUUAUAAAGGCCCACGACUUAACUUACGUUGGGUUAAACUAGAUUUUUUUUUUUUUUUUUUUGUGUGAAAUACAUAAGACUAAGUUUUUUUUUAAAGCCUAUUUAGCUAAAAAAAAAAGUGAGCCGUAAAUUAGAAGUGUUCAAAAUCGAACCAAUUCAAUAAAAAAAUCGCAAACGAACCAACCCAAACUGAAACCGUAAAAAAUUGCAUUUGAUUUUAAUGUAUUCAAAUAUUUUUUUUAUUCAACCGCAUUGUUCGAUUUGGUUUGCAAUUUUUAUUUUAUCAACCAAACCAAACCCCAACAUAAAAAAAAAAAAAAAAACACCAAUUAACCUAUAUUACCUAGACCAAUACUCUUAGAAACUCGAUGAUUUUUUUUAUUUUAUUUUAUAAAAUGACAUAUUUUUUAUCUUGUUAACUUUCUUCUUUGCUUUUUAUAUUAAAUUUGCUAUCUUUUUCAACAAUUUAAAAUUAUUAGUCUACAAUAAUUUUUUGCAUAUUUAAAUGUAUUAUUAUGAAAUAGAAUUGAAAUAUGAUAUCAUAAAUGUAGUCAAAUUCUCUAAAAUAUCAUGUUAGAUAUCCAAAUGGGUUUGAUCUCAUAGGUUUAUUAGUUUGUCAAUUUUUUUUUUGUCAGGUAGCCUAGUAGCUAGAAUUCACCUUAUAAGGUGAAUAAGUGGGGUGUCCGGGGUUGGAACCCGACCCCUACAUAUAAUAAUGCAUUGUCCUACUAACUGAGCUAUGCUCACGGGACUAUUAGACUUAUAAUGCAUUGUCUAACAAACCAUAUCAUGCUUUCAAAAAAACGAGACUCAGACAUAAAAAAUAAAAUGCCACAUAUCAGACUUAAGCCUUGAUUUUUUUGACAGACUUGUAUCUUUCAAAAUCGAACUAGGUUCAACCUAUUCUACUCCUACCAUCGGCUACUACAAACAUAGUUGCAAAUAUGUACUCCCUCUGUACCAAAUUAUAAGUCGUUCUACAAUAUCAAGUUACCAACGAAGCAUUAAAUGCUCUUUUUCCUUCUAUACAAUUAACUAUUUAUUACUCUCAUUUUUUUAAUUCUUUAAUUUAUAUUUUCUCUACCAUUAAUGAAGGGUAAUUUUGUAAAAUUACUUAUAAUUUCUUUUUUCCAUACAAUAUUAAUUACAUUUCUUAAUUUGUAUGAAAUUACUAAAACGUCAUAUAAUUUGAUAUUUAGGAAUAUCAUUUAAGGUCUUUAAUAGUGUCUCAAGGCACUCAUUAGCAUUUUUCAUAUUUAUUUUUGUUUUUAACAUAUGGUUUCUAGAAGAAAAGACCUAAAUUUCGAAGGUCGGACGAUAAAUACAAUACAACCCAUGAUGGUUUCAUAUUUCAGCUAGAAUUUGAACUCAAAUUCAUUUAUAAUUGAUCGCAGUAGCCGAUGGUAGGAGUAGAAUAUGUUGGAAAUUGUUAGAUUUUGAAAAAUAUAAGUCUAUGAAAAGAAUUAAGGCUUAAGUAUACGUGCUAUUUUAUUUUUAAGGUCUGAGUCAGAUUUUUUGAAAGCAUGAUAUAGUUUGUUAAAAGGAUAUUUCAUAUAUAUGAAUGUAUUUAAAUAAGUAAUAUGAUUCAUGUUUAAAUAAAUUGACAAACUAAUAAACCAACAAGCUUUUAUAAAAACCUAUCUAUUAAAUAUAUUAAUUUUUUUUUUAAAUUUUUUUUUUAGAAUCAUUAAAGAGUGUUUCGGGACACUUUUUGUUAACAAAGACUAACAAGUAAAUAAAUAUGAUGAAGUUAAUGGAAAUCAAGCAGGUGUGCGACAUGCUUUGAUGAUUAACAAUUAAUUUGUCUCCCAAACUAUAGUGUACAUGUGAGUGUCCCAUACUUGGACCAUCCUACUAGAAGGUGUAGAUGCUUUUGUAUUUGGUCCCCAAUUUCAGGUUUCACCGUGCCUCUUAAGUAGGGUGGGGAAAACCAAACCUCAUGCAUACAGUUUUGGUGAUGAAUCCUACGAUUGUGUUUGGUAAUUAGUUGAAGAUUGAAGCAACCACGACAAAAUGGAGAUAUAUACAGGAGUAAGUUGUGAUAAUAUCUUCAAAAUCCACUAAAGAACAUAUGUUUAUCUCACAUUUUGGUUAAUUUAAUCAUUACAAUGUUAAUUAAGGAAGCAGAAGAGGGAGGAUAAAUCAUAAUAAUUCGGGUCUGUUUUUGUUUAGAAGAAAAUCAUUCAGGUCUAUUGUUUUUGCAUAGAAUAUAAUAAACCUAAUAAUGUAUCCUUGAACAUAACUCAGUAGACAAAAAUAAUGAAUUGUUAUAUGUAGGGUUUUGGUUCGAACUCCAAACAACUCAUUUAUUCAUCUUAAAAAGUGAUUUCUAAUCAUUAAACUACUUGAUCAAUAAAUAAUAAACCAAAUAGUGAUUGUCACAAAUAUUUUUGUUAAGGAAAAAAAAGAUAAAAUUUACAUAUCUUUCUUCAUAUUCUUUGUAUAUGUUCAUCACUAAUAUUUUCUCAAAAACUGCAUUUUGUACUUGGAUGCAUCUAAUAUAUAGAUCUCAUCUAUAAAAGAUUCAACGGUGGACCCAAAUAUAUUAUAUAAAUUUUAAUUAAGUGCACAUUUAUUAUGUGAUUGUCACAAAUAGAUUUAUUAAAGGAAAAUUCUAUUAUGAAGUCAUUAGAAUUAAUUUUCUAGUGAAGUUAACACUAUAACAUCAAAAGUGUUGUGAGUAACACCUUACUGUUUGUGCAGUGACAUCAAAAGUUCAGUCCCCUUAAUAUUAUCAAUUCAUCAGAUUAACAAGAAUACAUUUAAUCUAAUUUUAUCCUGCCUUGUUUUAAGUGUAACACCCCACAAAGUGUAACACUUACAUGAUAUCAGCAACUCUGUUUGCAUGUUAAAGAUGCCAACGAUAAAAUAGUACCUUUAAGUCCAAGAUGUUGCAAGCAUUACUAGAUGAAUUACUAUUGAUCAUUAAUCAACAAUCAACAAUUUAAAAAUGAAUCAAACAUUAAGAUUAAAACUAACUUUUUAAAAAAAAUCAGUUUCAUGACUACACCGUAGAAGCUCCCUUUAUUAAAAUGUAAUUGUCACAUAUUUUAAUAAAACAUGUGAAAAUUGAUUAUGUGAUUGUCGCAAAUAGAUUUAUUGUUGAUAUUAUGUGAUUGUCACAUAGUAUAAGAUAUCGAGAAAAAUACACUAAAAUUUUAAAACAACAUCACCAAAUUAAGCAAACGAAAAAUGAAAAAAAUUCCCUAGUCAGUCCACACACCCAACUAGCAGCCACGAACCCAACAUAGCCCCAACAAACCGAACCAACUGCAGGCUAACAAUGCCGAACAGUUAGGUUGUUUGUAUGCCACCCCAAAGCUAAACAAUCUCUAAGAUUUCAAUACCAUUCAUAGAAUAUAAAAACAUCAAUUUUCAACCUAUUAAGGCACCAACACUACGAUAAGACCUUGAUAGCAUAAAAAAUCUCCUCCACUUCCUUGUUAACCCCUUUGAACAUCCUAUCAUUUCUCUCAAGCUAAAUAGUCCAAAUGGUAGCAUGCCAAAUCAUCAUUAUCCCUUUCCUUACUUUCUUGAAAUUUACCUCAUUGAAUCAACAAUCAUGGUGAAUUCCCAACGAAGGCGGAGUAAUAAAAUUCACAUUCGCCCAAUUAAACACCUUAAUUCACACUUUGGCCACAAAGUCACAACGAAGAAAAAGGUCUGUGGCCAAGGUUUAGGUCACUAACACUAUACAAUUGCAAUAACUCUCUGAUGUCAUGUGGUUCCAUAACCAUUAAAGGUUUUAAGAAUGCCAAAUUAGGUACACAAAUCAUUAUUAAAAUAUGCCUAAAGCUAAUAAAGAUUAAGUGAUUAAAAUAGGUCAAGCCUAAAAUGCAGGGUUAAUUUGUAAUCAUUGAGACCUAAAUCGAUUUAUAAAUGUUCGUAAACACAUAAAAAGUAGGGAUAAAUAUUAUUUUAGUCCCUAUAAAUAUGUCAACUUUUCGUUUUAGUCCCUCUAAAAUUUUCCUUCAACUUUUACUCCCUACAAAAUUUUCAAUCACUACUUUUGGUCCCUAUUUUUAAUUUAAUUUUUGUAUUUUUUUAAUGAAAUUGUGCAGAAAUGUGUAAAAUAUUCUAAAAAAAAUUAGAAUUUUUUAACAAAACAAAAAUUAAAUAUGAAUUUUUAACCAUAAAAAAUAUAAAAAUUCAUAUUAAAUUCAUGUUUUGUUAAAAAAUUAUAUUUUUUUUGGAGUGAUUCUUAUAAUAUUUUGAAUUUUUCUCUAUUAAAAAAAAAUAUGAAUUCUACAUAUGAGUUUACUUUAAAAGAGAGACCAAAAGUGAAGAUUGAAAAUUUUAUAGGGACUAAAAGUUGAAGGAAAAUUUUAGAGAGACUAAAAUGAAAAGUUGACAUAUUUAUGGGGACCAAAAACAUAUUUAACCCUAAAAAGUAUUAAGGAAAAAUUUAAUCAAAUAAAAUACCAAAUUGAUUAAUUGUAUUCAAAAGAUAAUUUAAUGUUACAUGAUCAAAUAUUUACAAGGAAGAUUCUCCUUCAUGACUGAACCCAGAGAGAAUUAGCUACUAAUGAUUCCUAAACAUAAACUAAUGAAUAUGAAUAGGAAAACAUAAGUACAGUAAAAGAACACUGGUUGAUGAUGCUUGACUUCCAAAUGGCUUUGGUCGCUCCUAAUAUUUUAAAAUCACGUUUCUGCCUUCGUUUGCUCAUAAAUAUGUUUUCUUCCACUAACAUAGGCCUCUAAUAUUUAUAUGCGAUUGUUUCCCUAAAAAUCAGGAACAAUUGGCCCGUGAUGCAAGAUGUCCUACUCGCGACGCAAUUUAAAUAGAGAGCAAUCACUAUGCCUUUCAUUAAGAACUCACGAUGAGUGAUAAGCAGAGGUUGGAUAUGCUAAUUUUAUUUUGAUUCUGUGACACGCAACUCAUGGGACGUGUCACGAGUUUGGUAGGGUUUAUGGGUCCUCUUACUUAUAAGGUGUUCAACCUUUACUAUUUUAUCCGAUGUGGGACAUAUAACUCACACUUGCAAACCAACACUCCCCCUCAAGUGUGAGUCCAUCAAUUCAUCUUGCUCCCCCUUCAAGCGGAAGCUCUUUACCUUGCAUGUAUCGUCGUUCCUGCACAAGGAGCCACACUUGCUGCUUGUACCGCCGUUGCUUGCUUUCUGCGACUAACUGCCUCGGUCGUACCCUUCGUCGAACCGUGGCUCUGAUACCACUCAAGUGUGAGUCCAUCAAAUCAUCAUGCUCCCCCUUCAAGCGGAAGCUCUUUACCUUGCAUGUGUCGUCGUUCUUGCACAAGGAGCCACUUAAGGGGAGCCAGGGGACCGUCCACAUCGAGGCUAGAACAACCGCACAAGCAAGAGAGACGCCACACUCUUACCCAAAACCUUAAGCCAAUGGGUUUAUAGGUCCUCUUACUCAUAAGGUGUUCAACCUUUACUAUUUUAUCCGAUGUGGGACAUAUAACUAACACGUACAAACCAACAACUUCAUCACUCGUUGUUCUAUUUCUUCUCACCAAAAAUGUCUACAAUGACUAUGCCCUUAGAAUCACUAGUUAAUGACUAUGCUCUUUGACAUUUGGUAUUAUUUCCCUUUUUUUUUACCAAAAGUAAACAAGAAUUUUAACCCUUGAAAUGCACCGCCAUUGUAGUCUAUAAAUGAACAUCAAAAUUAUAAAAACAUCACUAAACAUGUCUUAGUUGGUUAGUAUGAUUAUUGAAUGUGAUUUUUGUAAGUCAUUUUUGUCCCAACACAAUUAUGAAUAGGAGACCACUUAACUUCGAUAUAUUAAAGAAGAACGGUGUCACUUAAGUUUUGAUCUAAUCAUUUAGACAUAGUAACCCCUCCUUCUUUUUUUGUUAUUGUUGAAAGGUAGUAACUCCUACUUUCGUGUAUGAUAAUAAUCAUCUUGCCAUGUAAAAUGUGUGCAUUAGCAUUGCAACAUGAAAAUAUUUAAAUAAGAAAUUAAGAUAGUACAAAAUUAACUUUUUAGCAUACUAACAAGUAGUACUAACUACCAAAAUACCAUUCGUUCCUAAAAAAUCUAACAAACCAUAACCAUUUAUUAUGCUAUUUUAGGUAAAGUACUGAACUUUCCACAAAAACCGCAUUGGGAAAAUUAUAAAGUAAAUAGUCCAUCAGUUCCGUAAUAUUCAUAAAAAAAAUAUUAAAAUCCGUCCCAUAAUAUAAGAAGAAAAAAAAAAACCAAUUUAAAAAUAUGAUCAUCAUUUUUUUUAUUGCAUGGACAACACUUGGCUUGCUACUAUUCUUAUUAACACUUGACUUGUUGCAUACAUUCCUCUUGAGUCAUGACACUUGGUUUAUGGUUUUCCCUUAAACUUGAUUUAUGGGUGACACUUGACUUGUUGCAUGCAUUCCCCUUGAGGGCAUUUGUCAACCUUUUCCAUAAUAUUAUUUAACUAGUAAACACCAAUUUCUUUUUGUGUCUUGAUAACCGAUGUCCACAAGACACUAGUUAAGAAACUAAACGUAGAAAAAAAAGACAAAUUUUAAAUUGAAAAAGUAUAAUACACAACUUUUAAGAUAAUGUUUCCUUUUAUAAGUCCUUAACAAGUACACAUGAUAUAUUUGAUAUAUUAUUUCCCUUUCUUUUUUUACCAAAAGUAAACAACAAUUUUAACCCAUAAUACACCGACAUUGUAGUCUAUAAAUGUACAUCAAAGUUACUCCCUACAUCAAAGGUUGACAAAAACCAUAACCAUUUAUUUUGCUAUUUUAGGUCAAAUAUUAUUGAACGUGAUUUUCAUAAGUCAUUUUUGUUCAAACAAUUAUGAAUAGGAGACCACUUAGUUUUCAAUUAUAGAAAAAAAAUGGGAACCGAGUGACUGAGAGAGAGAUACACGACGGGCAGUGGUACACCCACAGGCAGUCGCGCCGGUUUGUUUCACUGGCAGCGAGGAACACAGGGGGGGUUUGGGGUCCAUGCAGGGUGCCACAAANNNNNNNNNNNNNNNNNNNNNNNNNNNNNNNNNNNNNNNNNNNNNNNNNNNNNNNNNNNNNNNNNNNNNNNNGGGGGAUUGAGGGGGAUUGGAUCGACGUGAGACCGAGACAGAGGAAAGCGCGGCGACAGAAUACUCAAGGUCAGGACAGGCUUCAAGAAGGCGAUUGGCGUCGGAAUAGGGACGGUGACUACAAGCCUCGUACGUCUAGGGUUAGGUUUUCUUCACGAGAGGAUCGCUACCAUGGGGACUAUGAUACAGGUUCAGAACGUUCAGAUAGAAGAAUGGUGCGGUGGGGUGAUUGUGAAUGGGAUGAGGAGUGCGACUACGACACUGAUGUCUCAAAGAUGAUUGAUGGGUACUGUGCAUCAACGCGUAGGACAAAACUGCGCAACACAGACAGCCAGCAGCCAGUGCGUGUCAACAAUGCGCACAAGGAAGAAGGAAUAGGCGUUUAGGCAGCGUCGACAUUGAAACGGUUUGUCACUUUUUACAUUACAAACUUUCCUGCACAAGCACCGACCUUUUUCUUGCGAAAGGGGUUCAAAGUUUGUGGUAUUCUUGAAGAAUUUUUUGUGCCAAACAAUAGGAAUAGGAACGGUGAUGUUUAUGGGUUUGUUAAGUUUGCUAAGGUUCGAGACGUGGAUAAAUUACUGAAAGCUUUGAACAAUGUCUGUUUUGGUCAAUAUUGUGUCCGUGCAGUGCUUGUUAGGUUUGAUAGGAAGGCGGGUAGGAGAGAUGAGGUGGUGAGGAAGGGAGAGAGAGUAGGUGGUGAGGAGGGAGGUAAGGUGAAUGGUGGGAGAGGUGUCGAGGGAGUUACGGAGGGUAAGAAGGUGAAUGAGGGAGAAAAAAGAGAGAGCGUUGAGACAAAGAAGGUGGUGGGAGCGAAGGAGGGUGGGGUCAGUGAGGGUGAUGGUGGGAGGAGCGGGGAAGAAGGGUUUGAAGGGAGAGGGAGGAGGAGAGAAGCCAGAGAAGAGGAAGGAGGGUAGGAAAGCAAGUACGGAUAAUUUGGCCAAAACGACGACAUUGGUACGGAAGUAUACAUCUUAUGAGGAGGAUCGGUUAUGGGCUAGUCGCGGUCUUAUUGGUACGGUUGUGGAUGGGGCAUCGAUACCAUUGAUUCAAAAUCGUGUGGAGGAUGCGGGCUUUAAAGAUAUUGAUAUUAUCCCGCUUGGUGCAGACAAGGUAUUUGUGCACUCCCUUUCAAGUACAAAUGUGUCUGACAUUGUCGGUGAAGCGAAACAAUUUUUCAACUUGAUUUUUUCUAACUUGGUGUGGUGGGACAAGACUGUGAUACCUUUUCAAAGGGGAACGUGGGUUAGAGUUUAUGGGAUUCCGCUACAUGCUUGGAAUGAAGAUUUUUUUAAACUUUGUGUUUUGGAUUGCGGAAGGUACCUAAGAUCGGACACUUGUUCUUUGAAUAGAGAAAGAUUUGACUAUGCAAGAAUUUUGAUCUCAACUCCGUUAUUAGAAGUGUUGAAUGUAUCUGAUAACUUACUGGUUGAUGGUGUUUUGGUGGAUAUUAAAAUAGUAGAGGAGUUGGGGAUAAAUCUCGGUGACGACGCAUGCUUGUACGAGGAAGAUGUUAAGUCUGAGGCUGCUAGUCAAGAGCAUGCAGACAUGCAUGAUGUGGUGGAAAUAAAUAACAAUGUUGAUAUUUUGGCGGAGAAAAUUAUUGAAGAUCUAGUAGACGCAGAAGAACGGAGUAAUAGUAAUGCUAAUAUUAAAGUGCAGACACAGUUGGAGAAUUUGGGAAUGAAGACUAGGGACGUGGCUGCUGUUCACGUUGGAGAUUGCAUGGGCAACACAAUGGUAAUAUAGUACAAAUGCAUGAGGAUGAGGUAUGCAAUGUUGAAGGAAGCAUGUCAGCCACACAUUUUGAGAAGCAAGCUACUGUGACUUUCUCAAGUGGCUCGUUGGAAUUGGAAAUUGAAGGCACUACUUCAAAUUGUGAGAAAAAAGAUACUGGGAACUUCACUAGUGGCUUUGUGGAGUUAGAUUUUGAUGGCCUUGCUCAUGUGGUAUCUAAUAAUGAUGACGUCAAAGGGGCACCAAGGAGAAAAAGAAUUAAUUCGACAACGUGUCCCAUUGACGAUGCACAGUCUUUUCAUUCAGGUCCGUGGAGUGUGGAUUGGUUACAAAAUGUUCAACAAGGUGAUAUUGGGCUUAUUUCUAAUAAUAAAAAGCGUGUGAAGAAAGUUAUGAAAGGUACUGUUGGUUGUGGCGGUGGAAGUAAGGUCACCGGUGGUAAGAAGAAAGCCGGUGGUGUUCUUAGACAUCCUGUUCUUACUUUAAAAAAAGUGGCAAGGCUUCCUAGUAAAGAUAGAGAAGAGGUGUUGCAAGUGCUAAGAAAAUCAAAAGUUUUGAAAUCACUAAAAUAGAAAAUUAGUAACAGACGACGUCAAAGGGAGAGAAUCACAAGAUCUUUAGAAGAGGUAAAACAAAACUCAAAUAAUGACUCGUCAGAUUCGGUGAAUAAUGACUGGCUGAAUUGGGUGGCUUUAAAAGGGAACGAGGAGUCAAGGGCGGAGGACAUAGAGGAUGUAGGAAGGAUUAUAGGUGUCUCUUUUACAAAGACGAAUCAUAACAAAUUCAGUAUUCUAUCUCGACCUAAGAACAAGGCGUUUGGUCCUGUCUUGGAACCGGUGAGGGAUGUUGGAGGAGUGGAGGUUGGGGGGGUUUAGGAGGAGUGGUGUGGGGAGGGGGCAGCGCGGGGAGGUCGUUGUAAUGAAGUUGUUAUCAUGGAAUGUGCGUGGAUUAGGGGGGUUGGAGAAGAGGAGGGAAGUGAGGAAGCUAGUUGGUGAGAAAAGUCCGUUUAUUUUGUGCUUUCAAGAAACAAAAUUAGCGGUGUGUGAUGCUUUGCUCUGUAAUUCUUUGUGGGGCGAUUCGAGUCAUGAUUUUUCGUUUCGUCCAUCGGUGGGAGCCUCUGGGGGGAUGUUAACGAUGUGGGAUACUGCGGAGGUAGAGGUAUGGUCAUCGGCGAGUCAAGAACAUAUGCUCAUGAUUCAUGGUAGAUUCAUUCGAACUAAUAAGGAGUUAUAUCUUUUUAAUAUCUAUGCUCCUUGUGAUCUCAGGGCAAAACAAGAGUUAUGGACAGCCUUGUCUGUAAGACUGCAGGUGGUAGGGGGUGCGAAAUUGUGUGUGUGUGGGGAUUUUAAUGCGGUCCGAUAUGCGGAGGAAAGAAAGUCUGCAAGGGGAGGCGGUGGUAUAAGUGAUUUUCAGCAGUUUAAUAUGUUUAUAGAGGACAAUGGGUUGUGUGAUUUACCGCUUUGUGGCCGUCGUUUUACGUGGUUUAAAGGAGACGGUACUUCUAUGAGUAGAAUAUACCGUUUUUUGCUAUCUGAAGAUUGGUGUGCGCAGUGGCCGAAUAGUAUUCAGGUUGCCCUUCUACGGGGUCUAUCUGAUCAUUGUCCGCUUCAGCUGUCGGUUGAUGAGGAAAAUUGGGGACCGCGUCCAACUAGAAUGCUGAAAUGUUGGCAAGAUAUGCCGGGUUAUAAACAGUUUGUCAAAGAUAAAUUAGAGUCCUUUCAAAUUGUGGGCUGGGGCGGCUUUGUGCUUAGAGAGAAGCUGAAAUUAAUUAAAUUGGCUCUGAAGGAGUGGCAUGAGGAUCACACAAAAAAAUUACUGGUAAACUUGAUUCUUUAAAAAUUCGUGUGUCGGAAUUGGAUAUUAAAGGUGAGAAUGGUGGGUUGUCAACCGAUGAGAUAGAGGAAAUGAGGGAUAUUUCUCAGAAUCUGCAUGAAUUAUCUCGUGUGAACACUAGUAUUACUUGGCAACAGUCUCGGAUUCUCUGGUUACAAGAUGGAGAUUCUAAUUCUAGAUAUUUUCAUUCGGUUCUUUCUAGUCGACGGCGACGUAAUUUCAUUGUUUCUUUGAUGGUGAAUGGUGGUAUUGUGGAAGGGGUUCAACCUGUUAGGAGUGCAGUGUUUACACAUUUCCGGGAUCAUUUCGCGGCUCACUAUAUGCAGAGGCCAGGGGUUGACAAUCUUCAGUUCAAUCAGUUAUCUUAUGCGGAUGGAAGCAAUUUAAUAAAGCCGUUUUCAGAAUCAGAGAUUAAAACAGCGGUGUGGGACUGUGAUGAUUUUAAGAGUCCUGGACCGGAUGGGGUGAACUUUGGCUUUCUGAAAGAUUUUUGGGAAGAGCUGAAGGAUGAUAUUGUGCGCUUCAUUACAGAGUUUCACAGGAAUGGUAAAUUGACUAGAGGUAUCAAUAACACUUUCAUAGCUCUCAUUCCAAAAAUUGAUAGUCCCCAACACCUUAAUGACUUUCGACCUAUUUCUUUGGUUGGUUCUAUUUACAAAAUUCUAUCGAAGGUUCUAGCUAAUAGAUUGAAAUUGAUUUUGGGAAAGGUUAUUUCGGAUUCGCAGACUGCCUUUGUGAAAAAUAAGCAGAUUCUAGAUGGAAUUUUGAUUGCUAAUGAGGUUGUGGAUGAGGCUCGCAAGGAGAAAAAGGAACUGAUGUUGUUUAAGGUGGAUUUUGAAAAGGCGUAUGAUUCGGUCAAUUGGGGAUACCUAGAUGAUGUAAUGAAAAAAAAUGGCAUUUCCUGUGUUAUGGAGGAAAUAGAUAAAGGAUUGUGUGACAACAGCUACAGCGUCUAUUUUAGUUAAUGGGAGCCCUACAGAUGAGUUUCCUUUACAGAGGGGUCUGCGUCAAGGGGAUCCCCUAUCUCCGUUCUUGUUUUUGAUAGCCGCUGAAGGUCUUAAUGUUCUUAUGAGUGCGGCGGUGCGGACCAAUUUGUUUAAAGGGUACGCGGUUGGUAAUGACAGAUCAGUAGUAGUUUCCCAUCUUCAAUUUGCUGAUGAUACUCUGUUACUUGGAGUUAAAAGUUGGGCUAAUGUCCGAGCUUUGAGGGCCGUGUUGAUUUUGUUUGAGGGGAUGUCUGGUUUGCGAGUGAAUUUUCAUAAGAGUAUGUUGGUUGGAAUUAAUAUUCAGAAUUCAUGGUUGAAUGAAGCAGCCUCUAUUUUAAAUUGCAAAGUUGGUAAAGUUCCGUUUCUGUAUCUGGGUCUUUCUAUUGGUGGUGAUCCGAAGAGGUUAGCCUUUUGGGAACCUGUGUUGAAGACUAUAAAGUCUAGAUUAUCGGGGUGGCAAAGUCGCUCUCUCUCUUUUGGGGGUCGGUUGAUUCUUCUCAAGACUGUCUUGACCUCAUUGCCUGUCUAUGCCCUUUCCUUCUUCAAAGCUCCGUCAGGUAUAAUCUCUGUCAUUGAAUCUAUUUUUAAUAAAUUUUUUUGGGGAGGGAGUGAGGAUAACAGGAAAAUUUCCUGGGUCGCUUGGAACUCUGUUUGUUUACAAAAGGAGUAUGGAGGGUUGGGAGUGAGAUAGCUGAGGGAGUUUAAUUGUGUUUUGUUAGGUAAAUGGUGUUGGCGAAUGUUGGUAGAUAGAGAUGGUUUUUGGUAUAGGGUGCUGGUAGCGAGAUAUGGUGAGGAGGCAGGGAGGUUGGAGGUAGGGGGCCGGAGUACUUCAUCUUGGUGGAAGGAAGUAGUGAAGAUUAGGGAUGGGAUGGGUGACGAUGAGGGGAGUUGGUUUGCGGAGCGGGUUUCGAGAAGGGUAGGUAAUGGCGUGUCUACUUACUUUUGGUAUGACAGGUGGCUUGGUGAUGUCCCUCUUCGGACAAGGUUUAGACGUUUAUUUAACUUAACGAAUAACAAAAUAUGUACGGUGGCAGAUGUGUUUGCUCUUGGGUGGGAGAGUGGAGGAGGGGCGUGGAACUGGAGGAGACCUUUGUGGGUGUGGGAGGAGGAGUUGGUAGAAGAGUGUAGGCAAUUACUUAAUGGUGUUGUUUUGCAGUCUGAUAUUUCUGACAGGUGGCUUUGGGAGUCCAACACUGAUGAUGUUUACACAGUGCGUGGGGCCUAUCAAAUUUUAACUACUGUUGCCGAUCCUCCAAUUGUUGGUGUCGGAGACCUUGUCUGGCAUAAGCAGGUUCCUUUGAAGGUUUCCAUUCUGGCUUGGCGUUUGAUUCGGGAUAGGCUUCCAACUAAAGCCAAUCUUGUGAGGCGUCGGUGUCUGGCAGUCGAGGCAGCUGGGUGUGUAGCUGGAUGCGGUAUUGCAGAAACCGCAAAUCACUUGUUCCUUCAUUGUGCUACUUUUGGCGCAAUUUGGCAGCAUAUCCGUGCGUGGAUUGGCGUGUCCGGAGCUGAUCCCCAUGAUCUUAGUGACCACUUUAUUCAGUUUAUUACUUGUACAGGUCAUACGAGGGCGCGUAGAUCCUUUCUGCAGCUCAUUUGGUUACUUUGUGUAUGGAUGGUUUGAAAUGAAAGCAACAACAAACUUUUUAAUAAUACCCAAACAUCCAUUGAAGGCUUAUCAGAAAAAGUAAAAUUACACUCUUUAUGGUGGCUAAAAGCUAGUAAAGCCACAUUUAUAUAAGGUUCUCAAAGGUGGUGGUCGGAUCCUAUGCUUUGUUUAGGUAUCGACGCACCCGGUUUAUUGUAAUUACUACAUUUGUUUGACUCUUUGAGGGGUGACUUCUUAAUAUAUCUUAUACUUAGGAGGUUUUACCGUCUUUGUUAAUAUAUACCAUUUUUGUUUCUUAAAAUAAAAAUAAAAAUAGGAGACCACUUAAUUUCGGUACAUUAAAGAAGAACGGUGGUAUUACAUCACCUAGGUAUUGAUCUAAUCAUUUAGACAUAGUAACUCCUAUUUUCGUGUAUGAUAAUCAUCUUGCGCAUGUAAAAUGUGUGCAUUGCAACAUGAAAAUAUUUAAAUAAGAAACUAAGAUAGUACAAAAUUAACUUUUUAGGCAUACUACUAACUACCAAAAUACCAUUCUUUCCUAAAAAAACCAAACAAACCAUAACCAUUUCUUUUGCUAUUUUAGGUAAAGUACUGAACUUUCCACAAAAACCGCAUUAAGGACUGUAGUACUACUCAUAAUUGUUUCCGUCCAUGCAUAGUUUCAACUUCUAGUUAUGUCAUUAAUUAAUUAAUACAAACAGAUUAAGAGUCAAACAUGCAACAUAAUAGAAAGAGAUUAAUUACAAUUAGCAUUUGGUCUUUAAAAUAAAAUAGUUGGUGCCUCUAUUUUGACUAGUAUGAGUGUUCAUAGGGAGCUACUAAAGAAUAUGUUUGUCUAUGUGUAACCAAAUUGAAAUUAAAAUUGCUUAUUGUGUAAAAAAUAUAAUUAAAGUAGCUAUCAAUCGAAAAGAAUUGAAAGUUAUACACGUACAUGAUUGAUUGUUCGUGCGUUAGUUGGGUGUUAGUUGACUUCAUGACUUGUAGUAAAGUCUCGUGCACAAUUAACUGGUCAGGAACCGAAUCUAGUUUAGUUUUCAAAUAUGGAAUCUUGUAGCAAUAACGGCUACAUGUCAUUGAUGAUGCAAGCAACGUGUGAUAAUAUUGGAAGACCAGGUCAAGUAAAGGAUGACAUGGCAUAAUUAAAGCAAGCAAAACUAAAGAAUGACAUGGCAUAAUUAAAGCCAGAUAUCACCAUUUUUUCUUUUGGCAACCUAUACAUGGUAUCAGUAAAAAAAACUACAUGAUGAUAUAUUGGCAAAUUAUAAAGUAAUACUCCAUCAGUCCAUAAUAUCCAAAAAAAGAAAUGCGUCCAAGAAAAAUAAAAUAAAAACCUAUUUAAAAAUCUAAUCGUCUUUUUUUAUUGCAUGUGUAAUACUUGACUUGCUACAUGUAUUCCUUUUAACUCUUAACUUGUCACAUGUAUUCCUCUUAAGUCAUGACACUUGGUUUAUUUAUUGUAUGAGUGAUACUGGACUUGCUGCAUGUAUUCCACUUGACACUUGGUUUGUUGCAUAUAUUCUUCAUAAGUUGUGAUGGAUAACACUUGACUUGCUGCAUGUAUUCAUCUUGACACUUGGCUUGUUGCAUGUAUUCGUGAGUCAUGACACUUGAUUUAUUGCAUGGGUAACACUUUCCUUGCUACAUGUAUUCCUCUUAAGUCAUGAUACUUGACUUAUUAUUGCAUGGGUAACGCUUAACUUGUUGCAUGCUUUACUCUUGACAUUUGCGAUGAUUUUAGGCGCCCAAAUGUACAAAUAGCAUGGUCUUUUAAAAGAGCAAUCUCCUAUUUAAAUUUAAAUUUAAAUUAGCAACAUAUAUCAAUUAUACACUGAAAUAUGAAGAAAUAAUAUGCACCAUAUUGUUCAACAUUGAACAAAAUUAGCAAUUAUACGCUAUCAAGUUCAUACUAAUUAUGUGAUUUUUAGCAUCACUAUCAAACAUGGUUACUGACUUAUGUGAUUCUAUAAAAUUUAGCUAAUCUCUAUCAAAUAUGGUAACAAAAAUCAGCCAAUCUCUAUCAAUAUAAAAAACCAGUCAAUCUCUAUUGCUAUUUCAUGAAGCUAUACAUUGAUUUUUUUUUUCAUGAAAGGAAGUAAAAGCUUAACGAAAGAGAGGUAAAAUUUACCUAAUAGUGUCGUUUCGGAAAAGGGAAAAGGAAUAUUUUCUGCAGACAAGGAGAUGAUUGUUGUGAUUAUUUAAAAUAGCUUUUCGAAUUGACCAAUUAAGUGAUUAUAACAAAUUGAGGGUGGUUUGAUGAUAUUGACAACAUCUGAUUCGGUGGAAACGGUGUGUGAGAUGGAGGUCGGUGAUCAGAAUCGGUUGAGAUGGUGGUUGCCGAUCGGAGGUGGAGGGAUUGGUUGAGUUGCUGCCGUUGAGAGAAAAAGAAGAAGUCACAAGCGUAUACCGUAUACGCAAGAAGACAGAAGCUGGAUGGAGAGCAUAUCAUAUAAUCAGAAUAAAGGAAUAUUUUUUUGGUGAGGGAUAAUAUUGAUAUUGGGCUAUAAUUUUUUUUAAGGCCCGUGCCUUUGGGAGACCCAGCUCGAUUGAGCUGUUUGCACCUCUCUUGAGUCGUGUCUAGGUCGACCCUUAUAUCUAUUAAUAUUUUUUUUUUUUGUUGAUCAGGGUUUGAACCCUAGACCUUUGCAUAUAUUAUGCGUUGUCCCUACCAACUGAGUUUAACAUUCGUUAUAUAUAUAUUAAUUUAGUUUGCCCCAUGACAAGAUAAACAUAUACAUAUAAGAACAUAUCGAUACUGUAGUUUCAUUUUGGUGUCAUUGCCAUACAUCAAUUUAUUCUUGCUAGUUAAUCAUGAUCGCGAAUGGUUUAAUUUGUUGGCGAUGAGUAUAAUAGUCUUCUGUUACAUCCAUAGAAGUUACAGUUAAAAUUGGUUUUAAAAUUUUGUACAAUAUUCACAUAGCCGGCCGUUGUUCAAAUUGACCGUCCACACUCAUCACAAUAUUAUCACUUCCAAGCAUAUAUAGUUCAAAGUUCAAACUUACCAGAAAAGACUUUGUUCCCAAAUACUCAAGGUCGCAUAUGAGUGAAAAUUCAAUUUAGUCUCCAAUUUUUUUUCUUGAUCCAAUUAUGUCUCUGACAAAAAAAUAAACUCAAACUAGUGUUUGACACUUUUAUAUUGAAGACAAAUUAGUCUCUUUGUUAUAAUGUGUAGAGACCAAUUUAUCAUUAGUAUAAAAAAGUUAGAGACUAAUGUAAAUUUAGUUUUUGUUGGGACUAAAUGGGUCGAAAUAAAAUUUUGUGGGAUCAAAUUUAAUCUUCAUUUUAAAUAUAUAUAUAUGAAAGGAAUUGACUUUUUGAGAAAGCACAUAAUUAUAAAUCUCAUUUUAAAUCAUUUUUUGAAAGAAGUCUCAUUUGGGAUAUAUCGCUGACGGAGCUAGGAAUUAAAUUUAGGAGGGACCAAACUUAAAAGUAAAGUUUAGUGAAGAAAACUAAAUUUUAAAUUUUCUUUCUAUAUAGUAUAGAUUAUUACGUGGCAUGAUAUAUCGGAAAAUAUCGUAAGCAAUUUUUUUUUAAAAUUUUUUUUAGGGAAGCAAAGUAGUACUACCUCCGUCUCUAAUUAUAAGAUCCUUUUGAAAAAAUAAAUUGUCCCUUUUUAUAAGACCACUUUGCUAUUUCCAACUACAUUAAUUAUUUCUUUAUAUACAUGCCCCUAUUAAUUAUACAUCUUUUUCUUCAAUCAACAAUAAAUAAUAUGUUGAAAACAUAAAUCAUUUAUCUCUUAAAGGAUAAAAUUGUAAAAAAAUACUAAUUACAAACAUAUUUAAUAUAAAUAUACACUAUCUUAAUUCCCGUUAUUUUUUCGAAAGGACUCUAUAAUUAGAGACGGAGGUAGUAUUUUAUAGAAACAAAAAAGCCGCAAUCACCAAAGACAUAUAUGGAAAUGAAAGCAUCUUAGCUAGGUCCACCAACUUGGAGGAAUUUCACCACGUUCUCUAAUUCGUACACAUGCUUUUUGGCCCUACACCGUCACCUUUGCGUUUAGCACCCUAUCGAGGUUCAGGAUUGCAUUAUUGAAUUAGGAAGAUUUGUGGCCGUUUGAUUAAGAUUUGACGGUUUAUAUUUUAUGAUAUUCAUUGAAUCUAAAAUUAAUCAUAAAAUUUGGAACGUUCGAUCUUAUUUGGACGACGAUCAUAGUGCAUGAAUGCAUGCAUUUUUAACUACUACAUGCAAUCCAAAUUUCCCAUUAAUAUGCAAAGUGCGAUCACUUUUCUAAGCUUUUUUCUGAUCAUCAUCUCACUAGCACUACUGGUAGCUGUUCCCUUCUCUUACAAUUAUAUACACCAUUCAUUCAGUUACUAUUAUAAGCAAAAAUCUACAUUUUAGAUUCAUUCAAUUAAUGAUAUAUACGGUCUUUAUUAUAGACCACAUACAUUAUUUAAUGAAUGAAUUUAAAAUGUUAAUUUUUGCUUAUAAUAAUGAUCAGAGAGUGUAAGUUUUAUGAUAUGUGAUAUAAAAAUUUGAAGAGAAUUCUAUGUAAGACUAAUAGUAUAUUAAUACUCCCCCCGUCCCAAAUUGUAUGUCACUUUAGAAAAAAUAUUUGUCCCAAAUUGUAUGUCACUUUAGAAUACCAAUGAAACAUUAAUGUUACUUUUCCUUUUGUAUCCUUAACUAUUUAUUACUCUUUUUUUUUUCAAUUCUUUCAUUUAUCUUUCCCAUAUCAUUUAUUAAGGAUAAUUUUGUAAAAUAACUUAUAAUAUCUCUUUCCCACACAAUAUUAAAUUACAUUUCUUAAUAUGUGUGAAAUGUCCAAAACGUCAUACAAUUUGGGACGGAGGGAGUAAUAUAUAGAAUUAACCACCUCUUAUUAAUAUUUAUAGAAAAAUAGGACACUUGUACACUUGUUAAGAAGCUUAAAUAGAAACUUUAUCUUGAAAAUUGUGUAAUCAACAUAUUGAAAUAUUAAAAGCACUUUUUCUACAUAAAAUUUACCAAUUAUUCCUUUUUUCGAAUCCUUAACAAGUGCCUUAACAUGACCCAAAUUUAUAAGUUAAUUUGGAAUUUUCGAUUUCUUUUGUAAAAUAAAAUAAAAUCAUUUAUAUGUCGUAAAAGGGUCAUGCUAAGUUGUGAUCUUAAGACACAUUUUAAGAAUUCCAUUAAUAGCAAAUAUUUAUUAUGAAAAACUAAUUUAUAAAUGUUGAUAAAUAAAUUAACACAAUUCCAAUGCAUAAUUUAUAUUUGUAGUAUCUUUAACAUAUACCCUAAAAACAUAAGUUAACAUUGUUGGUUGGCAAGUGUGAGUUAUAUGUCCCACAUCAGAUAAAAUAGUAAAGGUUGAACACCUUAUAAGUAAGAGGACUCAUAAACCCAUUGCCUUAAAGUUUUGGGUAAGAGUGUGGUGUCUCUCUUGCUACGGUUGUUCUAGCCUCGAUGUGGACGGUUUUCCGAGCUUCCCUCAAUCACCCAACAAACAUUUCCCUUCUUAAAAACAUAGAGGCUUACAUUUAAUGAGAGAAAAAAAAUAGACAUAAAUGACAUAUUUGUGAGAGUCAUUAAAAAUCAUACUACCUAACUAUGUAUCUCAUUUGUGUCUUAUCUAUGAUCCAAAAAUAAUGUCAACCCUUUAAAAAUGAAGCUGUCAAUGUCAUAGAAAAAUCUUCACUAUAUAAAGCCAAUUAAACCCACAUCCACUCACCCAUUCAUAUACCGUAAUACACUUGUAUGUAAAGCAAGUUAAACCCAUAUACCCAUUCAUCACACUUAGCUGACAAAUAUGUCUUGUUCCAAUCCUACUAGUAGCAUCAAUGUCACCACAACUGAUCAAAACCCUAAUAUCAAUGUCACACCAACUGAUCAAAACCCUAAUAGUAGUGAUAAUAAGAUAUACAGGGGGGUGAGGAAGAGAAAUUGGGGAAAAUGGGUAUCUGAGAUUAGGCUUCCAAAUAGUAGGGAGAGAAUAUGGUUAGGAUCAUAUGACACACAAGAGAAAGCAGCAAGAGCAUUUGAUGCAGCCCUUUAUUGUCUACGUGGUCCUCAUGCAAGUUUCAAUUUCCCUAACACACCUCUUACCAUCAAUGUAGCUGUGAAUCAUGGUGUUGGUCACCAAUCUCUUUCACCAGAAGAAAUCCAAGAGAUUGCUGCGAAAUUUGCCAAUGAGUCGUCGCCACCAAUUGAGCUCACUCAAGAAGAAGAUCAUCAAGUACCUUCAGAUCCUCUAGAAUCACAAAAUGAUACCAAUUCAAAUGCUUAUUCAUAUCCUUUAGAUAAUGAUAUUGGUGAUUUGAGGAGGAUGGAUUGGACAUUUGAUGAUAUGUUUGAGGACAUGAAUGGAGUUGCUAAUGGCUCUGAUUUUUAUGGGCUGCAAAAUAUGCAAUACUCAACUCCACCCUUUGAAGAGGAUAAUGUGGACCAAAUUGAAUGUGAAGAUACUUUUACUAAUCAUUCAACCCUUUGGAAUUGGAACUUUUGAUUCAAUUGCAUAUAUGAUAAGAGAAAGACAAAAUUUUGUGUAUUAAAAAAUACACCAACAAUACAAAAAAUACAAAUUACUGAAAGAAAUUUAGAGAAGGGAAAUAUAAAACUUUUCUCUAAAUCUAUUACUAAUUUUGGUGUAAAAGAUUUUAUAAAGUGAUUAAAUGUUUUCCAUAAAUGAUUUUUGCCGCGAAUUUUUAUUUUUCAGUAAUGAAAUAACUGGUUUUUAUCCAUCACAAUUAUCUUUUUAUCGUUUUGUUGGUGAGAAGUAGUGUACAUCACCUCGACCAUACUAUAAUACUCUAAAAUAAUAUUAGUGAAAGUGCGCACGUUUUUAUUUAGUUAUAGCACUAGCUAGCUCAGGCCAAAAUAAGAAUGAUUGGUACUUGCUGCUUGCUAGCAACUAUCUGGUAUUGGAUGUAGAUUCUCUAAAUUGUAAAGUGGAAAAAUUAUUAUUGUAAUAAAUUCAUGAUUUGUUAUGAUGUAUCUACGAUAUUUAUUUUUAAUCCUUAAAUUAAUAAUUGAUAUAUUUCACUUUACACUUUAAAGUCUAAAGUGAGUUGCUCACUUUAGAUGAGCCGAUCCACCUAAUACCAAAAACAUUGCACUUAAUUAAUUAUACUUUCUUUUUGUAAUACAUUACGCGAUAAUUACAUACUCCCUCCAUCCCAAAUUGUAUGACGUUUUGGGCAUUUCACACAUAUUAAGAAAUGUGAUUAAUAUUGUGUGGGAAAGAGAUAUUAUGAGUUAUUUUACAAAAUUAUCCUUAAUAAAUGAUAUGGGAAAAAUAAAUGAAAGAAUUGAAAAAAGAAAGAGUAAUAAAUAGUUAAGGAUAAAAAAGAAAAAGUAACAUUAAUGUUUCAUUGGUAUUCUAAAGUGACAUACAAUUUGGGACAAAUAUUUUUUCUAAAGUGACAUACAAUUUGGGACGGAGGGAGUAUAACUUUUGCAUGAAUGCCUUGUUGUUGGAAUCAAGAAAUGAACAUGAGAGAGAGGUGGCAGCCAAAGGACGUUCUUAGAGCCACCGCACCGGUAGUCACUUUCACUGAUGGUGAGACACCAUGGGAGGGAUAGGGUUCAAGUCAAUGUGACAUAUAGGGGGAUAGGGUAGAACGAACUGUGGUUGGCUCAAGACGUCAAAAAGCGAACCGAUCGGGGGAUCAAGGACAAGGAAGGUCAAUGGGAAGCUUAUGACAUGGAAAAUUAGGGUUUGGUAGGAAUUUUGUUCAAGGGAAGAGCAUGUAUUAGUAGAUUGAAAGGUUAUUAUAUGCGGUUGUUUACUUAGUUUAAUUAUACCCCUUCAUCUACCUCGUAACAUCUAUCUCUCUAUCUCUCAAUCCAUGUUGUUUUUCUUGAUCAUGUAGUUUAGUGGCUAUAAUUCACUUUUUUUAAGGUGAAUACGUGGGGUGUCCGGGGUUCAAAACCAUGCCCUUACAUAUAAUAAUGCAUGUCCCUGCCAACCAAGUUAUGCUCACAGGGACCUCAAUCCCUGUUUUAAACGUAGUUGGAUGAAAAAUGGUAACAAUGUAAAUGUUGUAUUAUUUAAAGGACUAAUGUCUUGUUCACCAAAAAAAUAAAAAGGACUAAUUUCAUAUAAAAAAAUCUAAGGAUUAUAAUUUGUACCAAACAUGUAACUUAAAGAACUAUGUAUUUGUUCAUUUUUUUUAAGGCAAAAUAAACCAUAACUUAUAUAUGCACUCUUUCCUUGCUCGCCCUAAUCCGCAUUUUUUUAAUAUAUAUACUAAAUUAUGUUUUGAACAAGUAAGCGGUUGGAAGUUCAUAUUGCAAAAGAAAAGAUAUUGGAUUUCGAAAGAUCAUAGCGGAAUCAGACUGCAAUUAAGAAGGCAAUAUAUGAUAUUAAUCUGGGUAGAAUUAGCAGAAUACACAAGGAGCAAUUACUAAGGUCAUUAGGAAGAAAUUAGGGUUAUUUCAUUACUGUCGUUUUGAGUUCUUGAAAAGGGAAAGCAACGAGAGAAUUGGUCUUCUCCCAUUUAGAAUUGCUCAUUCCCCUAAAAAAGCUAAAUGUGAGUUAUCUUACGUAGGUGUAUUUUCAACGACUUACGUAGGUGCAUUUUUUAUUAUGAGUUAACUCACUUAAUAUGAUAAUGAACAAAAACAUAAGGGAGAAGAGCAAUUCUCAAGCAACCAAGCAGCUCAUAUGCUUGUUGGGCUAGGCCAUAGUGAGGACAUGUAUAGGUUUGGAAAAUUGCUCUUUUAACUUCCAAAAUUACUCUUUAACACCUCAAAAAUACUUAAAUAUCUCUAGUGGUGGUAGUCGCUCCCAACGUCAAUUAACCGCCGCUCACUAAAUAAACCAACGGUAGUUAAAUGCUGUUGUGUUCUUCCAUAAUAGCAACAUUAGCUAACUCAUUUAUUCAAAAACUGAAAUAGAAACAUUUCUCGCUCCAUACUCCCACAAACCAAUUUCUUCAACUUCAAGUAAAUCAUCAAUUAAAUUACAUAAACCUUAACUUCCUAGAGUUCCUUGUAUUUAGGUCAUUAUUAAGGAUUUUUAUUUUGUCUUCACACAUAUAACACAUUAUGCUCCAAAUGAUUUCUCUCUUGAUAGAAUUUACACUAAUUGCAGCAAUUUGCGAGUGAUCCAGAUGUGUAGUUUUGUUCUAAGAGCACAGGGACACCUUAGUACAUUUUUAACAUAAAGUUUAUUUUUUCUAUUUUUGCAGUCAUGCGACAUUCAUCAUAAACUCAACCACCCAUCUUUCUGUUGUCCCUUCUCUAUCAUUUAUGAAAGGAAAUCAUUCAUAGAUAUUAACGUAAAUUAUAUGCAAACAAAAUAUCUGGUGUAGAAAUGAGAAAUAUUAACUUGUGCACUCAAGGUAAAAAGUUAAAAAACUAAAGAUAGAAGUAUUCUAUUAGAACUUUUGCUCAAAAAAAAAAAAAGUAUUUUAUUAAAACUUGUGCAUUUAAUAUUGUAAAAGUUUAAUAAUUUAAAUUUUCAAUGUAAGAUUUAUUUUUUAUUUUUUUAUUUUUUAUAGUUCUUUAACUUGUGCCCUUAAACACGAGUUAAUAUGACCCUUUAAAAAUAAUAUUAAAACUCACGUGAGAUAUUAAACCAACUUACCUAACAAAAAAAAAGAACUUGUAUGACAAAGACCCUUAUAAAGCCACAACCAUUUGUUUAUUUGGCCAUUAUAAAAAUGUUACUCAUCCAAACCCACAUGGGUUGGCCUAAUAGUAUUAGUUUGGAACAUGGGUGUAUGCUAUUCCUCAAGGUCUUAGAUUCGAUUAUCUCUGGUUGUCAAUUUGGAUGAACUAAUUUAAUUUCUUCAAAAAAAAUAUGUUACUCCAUUCGUCCCAUAUUAUAUGAUCUGAUUGAUAAUGUGCAAUGUUGAUCUGACAUACUUUGAAUAUAUUUUUCUACUAAUAUACAAAGAUAAAUAAUAUCUUAUAAGAUGUUGAAUUCGUCUCAAUGACUAUUUUCAAAAGAAUUUAAAUUUUCAUAAUUUUUUUAAUAGAUUAUUAAAGAUAAAAAAAUGUACAUCAGUAUGUGUGGCAGACUCAACUAUGUCAAUUAAUAUUAAAAAGUUGGCCUAGUUUGAAAUUUUAUUACUACUCCCUCCAUCUUGGAUUAAUUGAGCCAUUUGCUCAAAUCAUAGAUAUUAAGACAAAUGUAUAAAUGAAGGAUAGGGAAAAAUGGUUUUAAGUGCUUUUUUUAAGUAUUGGUCUAUUCUCCACUAUCAUAAAUGCAAAGUGGAAUAUAUUGAAUUGGGAUAGAUGAAAGUAGUAUUAAUUAGAGUUAUAAAAGGAAAAAAGUAAUUAAUGAUGUAAUGAAAAAUGAAAUAACUCACUUAUUUUGGGACACUUUUUAUUAAAAAUGACUCAGUUAUUAUGGGACGGAGGAAAUAUUAUCUUUGGUUUAACAAUAGCAGUAGCUUUUAUAAAUGAAACCGACAAAAGAAACACACUGAAAUCAAGAGAACUGAGAAAGUGAAGCAGAGUGUGAGAGAGAGAGAGAGAGAGAGAGAGAGAGAGAGGCCUUGCCACCUGACCUCGCCGCCUAGGUCCACUGUUUUGGCCGCCGCACCUUCAAACUAAGUAAAACGAGAUCGGAGAAAGAGAGAGAGAGAGAGAGAGAGAGAGAGAGAGAGAGAGAGAGAGAGAGAGGGUGUUAGUGUUCUAUUCAAAGCAGCUACUCAAAAGGAGUUGAGUUACUAUGUCUUCAUUGCCUAUUCAUUUGUUGUCUCCACUCUUGUUCUCCUUUUGCCUCUCCCCUUCUUUAUCAAAUGGUGAUCUCUUUUUACAUAGUUAUUAGUAAUUGAACCAUUCUUCUCUAUGAAUCAUUUUGUUUAUUGACAACUUAAAUAUGCAUAUAUAUGAAGGUCAAGAGGGCUUCCUCCUUUGAACAUGUCUCUAAUCUUCAGAAUUUUUCUCCUUGGAGUUUUGGGGUGAACUUCCUUUAUGAAUUUGAGUUUUUGACCAUUUUUUAAGUAAUAUAAUUAUUGAUCUUGAUUUUGUUUAAUUUGAUAAAUUGUGUGAGUGAGGCAGAGUUGUAGCUCAGCUUUUUGGAUAUAAAGGACUUGAAUACACAACACCUACUCUUGCUUCAUCUCUUUCCAACCUUAUACCUGCUUUUACAUUCAUCCUAGCUAUCAUUUUCAGGUACCUAUCUCUCUUACUCUACUCUUGAAAACUAGAUACGAAAGAAAUCACUUGCUUGAACAAGAAGGGAUAUUUUUUUUAAAAUAUUUACAUUUCAAUUUCAAUAAUAUAUAUGUUUAUCAACAUGCCUGAAAAUCAUUUGUAUUUAGCAAUGGGAUAAUACAUGAUUCAUACAAUUUGAUGAACAUUGUGAAGUUUGCAAAAUUGUGAACCUAAAAGAUACAAAAAGGAUUUUUACCCGAUCCAAACGGAUGAAAAUUUUAUUGAGUUUGGUCAAAAUCAACUCAACCCAAACAAAUAAAACAUUAAAAUUAUACCUACCCUGACGGGUCGACGGACUGGUUGAUCCGUCAAUAACAAAACAUGAUUAAAUACAAAUAAAACAUUAAUUUUUAGGUGAGUUGACCUGUAAAAAAAACUUCAAGAUUAGGCUAAUAAAAUUCAACUUUAUCCAACAACUUAAGCAAUAAAAAUCUAAGUUUAUCGGAUGGUACGAAAAAUUGUGAGCUAAUGGACUAAAAAGAACCCUCCCCAUUUUUCUUACAGAUCAAGUGUAGCAAGCCAACUUAAGAAAUAUAGCCAAAAUCAUAAUAUGAGAAAUGAUAUCUGCUCCGGUUUGAGUGGUCGUAACACAUGAAAAUCCUAAAGCAUCAAAUAAUAUUCGAUUUUAUGAGGUUUUUAUUAGGAUUAGUUUGGAUGUGAACAUCUAUAGUAUGAUUUUCUUUAAAAUCAUAAAAAUUAGACUAUUUUCAUUUUGUGUGUGUUUCACUAUGGUUACUUGCUAUGUUUUUAUUGUGAACAAUAAUGGUUGUUAAAUGAAGGAUGGAGAAGGUAAAAUUAAGAUGGAAAAGCAGUCAAGCAAAAAUCUUGGGUUCUACGGUAUCAAUAUUAGGUGCACUCCUAGUUGUUCUUUAUAAGGGUCCAAUAAUCAUACCCUCACCAUCAACACAAUCACCACCUAUUAUUCAUUCUCCAAUCACUUCUUCAACAACAGAAUCAAAUUGGAUUCUUGGUGGAUCUCUACUUGUUAUUGAGAUUCUUAUUGUUCCAAUAUGGUACAUUAUUCAGGUAUAUUGAAUUCACUGAAAAGCUCUAAGCAAUGAUUUGAAGCACAUUAUGAAUUUUCGAUUCAUAUAAAUUACUAACUUAAAAUUUUGUUGGGGAUUUACACUGCUCAACCUGGUGAUAUUAGUUCUCACGUGAUUAAGUUUGGUGACUCACAUGUCUUCAUGAAGAAAAUUUGUGGUUGUUUUAAGAUAAUCUGGUUGACUUGCAUUUGGCUAUUUAAAAAGAGCGAAAUGCAAGAAUUUUUUAACAGUAAACAUUUUUCUCAAGCAAUUGUUUGAAUAUGUCAAGCUUCAUUCUUUGUGGUGGCUGAAGGCUCACAACCUAGCUCAGUUCGUUAAUUUUCAUUCGUGAUGGACAAAUUCAUCUAUUUGUAUUGAUUUCAACACUAUGUAAUGGCGGUAUUGCCCCAUUUUUAUUUUGUUUUGAAUCUUGUUACUUUGUAUUUGCUAUUUUCCUUUUGAAGCACAUCUUAGUUUAAAAGGAUUAUUUUAAUCUAAGUUCUUUUUGCAUCUUAAAAAAAACUACUCUUUCUUUCUUUCUCACUCUAUCUCUAUCAUAAGUGUCUUAAAAGCUUUGACGAUUGUGUUCUAAUGUUAAAAAUUAGGUGCCAAAUUUGAAGUAUAGCAUGUCAAAACAAUUAAUUUAAAUAUUCUCCAAUACAAACACGUAAUACUAAUUGCUUGAAUGGAAGAUACAAUACACACAGAUACUACAACAUGCUAGUAUCAUAUUUAAUUGGAGCACAAAUACACAAACAAACAUAAUCAGAACCAAACACCAGCUAAUUAAAAGACAUGGGGAGCGAAGGUCAUAAAAAUAUGCACUGAUUUUCAUUUGGUAGCUUCCCAAGUCUUAGGGAUUUUAGGUCAGAGAGAAGCACUUACAUGAAUACGUUGAAUUGGUUCAAGCAAAAAUGAAAGAGUUCGACUCUAUUGAAAUACAACAUGUUUCCGUGAACAUAGCGCUCGUGAUGAGAGGAAAAAGGAAAAUGUGGAUAUAAACAAAACCAAAUUGGCUCGUGAGUAUAGAUUUAUCUAAAAAUUUACAUGAAUAAUCUUUCUGAUAUAAACUUACAAUCCAAAAGUUAGCAUUGAUGUAACAAUACAUCGGUGUAAUUUAAUCAUUCUUAUAAUUUAUUCUUUUUUAUUGUGAGAGAUGAGAGAAUUAAAAUUAUAGGUCGUGGAUCAACAUUAACGAUACGGAUAAAAUUUAAAAAUGUACCUAUGCGUAUGCAGUCAAAUUAUUUUCUUCUUUAAUAGAAAUGAUAUUUAUACAAUCAAUUUUUGACAACUUUUAUGAUAACUUUCUCUCUCAUACUCACAUUAUGUUUUUACUUUCUCUCUAUUACUUUAGUUUUUGUACCACUACUUCAUUUUCUUUAUAAAUUAUAGUUGUCCCAUAAAUUGUUAUUGAAAUGGUUGUUCAAUCGAACAAUAAAAACAAAGCGACCCAUUCAAUUUCUUUCAAACCUUUCAUUCCUUUCCUCUACCUGAAAAGGACCUCCAAUUUAAAUGCUUUAAAGAACUUACAUGGGUUAAAUUGAGGCUUGCUAUUGUCGUUUAUAUUUUUAGAGAUUUUGUAGAAAAGAUGCAAGUAAUCUUCUUUUCCAAAUUUACACGUGUACCAUUUUCUUCAUAUUUUUAUGUUUUCUUUUUUUGGCUGAUAAAAGAUGAACGGUUGAAAUCAACAAAAAAAAAAUGAAAGAUUGAAAGUGAUGUUUAUGUCGACAAUAAGGGCAGUGUUUGAAGAGAAAAACGAUUGUAUAUAAUGGCGGUGGUCAGCCAAUUAAUGACGAUACCAAUGACACUGUUGGUCACACUCAUCACUAUAGUCUAUGGUAAUUUUUUCAGUCCAAUUUAGUCUUGGGCGAAAAGUUAACUCAAAUUAGUCGUUGACAUUUUUAAAUCUCUUUGCUGUAAUGAAUUGAUGACUAAUUUGUUGAUAUAAAAUUUUUAGAGAUUAAUAUGAGUUUAUUUUUUGUUGAAACUAAAUUGGCUUGAAAGAAAAUUGCAAGGUAUCAAAUUAAAGAACAAUGCUAUAUAUCAAGAAAGAUUUUAUCAAAAAAAUUUUAAGAAUGACAUGGCAGAAUAAUCACCCUUAAAUUUUAUCAAGAAAUAGUCUUGAAAUUAAUGUUAGCCAAUAAAAUCUCAGCCUGGGCGGAAAUCAUGGGGUGGUGGGUGUUAAUGUAUUUUUUUUUAUGAAAGAUUAAUAAAUGAGACUGAAAUAUAAAGGUGAUUAUUGUGUCAUAUCAUUCUUGGAUCUUUCUUAUAAAAUCAUUCUUGAUAUCUAGCAUUUUCCCAAAUUAAAUCUUCACUUUAAAUAUUUGUUUAGAGGAUCUUCAUUUUAAAAAUAAAUAGGAAAUGAAUUAAGAAAUGGAGAGAGCACAUAAUUAUAAGUCUCAUUUUAAAUCAUUAUAACCAUUUAUUAUCUUUCAUAGCAAUUUUGUUUGGUUGGAUAUAAAGUGACAAAUAGAAUAUAAAAGUAAAACUCAAACAUAAAUAUAGUCUUUAUUAAUAUUAUCAAUGUGUUUGAUUUGCUAAGCAAUGAAGGACAUGACAACUUAAGUUAUAUAAUGUUUGAUUUGUAAAUCUGUCUUAGAGAUAGGACAAACUGAAAGCAAUGGACAAAACAAAAAUUUAAAGUUUUGUCCCUUACUAAACCACAACACAACUUUUUAUCUCAAAUACAAAUUUUUAAAAAAAAUAUCUCCUUAUGUUAUGAUGUUAUGUCUUUUUUUGGUCAAGUAGUCUAGUGGCUAGAGCUCACACAAUUAAAUUGUGGAGAAGUGGAGUAUCUGGGGUUCGAACUCCAGCCCCUGCAUAUAAUAUAUAAUAUCCCUACCAACUGAGUUAAGCUCACGAGAAUAUUAUGACAUUAUGUCUUAUACUAUUUUAUUUAGUACUUGCAUUUUAGCAAAUCAAACACAUAGUAAGUGUCGUGAUAGAUGGAAAAUAUCCUAAGUUUUUUUUCUCCUUCAAAAGGAAACAAAAGUAUUUUAUAGAAACGAAAAAACUGCAAUUACCAAACACAUAUAUGGAAUUAAAGCAACUUUGGUCCACUUUGAGGAAUUUCUCCACGUGCUCUAAUUCGUACACAGCUUUUUGGCCCUAUGCAUCUAGGGUGGCAAAUUGGGUCCAGUGUCUAUUAUGACAUUUUGUUUAAUCUGCCAUUUUAAACAUGACUAUUACUUUUUCCACCAUAUUGCAUUUCAACGUAUUAUAUAAAAUUUUCAAAAAUAUAUUCAGAUUUUUCGAUUAUAAAAUCCGAAAACAUUCAAAGUGAAUUUGAAUUUUUUAAUCAGAAAUAAGGUUAUGUAUAAUCAACAAUUAGAAUAUAUUUCAUUUCAUCAGUUUUGAAUUUUGCUUUUAAAAGAAAAAAAAAACAAAGUAAAAAAUGUUAGAAAUCUGUUAAAUAAAAUCAUAAAAUUAUAAAAAUACCACCAAAGAAUUCUAAAAAUCAAAUAAAAUUAGUGCAAAUUUUUUCGGAUUUUUCUGAGAAUAUGAAAAAAUUUUAAAAAAAAUGAAAAAUAGGUCUAAAAGAUGAAAUUUUGAAUUUUGAGGGGCGGAGCUCCACAAGAAGUCACUUCUAUGGGAGUCUUGAUUCUUGAUUGUUUUCUGAUUUUAUGGGAAAGUUUCGGAGCAAUCUGAUCAAGUAACCCAAAGAUCGGAUUUUUGACUAAGAACAACUAACAAUGACCUAAAACAGAAUGAUGAGAGUUAGAAAGAUUAAUACUGUCCUUAAAAUUACUAUCUAUGUUACAAACAUGUUCAUAAUUUGUGCUGAUACAGUUCGGAUUAUAUAAUUCGAACCGUUUUUCCCUUGAAAAAGGGUGUUUAGGAGGGUGUUCAGAUUCUAUAAUCCGAAAAAAAUCAAGUAACAUGCCCUAUUUAUUUAGAUUUUCGGAUUUUUUCGGAUUAUAAAAUCCAAAUUGAUGAAAAAUUCAUUUUUUUUCACCCUAUAAUAAUGGAAAACACCAGUUCGAAUUUUUGGAAGAAAAAAAAUAGGGCGCACGAGAAAUGAAUAAGAUGGAAAGAAUAAUAGUUUUUAAAUAGGUUGAGUUGAGGUUUUGAGCUCACCUAUUUAAUUGCUCGUCCUUAUUUAACUCAAUAAAAAAGCGGGUCUUGGUUGGCCGGGGUAAGCUAGCCCGUGGGCUCAUAAUUUUUUUAUUUUUUAUUGUACUAGUAAUCGAUAACAAAUGUCUUAAUUUUAGUAGUUCUUGAUUAAAUAUCUAGGUGUUCCAUUUAAAUAACUAAGAAGAAGGUAGGAAUUUAAUUUGUUUCUAGAAAUUUUAACCAAUGGUAAUUGAUUAAUUUAAAAUUUUCAUGUACGAGAGAAAUUUAGUUUAUAUUUUUUUUCAUAGUAUUUAUUAUAAUUUAAAAAGUUGCAAAAUGUGCAUGCAAAUAAAAAAUAACUAAUACAAUUAAUUUUCUAAGGAGUUAUACAAUUAAAAAUUUGAAUUGUGAUAUAGACAUAAAUGAGAGUGUUGGAAAUCAUGGUCGAACCUAACACAAAAUAGACAUAAAUAAAAGUGUUGGAAAUUGUGGUUGAGCCUAAUAUAAUUCCAAAAAAAACUGACUUGUAAAGUGAGGAUUACUUCCACUUAUAAAUUCAUUGUCAUAUCAUCUCAUAUCCGAUGUGAGACUAUUGAGAGUCUUUGAAAAAUGUAUCUCACUAUUAUCUCAUCUUUUGUCAACCCUUUCAAAUUGAAGCUGUCAUUUUCAUGGAAAUCAUCACAACUUAUUAUAUAUAUAAAAGCCACUUAAACCCAACCACUCAUCAAUUCAUAUACCAACAACCAUGAACACACACAUGACUUGUUCCAAUCCUACUAGUAGUAUCAAUGUCACCACCAAUGAUCACAACACACCUUGUUCCAACAAUAAACCUCUAGAUAAGAUGUACAAAGGGGUGAGGAAGAGAAAAUGGGGAAAAUGGGUAUCUGAAAUUAGGCUUCCAAAUAGUAGGGAGAGAAUAUGGUUAGGAUCAUAUGACACACAAGAAAAAGCAGCUAGGGCAUUUGAUGCAGCCCUAUAUUGUCUACGUGGUCCUCAUGCUAGUUUCAAUUUCCCUAACACACCUCUUACCAUCAAUUUAGUUUUUCAUCAUAGUGUUAGUCACAACUCUCUUUCCCCUCAAGAGAUUCAAGAGAUUGCUGCAAAAUUUGCCAAUGAAUUACCAAUUGAGCUUACUCAAGAAGAAGAUCAACAAGUACCUUCAGAAUCACAAAAUGAUGCCAAUUCCAAUUCUUAUUCAUAUCCUCUAGAUAAUGAUAUUGGUGAUUUGAGAAGGAUGGAUUGGAGAUUUGAGGAUAUGUUUGAUGACAUGAAUAGGGUUGCUAAUUGCUCUAAUUUUUAUGGGCUACAAAAUAUGCAAUAUUCAACUCAACUUUUUGAAGAGGAUAAUGUGGACCAAAUUGAAUGUGAAGAUACCUUUUCUAAUCAUUCAAUCCUUUGGAAUUGGAAUUUUUGAUUCACAUGCAUAUAUGAUAUACAUAGUUGUUUUCAAAUUUGUGUAUUAAAUAAUACACCAAUUUUUUUUCAAUUAAGAAAAUAUUUUAAUUUAUCUCAUUAUCUCUACUAUGUGUUUGGAUUUUCUAUGAUGGCAUGGUGCAACACGUAGUAGAGUCUUGAGAUCAAUCUCUUAAAUCUUACAACUCUACAUUAUCAUCAUGUUCCACAAUGCAACUGUCAUAGAGAAUUCAAAUCCCUCAAACAUUCUCUCUAUCUCCCACCAACUUCAAUCAUUAAUAAGUUGAUGGCAGUGAUGCCACAAUCAACACUACCAAAAACAUAAAUUAAUGAAAGAAAUUUAGAGAAAGGAAAUGUUAAACUCUUCUCUAAAUCUAUUACUAAUUUUGGUGGGAGAAAAAAAUUAUAAAGUGAUUGUUUUCCAUCAAUGAUUUUUGGUGGUAAAUAGCUUUUAGGCUAAGGCUGGAGUGUACAUCACAUCGACCAUACUGUAUAAUAUAUUAUUAAUAAGGUUAUUGAAAGUGGCCACGUUUUUAUUGUGCCAUCUCUCUUCUAGUACUAUUGAUUAUAGUAGGCUAGUAGCAAUAGCUCAGGCCAAAAUAAGAAGGACAAUGAUUAGCAUUUUCUAGCUAGCAAAUACCUAGUAGCAAUAGCAUUCCUCUUAAUUGAUUAUUCUUUCUAUUUUUUAAUAAUUACAUACUAGUAUAACUUUUGUACGAGCUUUAUUACUAUGUUUAAAUAUAUUAAAAAAAUAAAAAAUUAUGUAUAAGUCUUUAUUUUUGUUACAAUAUGUAUAUGUCUAUGUAUGUAUAUAGUAUAGCUGAAUUUCUUCGUGCCUUUGUGUUGCUUACUACGAAUAAUAAUAAUAUAUACAUUGAAAGUUUAUUAAUUUUCCAUCCUUUAUCUACUUCACAUUAAUGUCUUAACAAAUUUUGUUGAAACAAACGACAUAAAUAUGUUGUAUAAGUGACUCAAACACAAAAGGUGAAUUGGCAUUUUUGGUGAGGCUAAGGUAUGCCGCUGUUUGCUAGUUUUGACAGGUAGUAUAUGGUAGCCUCACCAUGGGAGUUUUGAAACCGUAUGCCUGCUAGGUGAUUGAUUGCCUUUUAUUUUACUUUUUUUGGUUUUAUUUAUACGAGAAAUCUAGGUCCACAAAAGUUAAUAUAUUUGAUUAAAAAGUUGGAUCAAAUACAUCAACCUUUGUUGAUUCAAAUGUCUCUUGUAAAUAAGACCGGAGUGAGGAUUUGUUUUGACAACAUUUUUUGCUGCUGUUUUGGUGUAACAGCGGCUGGGUUUUUGUUUUUGGGUGCGUGGCUAAACUGUUGACAACAUCCCUUUAUAAUGUAUUUGUGUUCCUUUACCGCGAGCGUUUGUGUGUCUUGCACAAUCUCGUCGUUAAUAAAACUUUGUCAUUUCUAAAAAAAAAAUGUUUGAUAAAGAAACGCUAAAUUCUAAAUUUAAUUGCAAACCGUAGAUUUUAGAUUUUCUUUAAGCUAAAUUCUUAUUGGGUGUUGCUAACCAAUGCCACGAGCACUAGUUAAGGAGAAAUAAAUGAAUAGAUCCUACUUAUUUUACCUCAAUUAAAGUGAGAAAUAAGUCAACUAACUAAAAUAAAUAAAAAAAUUGUAUAUAAUAUUCUGUCAAAUUUCCAUUCUUUACACACUUAUACACGCAAGACCUUUUCUUUUCUUGUGAUUUCAGUUUCGGGAAUUGACCCAUUACAUAUUUACAUCUAUGUAUCCUUUUCAUUUUUUAGCAAUUUGUUUUCUUCCCGUAGAUUUUACUCAAACCAAUUUUUUCUCCGUAAAUUUUUUAUGAAUCAUUUUUCUCUUUCAAAUCAAUUCACGAAAAGCCUUUGCAUAAUUAGUAACAUAUUCAAUUAAAAUAAAGUUCAAAAUAAAUUAAUAAUUUUAAAGAUAAAACAUAACCAAUUAAAAUAUCAAAUACAAAAUCAUCAAACGUUUAGAAAUUACAAAAUCUUUAAAAAAUAAAAUAAAAAGGAUUCCAUGCUUAUAUAUCACUAAAUAGGAAAUUUGACAGUAUUGAAUGCACAUUUUUCUUAUUUUAAUUAGUUGACUUAUUUCUCACUUUAAUUGAGGUAAAACAAGUGUGAUCCGUUCAUUUAUUACACCUUAAUCAGUGCUUCGGGGGCACUGGAUAGCAUUAUCCAUUCUUUUACUCGUCAACAAAAGAUGAUCGUAGAGAGAUGUUGAGUUGACACCGAUCAUAAUUAUUUAAUUUUCUUUCACUAUAUAUAGGGUUAAAUAAAAUUUUAGUCCCGGAAUCUAAGUCCUGGUUAUUUGAAAUUGUUUCCUUGGACUCAAGAUUUUAACCUAAAGUUACAAAAUAACUCAUCUGCUCAAGUUUGGGGUAUAAUCUCUGGUCUUGCACAAGAAUACUGGAGGAAGAACAUUUUAUUCUCAAUAGCUAGUGGUGCUGGUUCGCCAAUUUUCACUGAUUCUACCACAGCCAAACUUAUGUAUGAAAGAACCUUUGGAUAUUAGGCUAGAGUCUUAGUAGAUCUUGAUAUUUCCCAACCUUUAAGACACAAAAUGUUAGUUGAAAGAAAAGGUUUUACAUUCUAUGUAGAACUUUCCUAUGAAAAUGAUCCAGCUUAUUGCACCCAUUGUAGAACGAUAGGCCAUCAUGUUGAUUAUUGCAAAAGAUGGCACCCUGAAGAAGAGAUCAGAACAGAGAAUACUGAGUAAAGGUAAGGAAGUAAUCAAUGUCGAGAAAGAAGUUAUCAAUGUUGAGGAAUUGGCUGGAAAUGAUAAGAAUGAUAAGGAACAAGAGGAGGUGCAGUCUAAUGUGAAGACUCCUGACAAAAACACUUCACCUGCUGAACUCUUAAAGGCCCAAGAUUUGCAAAUAGAAGUGGAAAUAAAUGCCAACAUUCAAGUUAAUUCUGUUGGAGACUUAGAUGUGAAUGCGCAAGAUGAUACUAGCACGUAAGGUUCCUUUGUCGAUGCAACACAAGACCAUAAUGAAGAAGAUGAGGAUGAAGAGCAGAUUACACAACCUUUGUCCACUCCUGACAUAGUCCAGAAGGAUAUAGACUUUCUUAAAAACUCAUGGGCCAACAUUGUGGAAAAUAAAGAUGCAGAUACACGUUUUUUACAAACCUUAGAAAAGUUCCUGUAGCAAACACCUUACAAGUCAUUGAUAGUGAUGGUUUUCAUAUGAAAGUAUCAAAACACCAAAAGAAAGCUCAGAAGAAGCUCAGUCACACAGGAAUAGAAGUUAUUACAACCAGAUCAAAGGUUAUAAGACACCUUUCAAAUGAAGUACAUAUAUUGGAAUGUAAUAGGCCUAGCUAAUCCCUCAUCAAGAUUAGCUUUACAAAUACUUAUUUCUCUUCAUAACCUUGGAUGGAUUUUGAACAAUUCCCUGAAAGAUGGAUAACUAGUUUACAGCUUAAAAUGUUUGCCUUGAACAAUAGACCUGAUAGGCUCUCUAAUAUCUAGUGUUUUUGUAAAAUCUCCAUGAACCUUGUUAUUCUUAUUCUUGAUGAGCAACAUGUUUCCUUCUCAAUUGUUGAUGGACACCAAACUUUUGUUAUAUCUGUUGUGUAUGCUUCCACAGAUUACAGAAAAAGAAGACAAUUAUGGAAUUUUUUUUAUCUCUUUUGCAAUCUCAAUAUGCCUUCCCAUGGUGCUUCAUAUGUGAUUUUAACUCUAUUAUUGGAGCUCAUGAGCAUAGGUGAAGAAUCACUCCUACCAGGUCACCUAUGGAAGAGUUUAAGUCUUGUAUCGACAGAAAUGCUUUAGUUCAUUUGCCUGCCAAUGGUGUUGAAUACACUUGAGCCAAUGGUAAGGGAAUCAAUAUAAGCACAUAAAGAAGGUUGGAUAGAGACAUCACUAAUCAGUCAUGGUUAGAUUCUUGUCAUUCCCUUACAUUAUCAACCCUCACAAAACAUCAUUCUAGACAACUAAUCUCUUUUGCUAGAUGUUCAAGUUAAUAACAUACUUUUUGCUUCUCAGUUCAAAUUCAUGAGAAUGUGGGUUUCUCAUCCUGAUUGUUCCACAAUUGUUAGAGAUAGCUGGAUUUUUAAUGUGAUUGGUUGCCCUAUGUUUAUUCUCACUACUAAGCUCAAAGUCCUGAAGGAAAAACUCAAAAAUCUGGAACAAAGAUUGCUUUGGUAAUGUGCAUGAAGUUGUCCAGUUAGCUGAACAAAACCUUAACCAUCUUAAGUUUCCUUUUAGUUUAAAUGAUUCAUGAAUUAAUCACUAAGUUUGAACAUGCGACCUAGAGAGGAGCAUGCUCCUAAGUCCCAAGUCUUCAGCACUAGGCCAACCUUUGGGGGUUACUUAGUUGCAUAAUUAUUCUCACAUUUGCAUAAACAAGCGUGUUCCAAAAGAGUGACAGAGUAAGUUUUGAGUGUUAUUAAAAAAAUCAAUUGCAUCAUCUAAUUAACAUUUUUAUAUAAGUUAUUUUUAACUUUGCAUUUAUGAUAAUGAGAAUUAACCAAUGGUUAAUAAAGUUAAUUUAGUCUCUAUCUUUUACAAAAACAUGUGUUUUUAAUCCCCUAAAGGAACUAAAAGCAAUCAUUUUUUAUAAAAGGUAAAUACUAAAAAUCGUCAAAAUAAUUUUAACAAACUUGAAAGAUAUAAACAAGCGUAUACUUCCUGUUUGUGUCGUCAUUUGCAAAACCUCUGUUGUUGCGGCCAAUAAUUGUAACAUUUCUUAUUUAUUCUUUAUGAAUUUUUAUGUGUUCUAUAUAAAACACUUAUUUUCUAAUGAGUCAAGUGGCGAAAUUUACACGCAGUUAGUGCUGAGAAGUGGAGAAUUGCAUAUUCAAUUUUUUUUUUUAGGGAAUUGCAUAUUCAAUCUAUUAACUUAUAUAAUAUAGUUUAGUUUGUUUAAUAUAUAUUGUAGAUGAUUACCAAGUCAAUACUUAAUAUAUGCACAUAAUAUAUUAAACAAAAAUAAACUAAAAAAUAUGGUAGGGGUUAAUAGAAUUUAUCAAAUGUAUAUACAUUCUUUUACAAUUUGAGUUGCAAUUAAUUACUAUAACUUUUGCUUCUUGUUUAUUUGCAGUGAAAUGGGAAAUGCUGCCUAUUGAACUAGUACCUAUGGUUACUAGGACGUUUUUAAUGAUAAAAAACCAUAUACCUAUUGAAUUAAUCCCUCCACUUCAAGAUAUAUAUGAUUCUUUCAAGGUAAGUUAUCGAUUCUUACAUUUUUUUGAAUUACUUAUUUUACUAUAUGAAUCUUAAUAUUAUGAUGGCGAUUAACGACAUUUGCCCUUGCAAUUCUUUAUGACAUGUUUUAGGAGGACAUUAUAGACUUCGAUAUGUUCAAGAAUCAAGUGAAGAUACUUCUGGGUGCUCAAAUGACGCAGUGACAUCCUAAUUGAGACCAUUGAUGUUAUCAUAGUUUAAGUUUUAGAUGAUAAAGACUUAACCAUGUUGUUAUAUCACAUAAUAAAAUGAGAUAAUGAAUAUUAAGUUAUUAAUUUAAGAGAAUAAAUAGGUAGAUUUUUUCGUAACUCGAAUUUUCCUCAAGAUAUUGUGUUUUUUUUUUUUUUUGGUACAAAAGAGGGCAAAGCCCAUCAAGAUAUUGUGCUUUAUUUGUAUCUUAGGUCUAUGUAAGAAUUUCAGUGACAAUAAAAAUGUGUUUGUUGUUUUACUUCUUAUCUUGAUUUAAAGUUUGAAUUCAAUCAUAUUAAACCGUUAGGUUGAGGCUUACUAAAUAUUUAUAUUUAAGCUUAGACUUUAUUCCCAUUAAUGACUGGAUUACUAGUAAACAAAGUGUUUUAUAGAUUAGGAGUUAAGUGUGUAAGAUUAUUUUUAUGCACGAGUAGUUGUCUUCUUCUUACUUUCAAAUUGCUUCUAUUGAAUCUUCUCUAAUACCUAGAGUUUGCACUCCACUUGAAUGGUGAUGUGUUUAUUACUAGAAAGUAUCAGGAUUCAGGAAUAUAAGCAUACGUAAACAAAAUGUGAUAAAAUGGUAAAGUGAUCAUUAAAAUGAGAUGGAGAGAGUCCCUGUAAGUAUAGUUCAGUUGGCAGGGACAUGCAUUGUUAUAUGUAGGGGUCAGGGUUCGAAUUUCAGACAUCCUAUUUAUUCACCUUGCCCUGUUUGGCAAGGCCAAGAAGCUAGCUUAUAGCGGAUAGAUUAUAAGCUCGUUUGACAAAAAAUGUUUUGUUUGGUAAUAGUCUUUUUACCACGAACUUAUAGCUUAUUUUAUUAGCUUAUAACUUAUUACAAUUUAAAACAUGCUAUGUUUUCAACGCUGAAAUAAUUUUCAAAUCCUAAUUUUUUGUCACAUGAUUAUAAUUUGUUUUCUUUUCAAUUUGGCAUUACGAGUAGUUGUUUUUUUGCUAAAUUAUGUUUUUGGUCCCUUAAUUAUUUAAUUAGUAUCGUUUUGGUUCCUUAAUUAAAAUUUGAUAUAUUUUGGUAUCUUAAUUUUCUCUCUGUUACACAUUUUGGUAAUUUCCGUUAGUUUUAAUUCAAAAACGUUAGGAUUUCUCCAUCUUCUUCUCCUCUUCUUCAUCUUUAUAUCAUCUACAUCAAUCUUCAUAUCAUCUUCCUUUCAUAAACGUAAUUAAGUGACAUAUAAAAACAUCUAUUAAGGCUCUGUUGGGUAAAAAUAAGCUAUAAACUAGCUGAUAGCUGAUGACUGAUAGCUGAUAGCUUAUAGCUGAAAAGCUUGCUUAUUAAAAAUAAUGUGUUUGGUAAAAUUAGUUGUUGAAGUGGCUGAUAAGUAUAAAAUGACAUAAAAGGUCAUGUUUUUUUUUUAAAAUACAUAUAGACACGCAUUUUUUUGUAAUGUAUUUAUUUUUUAAUAUUUUUAAUUAUAGUUAAAUAUGUUUUUGGUCCCUAUAAAUAUUCAAACUUUUGGUCUUAGUCUCCAUAAAAAAAUUCUUCGACCUUUAAUCCUAAAAGAAAAUUCANNNNNNNNNNNNNNNNNNNNNNNNNNNNNNNNNNNNNNNNNNNNNNNNNNNNNNNNNNNNNNNNNNNNNNNNNNNNNNNNNNNNNNNNNNNNNNNNNNNNNNNNNNNNNNNNNNNNNNNNNNNNNNNNNNNNNNNNNNNNNNNNNNNNNNNNNNNNNNNNNNNNNNNNNNNNNNNNNNNNNNNNNNNNNNNNNNNNNNNNNNNNNNNNNNNNNNNNNNNNNNNNNNNNNNNNNNNNNNNNNNNNNNNNNNNNNNNNNNNNNNNNNNNNNNNNNNNNNNNNNNNNNNNNNNNNNNNNNNNNNNNNNNNNNNNNNNNNNNNNNNNNNNNNNNNNNNNNNNNNNNNNNNNNNNNNNNNNNNNNNNNNNNNNNNNNNNNNNNNNNNNNNNNNNNNNNNNNNNNNNNNNNNNNNNNNNNNNNNNNNNNNNNNNNNNNNNNNNNNNNNNNNNNNNNNNNNNNNNNNNNNNNNNNNNNNNNNNNNNNNNNNNNNNNNNNNNNNNNNNNNNNNNNNNNNNNNNNNNNNNNNNNNNNNNNNNNNNNNNNNNNNNNNNNNNNNNNNNNNNNNNNNNNNNNNNNNNNNNNNNNNNNNNNNNNNNNNNNNNNNNNNNNNNNNNNNNNNNNNNNNNNNNNNNNNNNNNNNNNNNNNNNNNNNNNNNNNNNNNNNNNNNNNNNNNNNNNNNNNNNNNNNNNNNNNNNNNNNNNNNNNNNNNNNNNNNNNNNNNNNNNNNNNNNNNNNNNNNNNNNNNNNNNNNNNNNNNNNNNNNNNNNNNNNNNNNNNNNNNNNNNNNNNNNNNNNNNNNNNNNNNNNNNNNNNNNNNNNNNNNNNNNNNNNNNNNNNNNNNNNNNNNNNNNNNNNNNNNNNNNNNNNNNNNNNNNNNNNNNNNNNNNNNNNNNNNNNNNNNNNNNNNNNNNNNNNNNNNNNNNNNNNNNNNNNNNNNNNNNNNNNNNNNNNNNNNNNNNNNNNNNNNNNNNNNNNNNNNNNNNNNNNNNNNNNNNNNNNNNNNNNNNNNNNNNNNNNNNNNNNNNNNNNNNNNNNNNNNNNNNNNNNNNNNNNNNNNNNNNNNNNNNNNNNNNNNNNNNNNNNNNNNNNNNNNNNNNNNNNNNNNNNNNNNNNNNNNNNNNNNNNNNNNNNNNNNNNNNNNNNNNNNNNNNNNNNNNNNNNNNNNNNNNNNNNNNNNNNNNNNNNNNNNNNNNNNNNNNNNNNNNNNNNNNNNNCCUCCCUCCCUCCCUCCCCACACACACACACAAGUAACUAAACAAUCAUUUAAUUAUUGAUAGUGGAUGGUGGAGUUUGAUAAAAAUUGUUUAUUCUAAUGGGUUGUUUUUCUAAAGAGAGGAUGAAAUGGAGUUAGGGUUGAGAUUUGAAACGCGUUAAAUGAGUCGUUUCAAUUUAUUUUUCGUUAAAAUCACGAAUUUGAGGAACAUAUAAAAGAAGGGUUCUGGAGGAAUUUUUAAAAAAUCUCAAACUCUUAUUUACUUUUUUUUUUAAAGAAAAAAACUAGUAAACAAGGGUAUGACUAUAAGUACUCAGAGGCUUCACCUCCUCACCAAAACCUCAACCACAAAUAUAAACUAAUGAUACACAAAAUAUUUUGACUGCGUAUUUAGAGUAGAAAAAAUAUUCUGACCUUGUUGGUUUAGAGUAGACAAAAAUUAACACGGGAUAAAUUGCUUCCUAUAAAAUGCAAGGUAAGAAGCAAUAAUGAGGAUUUUGUGCAGCCAGAAGCCCACACAACCUUGUGUGCGGCUCCGCUCCUACGCGGGAGCAUUAAUUUCUCGACAAUGAGUAUAAUCGUGAUGUGUUACAACCACAAAAAUUUUAGUUAAAAUUAGUUUUAAAAUAUCAAAGAUCGAGUGGUUCAAUUAAUUUGAAUUAAAAGAUAAAAAAAUUGAAAUUGGGAUUCAAAUCCUAACAAAUGUGAAAACUUAAUAUAACGGCCAACUAACAUUUGUUUCUUUAAAAAGAAAAAAUUAACAUUUUCUAUUAAUAAAAGUAUUUGUUGAAAAUGACCAAAAAUGAUGCUAGUAUUUGUCUAUUUGAAGAGAGAAAGCGAUUACAGAAUUGACGGUGGUGUUAGCCAAUUAUUGUCGAUACCAUUAGUGACGGUCAUUCACAUCCAUCUCAAUCACGUCCAACCAUAUUUCAAAAAGACCCAUAAAAAGAAAGAAAAGUCAUACUUUUAAAUACAAAUUGCCCGAAUAGGUAAUUUCCGAUAUUAUCAAGGUCUGUAUAUUUUUUUUUUUUUUGUGGUGGUAUGAGUUUGAAGUACAGACCUUGCAUUCGUUAUCAAUUAAGUUAAACUCACUGUAUAUACAUAAAUGGAAAAGAUCCCCUAAAAAUAUAAAUGGAAAAGAAAUUAAUAUAGACUUGUAUGCAUUUUUUAAUCCUCUCAUUUUUUAAUUUUGCAAUUUUGAAUUCUUACAGUUGACUCCCAUAUUUUCCUCCAUGAUAUCGUAGCCAAACACAAAUUUUGAUCAAAUUUCACAUUUUUAUUUAGUGAAAAUUGAUAUACCAAUUCUUUCAUUUUUAUUUUUAAAUUAAUCAAUUUUUGUUAAAUAAAAAUGUCACGCAUACAAAAUGUUGUCAAAAUCUAUAUGCGAGGCUAUAGAUCACUAAGGGUGUGUUUGUUUCAAGUUAUAAUUGUUGAUUCCCGGGAAUAAAAUGAUAGGAAUGUAUAUGCCUAUGUUUGUUACAAGUUUAUUAAAUUUUAUUCCCGGGUAUAAAAUGUUCCUGGGAAUAGAAAAAAUUUCCCAAGGAAAAGGGUGGGAAUAAAGUUCCCAUGGAGAUGGGAAUAAAUUCAUAAAUAGUUUACCUAUUAUAAUCCCUAUUUUUAUGGUUCCUAGGAAUAUUAUAAAGCUAACCAAACAUAUUUUUCCUAAAUUCCUUGGAAUAANCACCCUAAUUGAAAGGAAAGGGUAAACUAGAUGUGUCAAAAAUGCUCGAAUAAAUUCAUUUAGGUUAAUCUGAUGAUGUUGGUCUUGAAUAUUGAAAUGUGUUCCUUUCAUAGUCUCAUGUUCGAUUUUUCGGAUGUCAACUUUGUAAGCCAGUUUAGCUUCUAAAAAAAAAUCAAAAUCGUACAAUUAAAAAAUCCUAUGGGCUAAAAUUGCUCAAUUGAAAUUAAAGGGGUUAAGAUCGCACUAUUGAAAAAAUAAAAUGUCAAAAUCUAUAUAUUGAAGUCUUAUUUUAGAUCGAUAUCAAUAGUUUUUUAAUAAAAUUUACUGUUAAGCAAAUAUUAUUAAGUGUCAUGAUAGAUGAAGAAAAUCUUAGGUAAAUCAAUUCACAAACUGUAUCUCUACUAAUAAAAAUACCAGGUCGGAUGACAUCGGGGUUCGAAUCCAAACAUCAGGGUUCGAAUAUCUUUUUCUGGUGUUGGUCGGGAUUUAAACUCAAACCUUACAUAUAUUAUGCAUUGUUCCUACCAACUGAGUUAAGCUCACGAGUACAUAUCAAUAUAAAAAAACUUAAUAAAUGUAAUUUGGUCUACCGACCUUGAGGAAUUUGUCAAUGUGGUCUUUCGCACACAAUUUUUUGGUCCCUGCUGCAGUUCCCUUGCAUCAUUGCAUUGUAAUAAUUUGUCUAUUUCAUAAAUAACAUAAACCCUUUAAAUAUGAAGCUGUCGAUUUCAUGAAAAUGAUCACAACUUAUAUAUAUGAUCCCGUUAAGUCCAAUCCACUCAUCAAUCCAUAUACCAAUCAUGAACACAAAUAUGACUAGUUCCAAUCCUACUAGUAGUAUCAAUGUCACAACAACUGAUCACAACCCUAAUAGUAGUAAUGAUAAGAUGUAUAGAGGGGUGAGGAAGAGAAAAUGGGGAAAAUGGGUAUCUGAAAUUAGGCUUCCAAAUAGUCGUGAGAGAAUAUGGUUAGGAUCAUAUGACACACAAGAAAAAGCAGCUAGGGCAUUUGAUGCAGCCCUAUAUUGUCUACGUGGUCCUCAUGCAAGUUUCAAUUUCCCUAAUACACCUUUUACCAUCAAUGUAGCUUUUCAUGGUUACCAAUCUCUUUCACCACAAGAAAUUCAAGAAGUUGCUGCUAAGUAUGCAAAUGAGUCACCACCAAUUGAGCUCACUCAAGAACAAGAUCAUCAAGUAUCAUCAGAAUCACAAAAUGAUGCCACCAAUUCCAAUAACUCUUAUUCAUGUUCACUUAGUGAUAAUGAUGGGAGGGAACAAGUAGAUUAUGGAGACUUGAGGAUGAUGGAUUGGACAUUUAAGGAUAUGUUUGUUGAGAUGAAUGGGGUUGCUAAUUGCUUUGAAUUAUUUUAUGGGCUAGAAAAUGAUACCAAUUCAAAUGCUUAUUCAUAUCCUCUAGAUAAUGAUAUUGGUGAUUUGAGGACAAUGGAUUGGACAUUUGAGGAUAUGAAUGGGGUUGUUAAUGACUCUGAUUUUUAUGGGCUACAAAAUAUGCAAUGCUCAACUCAACUUUUUGAAGAGGAUAAUGUGGACCAAAUUGAAUGUGAAGAUGCCUUUUCUAAUCAUUCAAUCCUUUGGAGUUGGAACUUUUGAUUCACAUGCGUGAUGCGUAUAUGAUAUGUGGUUGUUUAUUAAGCUACCUAAACCGAAUCCUUUUUAUCCGAAACUCUCACUAGUCGAGUUUGAAACUUUCAAAUGCAGGGAUGUUCAUUUGAUGAGAUAAAGACAAAAUUUCGUAUUAAAUAGUACAUCAAUUUCUUUUCAAUUUAAAAUAUUUUACCCAAUAAAUCCUUAAUAAACACUACAUGGGUAUAUAUACUUUCUUCGGACCUUUUAUAAGAGAAUUUUAAAAAAUAAAAAUUGGUCCUAUUUAUAAGAAAAUGUCACAACUUUUCAAAUGUAGUUAUUGUUUAAAAAAUUUGUCUACCCCUCAUUUAAUGUUUAUCAUUUUAAUAUUAAUUUGAAUGUAUUUAAUAUUUCACAAUUUUUUAUAAGAGUAUAUUUAUAAAAACAUUCAAAAAUUACAAUAAUUAAUUUCUGCAUUAGUUAUGUUGUUUUUAGUUUUUCUUGUAAUUAAGACAUAAGGGAGUAUUAAUUUAUCUCAUUGUUUGAAACUAAUUUUGUGGUGUUGAUAGAUUCUUCCUUGUCAUGAUUACAUGCACUACACUUCAUAUUUUAUAUUUUAAUUACAAGAGGUCCUUAGCCUAAAAGAAAGAAAACUUAGCGUCUAAUUAAACGAGGUGUUGCAACACCAACAUAAUCAGUUAAAAAAUAUGAUCUCAUUUGAACAAGACAUUAUUCAUAAACAAUCGAAGAAGAGCCACCAUCACACGUCAAAUUAGCUAGAACAUAUGCACAAGAAUUGUAUGGCAAAUGUGGACCUCCCAAUUCAACUUCAACAAGCUUCUAAUAUUUGUCAACAAGCUCAACCCCGUUGCUGACCCACCUUUACCAUCCACAUAAUUGGAGACAACUGCUUUUGAAUCAAAAUGAAGCUCCACUUUAUAUAAACCACGUUCUUGAGCCAUCUUCAAGCCUUCUAACACACCCCAUACUUCAGCCACAUACGCACUACACACUCUUAACCAUUUUGAAAAGCCACAAAUCCACUUACCUACCAUUAUCGUCUCGCAACACUCCUUAACAAUCUGCAACAUUUUUCCUUCUAGAAGCUUCAUCCAUAUUUAAAUGGACCCAUCCUAUUUCCGGAGUUUUCCACCGAAUAUUUUCCGUCAGCAAUUCGCUAUUAUCCAUUGCUUGUUGCUUGUGGAAUUCUGUCACAUAAUUGUAGACUCUGUUGCUGAUCUCCAUCCAUGGCUUGAGAGGAAACACAAUUAUUAUCAUGAGUCUUUUUGUUUCUUCUAUAACCCAUUUCUCGUCCUUUAGAACCGCCUAUAACGGUAGAUCAAACAAAAUAAAAGAAAAAACAAAGCAAAUCUGCAGAAGAAAAAGAAGUUAAUAGAAAAUCUAAAACAUGCUUUUCUCAUAGAUAGACCAUUGCAUGCAUUGUCACUAGACGAAGAAUUGAUCUUCUCCAUUGUCUUAGAUCAAUUAAAACGGAGAGGUAAGAGUGCAAAACAAAACCAAACAAUGAAAUGAAUCUCCAUGGUAACUAGACAUAGAGAUGGUGUCCCUUUAGAUCAUUUUGUGAGCACUAAAUGAAGCCACUAGAAAUAUUUCUUUUAUAUUUCUUUCCAAAACUAUAAUUUGGGUCACUUUAAAUCAUUUCGUCGGAUUCGCACAAAUAUUUUGUCGUGUAUAAUAGUAUUUUUCAAUAAAAAAGUUCGAAACUCAGUUGAAAGAGUGAAAGCAUCAAAAGAAUACAUUGACAAAAAUAGUAAAUAUUUGACAAAAAUCGGAGUUUAUCUAUGGUAUAGUAUCUCUUAAUUUUCUUGUGUUUUCUAGAGACAAACAAGAGUGAUGCUAUAUCUCGCAAGAGAAAAACUCACGAGAGCAUCACAAAUCAGAAUUGCCCAAUGAUAAUUCAUCAUUUAGAGGCAAACAUGGUGAAUUGGCGGAAUUCAAGGAAGCAAGCGUGAUUAUAAUAUGCCACAUGUACUGUGAAAUUGAUUCGGCAAACAAUGUUAUUCCUUAUUUUUAGUAUAAUUUAGUCACACCAAAUUGUAUCACCUGGAUCUACCCGUGUCAUAAUCUCUCCUAUCAUGCUUGUUCUAGCUUGUUGUCCAACUCAAAGCUCCUUUUUAAGACUUUUACUACUUGAUCAUAACGCAGUCUUCUUUUCUUCUCAAACAUUAAGCUACCAUCUUCAUAGCUAUCAUCUUCCACCAUUUUAUCUAACAUUACCUGAAACUACUGACUGACCUUUUGUUUCGUUGCUCUAAUUCACCCCUACAUUGACAAAGAAUAAAAUCCAAAUGGAAAUUUGGAACAAACAAUCAAGCAUAACUUGGUUGUUAAACUAAUGUAAAGCUUUUGAACAACAAAAACAUUUACAAAAAAUAAGAAAAGGAAAAGCUUCUAUUAAGGCACUAAUCAUUAAUAAACAUGAAUCAAUUUUCAUAGUUUCUUUUUAUGCAUAACCACAUGAACAAAAUCUCUUCAUCAAACAAAUUUACCAACAUUAACACUAGAGUUGGAAAUGAGUCGAGUCGAACUUGUCUAAUCUCGACUUGAUAAGAAUUGGUUCAGCUCGAAACUCGAUUUGAGUUCGAUACAAACAUUUUAUUUAACUCGAGUUCGGCUCGUUUAAAGUUCACGAACAACUCAGUUCGACCCGUUAAGCUUAACUCAUUGCUCGAGUAACAUAAUUCAAAACAAUUUAUUUGUUUUUCUCAAAAAUGUAUAUCUUGACAUUUUAAUUUAUUUAAAAAAUAUAAAAAAUUGAAAUAAAUUAAAACUAUAAACCAUGUUUGGCUUAAGACUACUAUGGAAAAAAGCAGUAGUACUUAAAACUAAAACAACUGUAGCUCAGAUGUUAUUAGCUUCUCUCUUUAUAACAGCUCCCCCUCUCUAUUGUUUAUAAACUACCAGAUGUGGGACAAAUUUUAGUGCACUUCUGUUUAGUUAAAAUCCUGCAUAUGUUAUUAGCUUUUUUUCUUCUUCUUUCGCUGUCUUUUUUUUUUCUUGGUGAUAUUGUUUCUCUCUUUUAUUAUAAUUAUUGUUAAUUGUUGUUAAUUAAAUUAGAAAUAAUUUCUCCUACUCUAUUUGAUAAAAAAAUAAAUAAUUCCACUAAAAACAAGUACAUAAAUAUCACAUGAAGCUUGUAAUAAAUUACAUGUUAUAUAUAUAUAUAUAUAUAUAUAUAUUAUCGAGUCUACUCAUAAACCAACCGAGUCGAACUACAUAUAGCUCAAGUUCAGCUCAUUUAUUUAACGAAUUAAUUUUUCAGCUCAAGUUUUAAUUCAUUUGAUUCAUGAACCAAGUUCAACGAGUUAACUGUCGAAUCGAGUUCCAAACUAUUGUCGAGUUAGUUCGGUUCAUUGUCAGCACUAAUUAACACCUCCCAUUUCAACAUUUGUCUUUUCAAAAAUUGCAAAGUUUUUUGGUUACACCCUAAAUUGCAAAUUUGAUAAUGAAGUAAUUUGAACAUAUAGUCAUUGGAAUAAAAGAAUUGGAAAACAAAAGUAAUUUUACCUUUAGAACUUCUACUUCUUUAUUUGUUUGGAUUUUGAUUGGAUCUUCAUAGCAACUCUUACUCCAAGUGGAUAAGAGAUAUCCUCUGUCAAAAGAAAAUCACAGGAGAGAAAUUAUUGAGUAAUCAGAAAUAAAAAAGACCAACCAAAAUUUUGUGAACAAUGCAGAGUAGAAUUUGUUUAUUCUCAGAUACGUAGAUAUUAAGUGAGGUAUAUAAAUCUAGCAUGUCUAGUAAUCCAUGUGUGGUAUUUGAAACGUCUUCCUAGUUAUAUUGUGAGUCAGAUAGAUAAAGCUCUUAAAAAAUUUGAAGGUAUAGUAUACUGUGUGUGAUUUGAUAUGAGAACUGUCAAAUACUUUUGAUGGUAGGUCUAUUAUCAAAUAAUCCUUUCUUGAAAACCCAAUUAGCAAUUAUUAAGAGUUAGUUGAAAAACAAAAUAAAUUCAACUAUAAUAAAAAAUAAAAAGAGGCAGAAAAUCAAAUUAAGUUACCUGGAGUAGUCUAAGAUUUUUUUUUUCUUGGAUCUACAAAAUAACAAAUAGGCAGAGCAGUUUAAGAAAGGGUGAGAGAAUAUAAAUUUAAUUACUUGGAGCAAAGUCUUUCUAUCAAUAAUAGCUUUGGAAUCCUCUUUCAUAUGUAAAAAAUCUUCAACUAUUAUCCUUGGAAAUACUGAUUGGUCAAGAUAUUUCUACACUAGUAUUUCAUUGUUAUCUCUAGUAUAAAGAAAGACGGUUUCUUCGAAUUUGAUGAGUUGUUUAGAUAAAAGACUACAUAAUAACCUUUCAUUCCUUCUUUAUAUCCAAGAAAUGCACAUUUGUUUGUUAGCCCUUUGGUCAAAUUUGGUUAUACUGGCUUCAUGGAUAGAAACAAAGCAUAAACAUCCAAAUACUUUCAAAAUAGACAUGCUAGGAGGUUUCUUGUGUAAGACAUGAUAUGGUAUUUGUCCUUGAAUCACACUAGAAAACACUGUAUUUGAAUUGUAAAUCACUAUAAAGCUUGCAAAGACUUGGCUCCAAGUCUUGAUUGAUAAUGGUUUGGCCAAUCCAGUUCAGCAACUAAAGUCAGUUUCUAGACCGUUCAACUGCAACUCACUACAAAGUUGCACACAGUGUUUUGAGAUAUUGAUAAUGGUCUUUUAUUGCCUGGUGCCUAUCAUUCCAAUACUAGGAUUCUCUGACGUUGAUUGUGCUGAUGCUUAGACACAAAAAAAUCAAUAACUGAUAAUUGUUUCUUUAUUCGUUCCUCCUUAUUAGCUGGAAGUCAAAGAAGCAACAAACAAUGUCUAUGUCUUCAUCAGAGGCAGAGUAUAUGUCACUUUUCUCAAACAUUUGCAAGUAACAUGUGAUAGAAUCCCAUUCUUGUACUAUGAUAGCCAAAGUGCAUUGCAAGUUGAUUCUAAUCCUUUUUUUAUUGAGAAAACAAAGCACCUUAACAUAGACUGUCAUGUGGUUCUAAAAAAGAUUCAAGUAGGAUUGAUGAAUGUUGUGAAUUCGAUGAAAAACACACCAAUAACAAACUUGAUGUGUGGAGCAAGUGAUAAUCAGGCAACCAAAAUAAAGUGUAUGGAACAAUUAUAAACACAAGCCAAAAGUAGAAAACAGAGAGAGAGAGAGGGAGAGAGAGGGAGGGAGGGAGAGAGAGAGAAAGGAAGAGAUAACACAAAAGAAUUUGUUGACCCAGUUCGGUCCAAAUUGACCUAGUCUAGGGGAGAGAGCAAUCAUCCGUUUCACUAAUGAUGAGUAACUUUACAAAAGAGAUAUCAAUGGGUUACAAGAAUAAGUCUCCCGCCUAAUUUUACCCAAAGCCCCAAUCUCUUUCCGUAAUCAAGAGACUCAAUCCUAAUUGUGUUUCCUAAGGUGAAUCAACCCUCAAACCCUAGUGUUUGUUGCCAAGAGACAAACUCUAUACAAACCCUAGUUUUGUUGCUGCCUUUCUGAACCCUUGUUUCAGCCCCCCCUCUAUCUCAAAUUUUACGCUGAUACAAGGUCUAUAUUUAAAGUAAAAGUAUCGCUUAAAAUUUGGAACAAAUUUGCACUCUAAAAUACGUUUAUGAUAUUCGCCGCCAGCGCACCAUCGUGCCACGUUGCAAUCCCACCGUACCACGAUUUUUCCAAUGACUUGCCUCAUAACUGAAACAUCCAAUUGUGUCACGUUGCCCUGCAAUCGUGCCACGAUUCCUGCAUAACCUGAUUUUAAGUUAACUCCCACAAUGAAACUCUUUCCGAGCUCAGAACAUGAUCAAACGGCAUACAUCCUCAACAAGACAUUGCAUCCUGCCAAUUUCCAUUGAUUGUUUACCAAGCUUGGUCUUCUAGACAUUUACAUGCCUUAGUUCUAGGAGGUGUGUUGAAGUCUAGAAGGCAUUAUAUUGGAGAGUAGACAUUAUUUGAAGUAGUUAUAGGAGUUAGUUAUGGGUUAGUUGGGUUCUAUGCAUUCACAAUAUGUUAUAUAAGCUUGCAAUGUACUUCAUUAAAACUUGUAUUGAAUAAUACACUCACAAUUGAUGGAAUGAUGGCAGAAACCUCUCAUUAGACUUAACAGAACAAUCCACCUUAUCACGGUCUAUUCAGUAACAAAGACCAAACCAAGAAAAUGUUCAACAAGUUGUUGUCUGUCAUGGUUUACCGCUGUGCUUUUGAUGAACAGAAAGAGAAGCUUUUCUAAUAAGAUUUGUUACUUUUUGAUAUAUCAAUUUUUCUAAUAGAAUGAGGUAAUAUUUACUUUCUUGUUUUGAACUCUUCUCAUCUUCCCUGGAGUAGACAGUAGUUUUCUCGUGUUCGAUUCCUACACUUGAGUUGCAUACUUGAUCUUUGUUACCAUAGGUUUAAUAAUAUAUACAAUUAACUGUUGUAAGUAAUACUUCAAAAUAAAAAAUUCCGCAAUAUAUACCUGAACUCCAGUACUUGAAUUGAUGCAAGGUACAACACACACACAUAAGGAUAAUUGUUGGUCAGAAAGUAGAUCGACAUGAAAACAAUAUGUUCCUGGAAGAAUGUCUAGAAUAUGCUCUUAAGAGACACUAUAUAUAAAAGUUCCCAAUGUCGAAACUAAACAAAAUAAAAUGCAUUAUAGGUUCAUGGUUUGUGCAUAAGUGCAUGAGCUCUAGCAUAUUUCAUUGAAUCUCUCCUCGCACUUAUUGAUGAAGAUACUUUCAUGUUGUUGGAAUAGAUCAUUCAAAUUUUAUGAUAAAUAUCUAUGAUAGGCUCUGAUACCAUGUGACAAAUUAUGGAGUAUAACUCAUUCUUAAAAAAUUGGCUAAAUGAGUUAAGACUCCAUAAUUUGUGACAUGAUGAUAUCAGAGCAUCUCUCUAAAGCUGCUUUUUCUGUCAGUGUGGGACUAAAUCCACUGGGUAUUGGCUGCAACACCAAGUAAGUAACUUGUCCCAUGUAGGUAACUCGGUUGAUGAUUUAAGGGACAUCGAAAGAGUUUAAGAACAGAUCCAAGAUUCACAACCUAGAAAACUAACAUAACCAACAUCGUCUAUCUGAAAAAAUUAAGUAAUUUGUUACCUGUGAUUCAAAUUUCAAAAUUUACAAACUAGAUAGGUAUAUGCAGCUGGAACCAAUGGCAGGUGGUCAUGGAAUUGUGCCCUGCAACUGUAACAUAGAUAUUAGAAACCAAUCUUCCUUAGAAAAUUAUCCUUUUCUAUGCUUAUUUAACUUUUGUUCAACAACUUUGUCCUUUACAUUCUUGUUUCUUUGUUCUUUUUCUUUUCUUGCUCCAUUUGUUCUUUACAUUAUUGUUUCUUUGUUCUUUUUCUUUUCUUACUCCAUUAUUAACAGAAAAUUAAUUUCUAAAGCUCUUUACUUAAGGGAUAUGUGUGUAGGUUUAAAAUGGAAGCCAAAGAAAGUCUCUGCGGAAUCACUACGAAAGUGUUUGACAGAAGCAACUACCAACUUUGGGCAGUGCAUGUCGAGGCAUAUUUAGAAGAUUUAGAUCUAUGGGGGGAAGUGGAAGAAGAUUAUGAAAUCCCUAUACUUCUGAGCAAUCUCACAUUGACUUCAAUCUAAAGGAAUGUGAAACUUGCUUCAGAAAUUCAAACUUCAAAGAGUAAAGGAUUCCAACGACCAAAGAUUAUUUGACAAGUUUCUCAGUAUUGUAAGCAAUGUGAGACUUCUAGUAAUGUGUGACUCAAGAAUUGUUGAAAAAUUUAAAUACAAUUUUCAAUACAUUUAAAUACACACAUUUUCAUAAAAUUUUAACAUUUAAGAUGUUUAAGAACAUUCAUAUUGGUAAGGUCUUUACUAUUUAAGAUCCGGUAUUUAAUAGGUACCCUCAUUGAGGAAAAAAGUUGAGGAUCUCUUAAAACUCAUGUCUCACAUAAGACCUCAAUCUUAAGUAGACCCCACAUCACUUUUCAAUAAAAUAAUUAUUAUUUAAGUUGUUUUUAUUGCUUUUCAAUUGCAAUUUUCACUCUUGUUCUCUGUAGUAUAUUGAUUAACUUCCAGAAUGCUACUACAAUGUAUCGUUGGCUUUUCAUUCUUGCUCUCAUUUUCUCUAAGUCCCUAAAAAUUAUUCAUCCAUUCUUAUCCUAUUUACUCAUAAUUAAAUCAUUGUAUCGUUAUAUUAUUUUUGACAAUGGAUCCAAACCAAAUAAUUAGUUAUUGUUUUAAUUAUGUAAUUUUAUCAUCAUUUUAAAUUAUUUGUAAUUCUUAAUAUUUGGCAAUAUUAUUAUUAAUUAUUUUUCAAAUUUUAAUUAUUUUUCAAUUUUUUAAUAAAUUACGGUUGAUAUAAAUUUUGUAACUUUGCAUUUUAAUCAAAUUAAUAUUAUAAAAUAGUGUCUUAAAUAAAUAAUUAUUGGUGAGACCUAUUUAAACCUUUUGAUAGAGGAUCUACAUUGGAGUGGUUGAGUACCUAUUAGAUACUAUUAUUAAAAAAUAAAAUAAAAAAAGUAAUGUGUCCAUGUGGGACAUGUUUAAGACCUUAAAUAUGAGGGUCUCCAUUGUGGAUGCUCUAAAAAGGACUUCAGAAACACUCAUUAGCAUUUCCCUUAAUUUUAUAUAUGAGGGGAAAAUAGAUAGUUGAGGUAAACGGAUAAAGUUUUAAAGUAGCGCAAUUCAAUUUGAGGUUGCUCAACCCCACACACACACAAUUUGAGAACUUAGCCAAAUUAAGACUAUAAUAUAAUUUUAAUACCUACUUUCACGUUUAGUGUGGGUUUUAGAAUCUAACUUUCACCUUUAAUUUAGUUAUGAUAUCAAGUUAAACGAGUUUGAAUAUUAUCUUAAUAAAUACUAAUUCAUGAUAAGAGGGUGUUCAACCACAUACAUACGUCCAACAUUUUGGAGAACCUUGAUAAAGCGAUACUCUAAUACAAUUUCAAUAGUCACUCUCACGUUUACAUGGGUAUCGAGUUAAUUUUUACAACUCGAGAGUUUACCUCAACUCAUUUUGCUUAGGUAAACUCGACUCGAGAACUCGUAAGAGUUUAUAUAAAAUUUAUUAUAUGGAUGUAUAAGCUAAUAUAUAUCUGGCGUCGCAAUCACCGACAUCGCAAUCAGAAUUCCCCAUGUUCAUAGUUUGAGAACUCGGAGACAAAAGAAAAAGAAAUGUUUCAUUUCAGAUGUAAACUCGUAAAACUCGGUUGAGUUUGCACAAGUUUACCGAGUGUUAACUCGGUUAAACUCGUCAAACUUUCCGAUUUUACUAGAAACCGAGUUUACUUCUAAGUUAACACGAUUUCGGUACCUAAAAACGUAAACUCGGUAAACUCGGAGAGUUAACACUCGAUUUGCGGAACAUUAGUAUCGAGUCCAAUUCCUAUAUUGUCAUCAUUAACAUAGCUCUGAUACCAUGUUAAAUAACUUUGGAUCUCAUCUCAUAAGUUAACUCAAGAGAUGACAUUGUCCAACCACAUGUACAUUCAACAAUCCAAGAACCUUGAAAAUAUGAAACUACAAAACAACUUCAAUACUCACUCUCACUUCUGUUAUGGGUCUUGGGUCCAAGUCCAACAUUGUCAUCCUUAAUCCGACUUCGUUAUCAUGUUAAAUAGUUCUCAUUCUCAAAAAAUAAUUCAUAAGAUGAAAUUAUUCAACCACAUAUAUAUACAUUCCACGCAGUCCAUAAAUUUUAACAGUUAAUUGAGACUCAUAAUACAACUUCAAUAGGUGGGAUCAAUAUACAAUUUAACCAAUAAAAGAAAAUAUGUUUAAAAAAAGAGGCAAGUACUUCGAUGGACCAACUUCAUAAGUGUUCCACCAUGAAUCAACACUUAAAUUAUAAAAAAAUUCAACGAAGGUCGACAAUACUAUUCAAAAUCAAACUCAUGACAUUUCUUAUAUUUACAGCUAAAAGAGUGACUUGAUUGAAAUAAUUUCAAUAGAGCUAUAUAUUUAUUUUUCUUGUUUUUCCUUAAAAAAAAAGUUAUUUUUCUUUGUUUUAAUCAAACUGGUAUCAAUUAAAUCAUUAUUUCAAUCUUAAAAAUGAUAAGGAUUAUUAAUAUCUACUAUCAAGAAAUGACAUUUAUCGUUAAAUUUUUAAAUAUUUUUUAAAUACUAAACUAUAGUGAAUCCCUUAUGUGUUGAAGUAUAAUUCAUAUUCUAAUGUUAGUUUGUAGAGGAUAAAUUCAACUAUGUUUGUUGGUUAGUUAGUUAGUGUUGUUUUUGGAUUGUAAAAUUACGACAGAGCUUUGAAACUAUUACCGGGGUGAGUCACGACCAGGUCGCUUUCUUUAAGACGUUUCGCGGAACUACCUAAAUUGUGCAAGGUAGACUAGCAACCGCGCCGUCUCCAGGAUAAAACAGCCCAGAUUCUUUCUGUACGAUUAAAGGCUGCACUACCAUAAAUCGCUCGACAAUAACACCUCAAUAUGGUUUCGAAAAACCACUCUAAUAUGGUACGCAGACCACUCGAGAAACCAAAGAAGGAGGAAGAAAAGAACGGUUCGUCAACACAAACCGAGGGAGAUGAGAAGGGGAGAAAACCAGAGAAGAGGAUUCGAUUCUCGGUUUUGGAGUGAAGAAUGCAAAUCCUGAGCUCUCUAUUUAUAGAGGGGAUUUGACCUCGUUUUCUCUGCCUACCCGGUUCGCGACCCGCCAACGUUAGCCCACGACCCACGUAACGGUAACCCACGACGCGGAAACGUGGAGCUGAAGCUUGCGCGUGUGGAAAACGUGUGAGACUUGGUCUCUGCGUGCGGGAAUCUCAGAGCAAAAAAUAAAAAAUAAUUUUUUCAUUUUUCUGAGCACCAAAAAAAAAAAUAUUUCUUUAUAGACAAGCCCAGGGCCGGCCCGGUUGGCGGCGUCGCGCGUGUCUUAUAUAUAAUUUUUGGCAAGCGCUCACUCCGUUCACAAAAGUGUGUACCCCAAGGGCACACCCUCGGAAGUGAUAUCCCACAUAUAUAAACACUACUAGAGUGUGUGAUCUACCCAAUGUGGGACAUAAAAUUUUCAAUUCACAUUUUACACUAGUUUCUCCAUCCUUGUGUUUACAUUCCAAAGGCUCCACAAACCAACUAGUAUACUCCAAGUUUUUUCCAAUAUACACUAGUGUUCCAACAGUUAGUUAGUUUGUUAGAGGCUUGUAGUGCAAGUUACUCAACUUAGCCUAUACGUACAUGUUUGUAUUAAGUAGAUUACAGAUUGUAUAGCACACAUCUCAUAUCUCUUAUAUUCAAUAACAGAAGAGUUUUAUCAUUCCUUUGUAGUUUCCUCUCUAAGUGUGAGUGUGUAGAGAUCAUUCUAAUCUUUCUCUCAAUUAUGUAUAUGCAUGUUCUAUCAUUAUGAAGGUGUUCAUAAUAGAAUUCUUCUGUUAAAAAAAUGCAAGUUAAAAAAGUGUGUUUCCACUGGUAUGUGUGCGCGUUAUAACAUGAAAAUAUUAAAAGAAUAAAUUAAGAGAGCACUUAAUACGUAGUACAUGAUUAAAUUUAUAACAUUUUUUUAAUGAAGAUUAAAUUUAUAACAUAUAAUGCCAACUUCAUAAAAAAAAAAAACAUAUUUGAGAGAAAGAUAUUUUGAAAAAAGAUACACAUUUUAUUUUUCUAGUUGCAGGUAAAGUACUAAACUUAUAUAUUCCCAUAAAAAAAAUAACGUACUAAAAAAAUAUUUUGAAAAAAGAUAAAGUACUAAACUUGCCACAUAUAUAAACCGGAGUGGGAACGGGAGUACUACUCAUGAUUGGCUUCAAUCUCCGUCCAUGCAUAUAAGACUUCAUUUCAACUAUAUACUGUCUUUGUAAUUUGUAUAAUAACGUGAAAAAUCUAACAACUAAACAGAAAAAAUAUUCUUAUAAUUAAUUAGUAUAUGAUCUUUAUUUAUUAUAUUAGUUGGUGCCUCUAAUUUUGACUGGUCGGAGUUCGCAAAGGGACUAAGAAUUAAGAAUAUAGAUAGAUAUUUGUCUGUGUGUAACCAAAUUGAAAUUAAAAUUGGUUAUGUGUCGAAAAUCUAGAGAAUUAAUGUUAUUUUAUAGUGGCCAUGCACUUUAUACCAUACGUACAUAGUUCAAGCCUUAGUUGGGUAUUGGACCAUUUUUCAGGGUCUUUGUUGACUAUAAGUCGGAGUCAUCUUAGAUAUGGAAAUGAUACUGUGUCAUUGUCAAUACACGAUUAAGUCAUAGUACUUUGGAUAUAUUGUCUUGAACACAAGGAAAUGAAUCUAUUUUAGGUUGAAAAAGUAAACGAAUCUAUUGUAGGGCAAAAAAAAUGGAAUGCUAAAAACGGUGAGAACACUGUAGCUAAAACGGCUAGGUUUUUUUCUUUCUUGAAGGAUACGGCUUAUAGAUAGUACAUUGACUAAUGAAAGCAUGUGUGAUUGAGAAAUAAUGGCACGAGUUAUAUAGGCACUAGGCAGUGGAAGUCUAGUACGUAGCUGUUCGGGCAUAAUUAAAAACAGAUAUUAGGAAAAUAUCACAUUUUUUUGGCAACCUAUAUACUCAUAUAACGGAAAACCAUGAAAGUUAUACUUUCUUUAAUGUGUCCCAUUCACAUAGCAUUUAUAUAUUUUUCAAAUAUAAAACAUCACAUUUUAAUCAAAAUAAAGCAUUCCUUAAAAAAUAAAAAAUAAACAUAGCAUGUCCACCUUUGUGAAUAUAGCUGGAUUGUGAAGGAUAAUGUUAUAAAUUAGUGUUAGGGUUCGAACCAUAAAUUUUUCACUUAUUCAUUUAUUUUAGAGUAGUAACGUAUAAAUUUCGUAGACUUGUAAAAUAAACAAAAGUUGAUUGCAAUAAAGAGUUUUCGGCAUUCUAUAUUUUUUUAUUUGAAUGACAAAUGUUAAUUUUUUUUUUUUUUUUUAUUUGUUGGGGCUUAAUUAAAUAUUGGAUUUCCAACUCAUUAACCUUUAGUUCAAACCCGUUGAUCUAUCCAACCCUCUCUUUCUCUCAUAUUCUCAUCGUAUUUUACUCUCUAUCUAUUGCUUUGGCUAUAUUUCUUUGUAUAUUUUUAGUUGUCUGUUAGGUUUGUUAAAAAAUGGUUGUUAAAAUAAUACCUGACAUAUUUUUAUAUAUGAACUCUUUCCUGAGUGUUUUGAACCGGCCAACAUACACAAGAACAUGUCAUUAUAGUUAACUUUUUUUUUUUGGAUAACAGUGCAUGCGUUAUAAAUUUAUUCUACCCAGUUAAUCAUGACCACAGAACCUUAAACUUCUUGACAACGAGUGUAAUUGUGAUGGUUACAUUCAUAGAAGUUAAGGUUAAAAUUGGUUUUUAAAUUUUGUAUAAUAUUCAUUCACAUAGUCGUUGUUCAAAAUGACCAAGAACGGCAGUGUUUGAACUUUGAAGAGAGAAAAUGUUUGCAGAUAAUUGGCGGUGGUAAGUCAAUUAAUGACGAUAUAGAUGACACGUCCGUCACACUCAUCAGUCAUCACUAUCACUUCUAAUAAGCAUCGUUCAAACUUUUUCCACCCAGAAAAGAUUUUGUUCUCACAUUCUCAAUGUCUAUAGAAACAUAAAUACAAAAAGACUUACCAAAUUCAGUGAAAGAUAAAUAUAUGUCUCAUUUAAAAUCAUUAUAAUAUUUAUUAUUUUUCAUAAAAUAUACUACUUUUAUUAAUAUUAUCAAGAAAUGAAAAAGUACCUUAAUUAAACAAAAGUACCUUAUGGAAACAACAUGUGCUCUUUUCCACCCAACUUGAGGAAUUUCAACAUGUGCUCUUUUGUAGACAACCUUUUGGCCCUACUGCGUCCCCAUGCAUCACUAGCAACAGGAUUGCAAUCUUGUAGUCGGAAUAUAUAUGGUCGUUCAAUUGUAGUCGGAAUAUAGAUGGUCGUUUAAUUAAGAUUUGAUGGUCUAAAUUUUGAUAUAUUUAUUAAAUUUAAAAUUGAUUUUAAAAUUAAAACCUUCUAAUCUUAAUCGGUUGAUCAUUAAUCUUUCUAUUGCACAACUGCAGACGAUUUUAAUUGUAUAUACAAUUUGGAUCCCCUUAUUGAUAUGUCACAUACUCACUUUACUUUCUAAAGCUUUUGCUGUCAAAACAUUUUAAGUUCAAAUUCUAUGAGCUACUUCAACUCAUCUACAUUAAUAUAAGCUCCGUCCUUAAAUAUAGAAUUUCGUUGAUUAAGUGAUGCAACUCAAAAAAUUGACAAUAGUAUUGAAUUAAUUGAUAAUCUAUAUUUAUUUUUUUAAUUUUACCAUCUAUGAGAGAAAAUUAGGUUGUAUUUUUUCAUAGCAUUUAUUAUACAUUGUAAAAAGAAAAUACAAUGUAAUUAUAAGUGUUAACAAAUAAUUAAUACAGGUGAAAAAAAUUGAAAUAUAAUAAUAAUAAUUAUAAUAUAUUUUGAAAUGGAAUUGACAUUCCCCUCUAUUUCUUUUAUUAAAAAAAAUUAUAAUCUAUUUCUAAAAAUAUAGAGGAUUACAUAUAUGAAAGAUUAAUGAGAGUCAAAAUCAAAAAUUGUAUCUAUUUAUUUCAUAAAUGAUUUUUUUUAGAGGCUAUAACAUAAAUAAUGUCUCUUUCAAAAAAAAACACAUAAAUGUUGUUAAUCAUUUUAAAAUAAGUCUCAAAUUCAUGGAAAUCAUCACAACUUAUAUAUAUGGAGCCAGUUAAACCCAUAUCCACUCAUCAACUCAUAAACCAACCAUGGACAUAAAUAUCAAUGUCACCACAACUGAUCAAAGCCCUAAUAGUAGUAAUAAUAAGAUGUAUAGAGGGGUGAGGAAGAGAAAAUGGGGAAAAUGGGUAUCUGAAAUUAGGCUUCCAAAUAGUAGGGAGAGAAUAUGGUUAGGAUCAUAUGACACACAAGAAAAAGCAGCUAGGGCAUUUGAUGCAGCCCUAUAUUGUCUACGUGGUCCUCAUGCAAGUUUCAAUUUCCCUAACACACCUCUUACCAUCAAUGUAGCUGUGAAUCAUGGUGUUGGUCAUCAAUCUCUUUCACCAGAAGAGAUUCAAGACGUUGCUGCUAAGUUUGCAAAUGAGUCACCACCAAUUGAGCUCACUCACGAAGAUGAUCAACAAGUACCUUCAGAAGCACAAAAUGAUACCAUUUCCAAUCAUUCUUAUUCAUGCCCACUUAAUGAUAAUGAUGGGAGGGUGCAAGUAGAUUAUGGAGACUUGAGGAGAAUGGAUUGGAAAUUUGAGGAUAUGUUUGAUGACUUGAAUGGGGUUGCUAAUUGCUCUAAUUUGUAUGGGCAAGAAAAUAUGCAAUACUCAACACAACUUGUUGAAGAGGAUAAUGUGGACCAAAUUGAAUGUGAAGAUACUUUUUCUGAUCAUUCAUUCCUUUGGAGUUGGAACUUUUGAUUCACAUGCAUAUAUCAUAUGUGGACCAAACUGAAACUCUCACUUGCUGAGUUGGGAUCCUUUGCCAUACUAGAGAAAUAUACAAAUAAACAAAGUGGUGUAUUGAAUAUCCAAUAUACCAAUUUUUCAUAAUUUUAUUUUUCCAUCGAUAUCUCUAGAUGAAUCUCUCUAUAGAAGCGGAGAGGAUUCAAAUUCCUCACCGGCCAAUUAUACUCAAACAACUUUACCUCUCUUCAAUAGUGAUUAUACUAGUUACACCACCAAAAAAAAAUAGUGAUUAUUAUAUACUAGUUGAAAUCUUGCAUCUUUAUAUUAUUGAAUUGUUUCACUUUGAAUUUAAGAUUGGUCCAUUACGCCCAAUUAACUCUUAGAUUUUCUCCCUUUAAAAAACUUUUAUAUAUUUUUUUUGUUCAAUCUUUACUUUUAAUCGUGAAAAGAUUCUAAAUACUAAUAACAAAAUGAUGAAGAAAAAAAAAAAAACUACUAAGAUUCAAAUAUAUUUUCAAUUUUUUCAAAAAAAAUAAAAAGAAAUUCUCAUUCAAUAUUAUAAAAAUGAAGGAUAAUCAAUUUUGUUUCUCCCAUGAAACACGAGUUAAAUGUCUCACUUUCCAAUUCUACUGCAUUUUGACUAAGUCCCAUGUCUUUAAACUUUCGCACUCUUCAGUACUAUCGGAAAAGAAGCAGCUAACACUCAUUCAGCUAUAAUAGGUGAUGAGAUCUCCUUCUCAGCUUGAAUGUGGACUUUGGAAGUCACUUAUUGAGUUUACUUCAUCUUUUUUCAAGGAUCGAUUCCUUUGUUCUCUACACAAAGAUAUAUCAUCUUACCAACUCCUAAGGAGGUUUUCCAGUUUCAUAGUGACCAAGGAUUGGGAUGUUUAUGGUGGCUGGUAUAUCAAAAUAUAUGUCUGCCUAACUCUAUAUACGGGAUCCGUUGAUCUAGACUUAGACUUCCAAAACUGCUUCAUCACCUUCUUCCUUUCCCCAGAUGUUUUGAAUCUCAUUAAUUCAGAGAAUGAUACCAAUAGCAAGUUCAGGAUUGGGAAAUGGUCUGUGUCAAUGGCGCCUAUCUCUGCAGUUCCCUAAUCAACUAGUGAUAUGUCCAGUGAGAACAGUUGAGUUGCAACGGUUGUGAAGAAUGCUCUGAUGAUCGGUAACGGCUUCCAGUACGGCGGUGAAGCGCCUUCUGCGAUGGAACGAAAGGUGCAUGCAGGCACCUUAGCACUCCGACGAUCAAGUCAGUAAUGGAACUGAGAGAAAAGUCUUAGGAGAGUUGUGAAAAGUGUUGUGUACCUUUGAGGGUGAAGCAAGUUCACCCUUAUAUAGGCGCACUCUUGGCAUAACCGUCUCCGGGUUAUGCGGCGUAUGAUUAUGAGCGGGAGUGGACACGUGUAGCGUGAUCCCAGCAGGGAGGCGUGCUCCAGUGUGGUACGGUGCAGGCGAGUUGUCGUGUUCCUUUGAGUGUGAAACCUUGAGGCGGCGUAAUAUUGUACACGAGUAGCCGUGUGAGUGGUUCAUAACAACUAGCUUGAAUCUUCCAUCCUUAUUAUUUUAGGGAUUUUAAAAACAUUUAUUGAAAUGUAAGGACUAUUUUUCAAAGUCACGCACAAUGUAGGGACCAAAAACAUAUUUAACCUUAAAAUAAUUGGGACCCACUAACUGCCACAUCAGGAUUCCGUUAGAUAAUUUACAGCAGGGACUAAUUUUUAUAAUGGAGAUAAAAUGUGAGGAUUUUAAAAACAUUUAAUAAAAUGUAUGGACUAUUCUUCAAAUGAGCGCAAAAUGUAAGGACUAAAAAUAUAUUUAACCCAAAAAAAAUAUAAUCAAAAGAAGAUAAGUACUUUUUUUCCCUUUUAACUCUAAUUAAAUAACUAAAUCCUUGAAUCAACCAUAACGAGUACAUUAUAUAUAUAGGAAAUUCAACGAAUCCUGACCGCUGCUAAAGUUCUGCAAUCAAACGGGUAACUUUGCUUGUUGCAAACAGAUUAACUUUGCAAACUUUAAACCCUCAACCCUUUUAUAUUAUUUUCUUCUCAAAUAAGUAAGGCGAAUUGUUUGGACAAAACGACAAUCUAUGUGGAUACGAUACUCUAUUUAUCACUUUAUUACUUGAUAAACGAUUUUGUACACUUGCCUAAUCCGACCAUCACAUUACAUUAACGUUGAUAUCUUGAAAAUAGUCCAUGAGUUUUCAAAACUUUCUCAUAUUGAAAUAUUAAAAAAAAAAAAAUCCACUAAUAUGAGCUCAUAAAACCCAUUACAAGUACGGUGCAAAUAUUCAACAGUAUUUUGCAUAUAAAAUGAAAAAUUAUUUAAUAGAAACACAACAUUAAUGUUGAUAUCUUAAAAAUAAUCAUGUUCUUUUAAAAUUUUAUCAUAUAAACUUUUGCAUAUUGGUACAUAAAAAUUUGUGUCCGUAGAUUUAAACACAUAAAAUCCAAAACGGGGUCGUGGUGGAAAUAUAUAACGGUGUUUACGUAUAAAAUAACAAAAUAUUUAAGGUUAAAUAUGUUUUUGGUUCCUACAAAUAUACUAACUUUUUAUUUUAGUGUCUCUAAAAAAUUUCUUCGGCUUUUAGUCCUCAAAAGUUUCUUAACAACACUUUUGGUCCCUACUUUUAAGCAAACUCAUGUGUGGUCUUUAUAUUUUUGAAUGAAAUUUUGCAAAAAAGUCUAAAAUGUUAUAAUAAUCUCUCCCAAAAAAAUUAGAAUUUUUUAACAAAAUAUUAAUUAAAUAUUAAUUUCUAAGCGCUUAAAACAUAACAAUUCAUAUUUAAUUCAUGUUUUGUUAAAAAAUUCUAAUUUUUUUCUAAAAGAGAUUAUUAUAAUAUUCUAAACAGUCCGAAAAAAAUUCAUUCAAAAAUAUGAAGACAACACAUGAAUUGAAUUAAAAGUAUAAACCAAAACUGAUGAUGGAAAAAUAUUUAGGGACUAUAAGUCGAAGAAAUCUUUAGGGGACUAAAAUGAAAAGAUGUUAUAUUUAUAGGGACUAAAAACGUAUUUAACCCAAAUAUUUAAUAAAAACACUACAUUAAUGUUAAUAUUUUGAAAAUAGUCACGAGUUUUCAAAAUUUUAUCAUAUCGACUUUCUCAUAUCAAUACAUUUUUUGGACGCGUCUCAUAUCAGUACAUAAAAGUUUGUUUUCGCAAAUAUAAACAAAUAAAAUCUGCAACGAGCACGGUGCAAAUAUUUAACGAAUUUUUACAUAUAACUUUUAUUAAUAAAAACAUUACAUUAAUGUUGAUAACUUUUAUUUAUUAUCUUUUAAUAUUUCAUGAUAUUAACAAUUGCAAUCAUUUUUUAUAUAAUUAUUGGAAUGUUGCCUAGAAUUUUUCUAGCUAUUUUUAAAAACAAAAAUCUAAAUUGGAGAGGAAGGUCCACACUGUUUUUGAAGUAUGAAGCCGACUUGUUUGUUGUUAUUUUUGUGUGUGAAAGUGAAAGUAGCACUCACUUACUAAAUUUAUUUCAUGGUAAACAAGUACUAGAUUUUUUUUUUAGGGAUAUGCAAGUGCUAGAUUUUUUCUUUUUUACAAGUACUAGAUGUAUUAUUUGUAAAAACUGAAGUACUAGAUGCCUUUGAAUAUAACCUAAAGUGAAUUGUAUAGCAGUACUUAGCAACAAUGUUCCGCAAAUCGAGUGUUAACUCUCCGAGUUUAUAUUUUUAGGUAUCAAAAUCGUGUUAACUCGGAGGUAAAUUCGAUUUCUAAUAAAAUCGGAAGGUUUGACAAGUUUAACCGAGUGUAAAAUCGAUCGAGUUUUACGAGUUUACAUCUAAAAAAAAUUGGCCCUUUUUUUGGGGCCAUUUUUUAAAAAUCCAAUUCCUUUUCUACAAGCCCAAAGACCGGAACGUUUACGGUAACACGUUGUUCCAUAAAUGAAAUGUUUCUUUUUCUUUCUUCUCUAAGUUCUCAAUCCAUGAAUAGGGGAGCACAUAUCAGUUAGUGUUGUGAUUCUGACAGUGGAAAUUCAGAUUUCGACGCCAAUGAUUGCGACACCGGUUAGGGUUGCGGUGUUGGUGUUUGUUUACCUUUUGAAGAAAUUAACAAGUUUAUUUUUUAGAUAGUUUUAUUAACAACUUUACGGACUUGUGAAACUUACUUUUUUGGAUGGUUUUAUGAACGACUUAAACUUAGAGACUUAAGAAACUUAUGAUUGUGUGCACUAAUUUUUGUAUUUUGGUGUUAAGUUGAACAUUAUGUUUUAUUAUGGUAGUUUGGUAUAAUUUGCCUUUGUAAUUAAGUCAUAUUUUGAAUUAUUGACCAAUUUACAAUAUUAUUUUAGCUUAUAUAUGUCAUGCAUAUAAUAAUUUUUAUAUAAUUUUAAUUUUAGAUAAUCUCGUACGAAUUCUCAAGUCAAGUUUACGAGUCGAGUUUACCUAGGUAAAACGAGUUGAGGUAAACUCUCGAGUUGUAAAACCUUGCUUAGCAAGACUGAAACAUUCUAUUGACGUGGUCAACAAGAAAAAGAAAAGAAAAAAAAACAGAAGAGACAAUUUUGCAACCAACAUGUUUGUGAAAGCAUAUACCUUUUGAAUAAGGAUAUUAUGUAUGGUUCUGAAUAAAUUUGCACAAAUCUAGCAUUGCAAAACCACACAGAUGCAAGAUAUUUUGAAUGAAAUUUUAGUUUGAACGUGUAUGAAAGAGCAAUGCCACCUCCCUUCGCCCCGAAUCUUUCUUCACUAAUUGACACAGAUCAAUCCAACCGCGAGCCUCCAUUGUUACUUCAAUGGAGGAAGAAAAAAAUGAUGAACCAAGAACAAAGAAAGGUUCUAAUCUAAAAAUUUCAAAUAUGAUCAAUAAACUACGAAGUAAAAGUUUGUUAAAAACGAGUCGCAAAACAUUUCUAACAAAGUAAGUACAAAACAUAAUGGUUAUCACAAAUUUGACAGAAAGAUUAAGUGCAUCUUUAGUAUUACAGUAGGUUUGAAUUAGAAUGAGUCAUUGUGAAUUUUGCAAAAACUACGAUGGAUAUUCACUUUAAGCAUAAAAAACCAAGGUUAUAAAUUAUGUCAAACUACACUUCACAAUUGCAUAUAGAGCAAAUGAAAUUAUAAUAGAUACGCUAAAUCGGAGUCUCAGAUCUGUUUAUAAUUGUUGAUUAAAGCAAUGAAUGAGAACCUGUUCCGAGGUGGAAGAUUGUUUGGCAUUGAAUCUAAUUGGCAUGGUGAAUAGUUCUAUCAUGUAAUUGAAUUCUAUCAGUUACAUCUGAAUAAAAAUAAAAAAAAGUAAAAAAUAAAAAACAACAAAAAAGGAAUUUAACAAAAUGAAAAUUAGAGUACAAAAUUAACAGAAGGAAAAUGUUGACGUGGUGUUCCUGCUGACUAUGCCUCAUUGAGACCUUAAUGGUACAAUUCUACUACAAACCCUUCUCUUUGCUUCUAAAUCUUUUCCAUUUUUACCCUCUAAAGAUUUUUUUUCCAUUUUUUUUUCAGUUGGCCAUUGCCAUUUCUUCCCAUAUAAUACAAGAAUGACUACAACAUCACUAUGUUCAUGGAUUUUCACUGUCAAAAACUUGUAUACGGUUUUCAUAUCAUUGGCUCAAUAUAACACAACACGAAUAAGGCCUGGCUGUGGUUCUGUGAAAUCAAGACCCUCUUCUUCGAGUAGAUAACGCUGUACAGCUAUCGGAAGUCUUGCAGGGGUGCGGGAACCUCUGGUAUGAUGACCGGUACCAACACAGAUAUAAACCUGCAAACGCUGCUCCGCAGCUCUGGCUGUGCUUCUUAGCACACCCAGUUCGUGUUUCAGCACGUGAAUCGCUUCACUUACAUGGAGUCCAUGCAAGUCUAUCAUUCUCUCAUGUCCUCUUCCAUUAACCAUCUCUGGACCAACAGGGUUCCUGAAAAAUCAACACUCACAAUGACUACAGCAGUAUCCGAGAUAAGGUAGCAUUUGGCAAGCAGACAGAACAACAAUGCCGGUCAAUUCAUAAUAUGCACCUGUUGAGAUCUCACAGUUGAUGAGAUAUGCCCUGAAAUUAUAUUUAUAAGUGGGAGACAUUUCUCACCUUAAAAGCCAAUUUUGUUUUGUUGAGUUCAACCCAAUCCAGAUUUCACGAGCACCAAACAUAAACAAAAUUUAAGUCAUAUUUUAAGCCAUUUAACUCGAUAAAUGUUACCUUUGAAAACCUACCUAAAUAACAAAUAAGCAAUUGUUUUUCAACUAAACAGGCUUGGUUACAUAGAUCAAUCGACCAUUAGCUAAAAAUAGACCAUUUACCCUUAAAUUGUCGACCAUUUACAACACUAGGUUUACUUUCUCGUGACUUUUUACCGCUAAACACCAUACAUCAUUAUGUGUCUUAUGUAAGUACAAAUAAAAAUUUCCUUUAACCUUGGUAGGUAUGUUUUAUCAAGUUUUAUUCCUCAAUUUCAUCCACCCUACUCUGAUGGCUGGUGUAUUUGAUCUCCUAGUCACUCUGCGUGACAAACCCAAGGUCCUUGGAGGACCAACCUAGUAGCAAGGGACUUCAGAAUAAUAAAUAUGCACAUUCUAGCUCAUACAACAAUACCCUUACAUAAAGAAGCUGUUUGGCGACCUCUACAGGUGAGAAAAGGAAAAGCUACAGUAUUUUGGGAAGUAGAUUUUCUCAAAUUUGUACUAGCACUCGAGCCAAAAAAAAAAAAAAUAUACAUGUGGGAGCAGUAUUGUCAAUUUUGGAUCGCAGAAAAUAGCGAUUUGUUUAAAUUCAACUACGCAAUAGUGCUAUAUUUGACAAUAUUUUGUAUUAAAUAGUGUAUGGCAGCGGGAUGUUCAAAUUCUGCUGUGUUAUAGUGCCACUAUAGCCGCUAUUCAACAACACUGAGUAGGAAGAACAAGUAGAACAAACAGUCUGACAGGCUCGAUGCAUAAUCGCGACAACAAAGUUGCUACAGUUCAAUCUCGGCCAAAUUGAUGGUCAUUCCACUAUAGGACCAAUCAAAAACAAUCUCAUAAAUGCUAAAAUUCUAGAUGAACUAGCCGAUUUGUCUGGUUGAGCAACCAACCAUUAUUAAAAAAAUACUGUUUUUUCAUAUUUAUAUGUUUUAAAAUAUUUUUUUAUUUGAUUUAAAUUAGUCACAUGAAGUCAUUCCAAUCCGAGUAUUCAACCAAUCGGUUUAAAUGGUUGAACCUCAACUGAAAGUUUUACCAGUUCAUUUUCUAAUCUGGUUUUAACAAUGUUGGAAAAUAUACACAAUUCUCAUUAUAACCCCAUAAAGUUUUUUGUUUUGAUAAAAGACACAUGGAUAGGAAGAGUGGAUAGCAAUGAGGAACAACAAACCUCUGGCGGUAAAUAGAUUCUUGAGCUUUCCCAUGAGCUUCUUUCAUAUGCAUGUUAUGCAGUUGCCCUUUAGCACUUAGCUCCUUUGCAAGGGCCUUAUUACCAAUAAGGUAGGCUUGUCGUGCCUGUUUGUAAAUUAUGAACAAUUAAACAAAAGUUACAGAAAUUAGGAUAGGUCCUGCAAAACCCUCAUGUUGCAUUUCUUCUCAAUCUAGUAGGUUGAGCUUCGUGGUUGAAACUUAAGUUACAAAAACGUAAGCUUCCGUUCCACUGGCAGUCUGGCACAUGCAAAAAUCUAAGGUUGAAAAAAUACAAAGGACCUGUUUGGAUUGACUUAUUUGAGGUUAUCUAAUGAUAUAACCACUUGUGAGACUGUUUGGAAGAGUUGAUAAAAAUAACUUAUGACAUGGCCAUAAGCUAUUUUCAGCUUAUUUCCAUAAACUGUUCGUGAUAGCUUAUAUAAACAAUUAAUAGCUGAUAAACUUCAUUUUAUCUUUGGCUAAGAAAUAGUUUAUAUAUAGGCAUGUAUGCUAUGAGCGCUUAAUUAAGUUGCUUAUCCGAACAGGACCAUAGCUGAUGCAUAUUAUGGAUUAACUAGGAGAAAGAACAUAACAUAUAAGUCUAGACAUUUGGGGAAAACAGGUUGGUAUGAGCCUCAGUCAACCAUGAAGUGUGUAGCAAAUAUCAUCACACUAUUGUCAUUAAAAUGCUCAUUAACUUCUCGGCAGCAUGAAUCAGAGACCCACCUGCUCAAAAUAUGCAUUACGUAAGCGUGCAUGAUCACGAGCCUCCUCCCGAAGUUCAGAAUACAUAUUUGCUGCCAUUCAAAAUAGUUAAAGGGAACCAGUAUAAAAGGGACUCGUCUAAAAAUGGAAACAUAUAAACAUAAAUAUUUACCAACAGCGUCACCGGUUUCAAGCCAGACAGGCGCUGGCCGAGCAGAUCCACGGUUUUGUAACCUAUCACCAAAGUUAUUUCUCCCCUGUCCGCCAUUGUAGGCACUAGCUAGAACAUUUAAACUCCUACUUGAUCCGGUGGAAGCAUCACCAGAACCAUUUCUAUCAUACUUCCAUAUUCCAGAAUCCUGAGAAGCUAAUUUCCUGACAGCUGAAGCGAAGUCGGUAGCACCUCUAGUCGGAAUAGAAGAGCUCGAUUUGAACAUGAGCAAGUCUUUGCCAGACGGUAAGUAAGGACUGCCACUUUGUUGAACAUUGUCUGCAGCAUAUUUUGCAGUAGUAGUCUGGCCGUUUGUUGGAGCAAGUGCUGGAAAGUCCAUUGGAGUCAGAUUGGGAGAUGACAGAGUCUUUGGGCUUGGGUUCUGGAUGAAAUUACUAUCAACUUGAAUCUACAAAUUUGUAGGAAAAAGAAAACCAGUUAAGAACUAUGCACGAGAAAUGAAAAUAUUCACGAAAGCGACAAUAACAUCCAUGGAAUGAAAAAGAAAACCUUGAGACAUGGUUGAAUUACAAUAUCAUAUAAACAAGAAAAUAUUAUAAAUUCAAAUGAAAUUUUAAUAGUCCUGAAAUCCUGAUAAGUUCCUAUCAGGUCCCUUGUGACUUGUGAGCAUGACACAAAGGGUAUAAGGAUUCAGGAAACAGUGAUUAGAGUCUGGAAGCCGCAUUGCGUUGGGAGUCAUUUCACAACUUUAUGGGAUGCCGGAAACUUCCCUGCCAAAACAAGGCACAAGCAUUGCUCUACACAUUUAGCUUCCGUCUAUUCAAAUUUAAUAUUGUAUCAAAACAUAUCGCAAGAUGUGCAUUUCCAACCAAUAAUUGCAUCACGGCAUGCUAGGAGAAAGAUACAACUCAUGAAGAGAGACUUUAUUAAAAAAAAAACAAAAUUUAACCACAAGUUAGUUGGUAUGUGAAGAUCAACCCACCUCUAACUGAGUGAGCAUCUCAAUGGUCAGAUGUAAAUCACAUCCAUUGGCAAAGAACACUUCAGCAAGGCUUUCUGACGCAAAACCAGGGAAUAGAGAAGCUAAAAAUUCCAAAGGGUUAAAAUCAGUCUCAUCCACAAUAGCAUUCUCGGUCAAAACAUCAUUUAAAAAUCCAUGCCUAGCAUUGUCAUCAUAGGCAAGUGCCUCUUGACCACCGCCAACAUGGAGGUUGUUAUCGUUUAAGAAUCCAAGCCUAGCAUUGUCAUCAUAGGCAAGUGCCUCUUGACCACUGCUAACAUGGAGGUUGUUAUUCCCAACUGGUCUUUCCCAAGGCUUUGCUAAUGAAUUCAAAAAGCUUGCCGAAGAUGGUUCUUCCCGGUAUGUUGAAUUGGAAAACCUUAACUUAUCGGCAAAUGUAUUUCCAUUAAGGUGGUGUUGAGGUAAUUCCUGCUGCUCGUUUAGUAUAUAUCUGCUUCCCUUAGCAGAAGAAAACAUCGACGAUUCAUUAUCG